UUGAAUUUCGUGAACACACUUCCAUAUGCUAGAGAUAGAGUAGUUGAAUGCUACUUUUGGGCAUUAGGAGUAUAUUAUGAGCCUCAAUAUUCUCAAGCUCGUGUCAUGCUCGUUAAGACCAUAGCAAUGAUUUCGAUUGUGGAUGACACCUACGAUGCUUAUGGUACAGUUGACGAACUUGCCAUAUACACGGAUGUCAUACAAAGGUAUGGACUUCAUCAAUUCACUUGCUCAAAUAUACCUUGAAAGAGAAUAUCAUGAAAAACAUUAAACCAAGCAUUUGCUCAUUAUAUUUAUACUAAUUUACCUUAUCUUUGUCACCUUUCAGAUGGGAUAUUAAAGAAAUUGAUAGUCUGCCUGAUUACAUGAAAAUCAGUUACAAAGCUCUUCUAGAUCUUUACAAGGACUAUGAAAAGGAAAUGUCUAGAGAUGGAAGAUCUCACGUUGUUUAUUACGCAAAAGAAAGAGUGAGUCUCAACGACUUAACUAUCAAUUUACUUUUAUCCUUUAUACAUUUCUGUCUUUGCUAUUUCCUCACAUGUUUUUGUGAAUAUAAACUAGAGGUAAUUGGGUUACAAUUUUCUAACACUUUGAAUUUGUAUGCUUGGUUUUCACAGCUGAAAGAAUUGGUAAAAAGUUAUAAUAUUGAGGCAAAAUGGUUUAUUGAAGGACAUAUGCCUCCUGCUUCUGAAUACCUGCGCAAUGCAUUUUUAACUACCACUUACUACUAUCUUGCCACAACAUCGUAUUUGGGAAUGAAGUAUGCUAAGGAGCAGCAAUUUGAGUGGUUUUCGAAAAAUCCUAAGAUUCUUGAAGGUUGUGUGACAAUAUGCCGAGUUAUUGAUCACAUAGCCACAUACGAGGUAUGAGACUAUGAGUUGUAUAUCAUAAAGUCAUUAACAUUUUAAGUUAUUUGAACAAAUAGAUUGUUUUUAACAAUCGAAGAAAUAUAAAAGCUAAACCCUAAUUUAAUCGCCUUUGCAGGUCGAGAAAGACAGGGGACAACUUUCAACGGUAAUUGAGUGCUACAUGAGAGAUUAUAGUGUAUCGACAAAAGAGGCAAUGGCUAAAUUUCAGGAAAUGGGUGAGGCGGGAUGGAAGGAUAUUAAUGAAGGAAUGCUUAGGCCCACUCCCAUAUCUAUGGAGUUUUUAUCUCGCAUUCUCAAUCUUUCUCAGCUUGUUGACGUUACAUAUAAACACAAUGAAGAUGGAUACACUCAUCCCGAGAAAUUCAUAAAACCUCACAUCAUUGCCACGGUUGUUGACUCCUUCAAAAUUUAACCUGACAAUCGUUGGUUUAAGAAAAUCUCCACUCUCUUUGUCGAGAAAGUAAUACGUUUUUUUCUUAUUUUUUUUCACGCUUGUGCAGUGUAGUUCCUACCUAGGACCUGCUUAUAACAAGUUCCUUAUGUUUUUUACUUUCUUGAUUAAACAAGUAAAGUCAGAAUGUUUGUAGUUUCUAAUUCAGUAUGGUCCAUAGUAAUCCCUGUAUUUUGUAAUAAUGCAUAUGAUCUAUUUAUACUAUUCUGUCCUUUUAACCAAAAGUUUCAAUAUUGAAAUAUUUGACGAAGACAACUGUCAAUCAAAAUUGUGAGAGAAAGAUGUAUGUAACACCCCGCGUUUUCAAACUAGAAAUCAAAAUGUUGUUCCUACGUGUGCAAGCUCUAAUAGAAAUUAUUUCCAAGUGAGAAUAAGUGUCAUGAUCUAUAUCUUCGUGUUUGAAGUGCUUUUGAGGUGAAAAAUCUUCAUAGGAAUCACCCAAAACUAUCCAAAACACAAGAUUUAAGCCCCAAAGAGCUUUUGUUACAUCAUUAUUCUCUUUUCCUGUUUAAGAAAAUCCUAGAGCCCCAAAAAUCAAGAAUCAAGCUCCUAAGUAAAUAAUCCCAAGAAACUAAUCAAGAUUUGAAUUUUUAUCCUUUAAACUAAGUAAUCUAAGGUAUGUGAGAUUUCUCUAAACAUCAUAGGCAUAAUUUUUACUGUUUUUAUCUAUAUGAAGGAUCCCCAAUCAUGUUUUAUAAAGGAGUGUUUUGUUAUUAUAUUGAAAAUCAUGGAGUUGUUUUGAAGCAAGCAUAUGUUUGUCUCUAUCUAAAUUAGUCUUUAUAUUUCAUUUUAUUGUAAAGUGUGAAUAAGAGCAUGAAUGAUUAAACUCCCUCUCCUACGAUGUUAUUUUUUAUUUCAAGUAUGGUGGCUUGUGUAAAUGUAUGAAUUUCUUGAAAGGAAACUAAAUGAUGAAUGCUUUACUGAUGAUCAUGAACAAUUCUAUUUACUACAUGUAGAUGGGGUAUUUUUCUAUGGUAAAUGUCUACUUGGUCAAAUUAACACUUUUCAUGAGUUUUAAGUGGUGACCACCUAUUGAUUUUACAAUUGGGAGGAGAAUGUUUUGAUGAAAAUUUAAAUGAAAGGUCUAUUGCGUAACUCUCUCUCAUAAGAUGUUUAAAAGCUAGGGGUGGUCAUUAAUAUAAUAAUUAGUGGAAAGGGUUUUUGAUAUGAUAUGAUGUUAUUUGAUUAACUUACAAGUUAGGGCAUGACGAUACCCGAUGAUUUCAUGCCCUUAACAAGAUAGUGUUGAAUGUUUUGAAAGUAUGAACAUGUUUUCUUUAAAGAACUAAAGGUGGCGUUUGAGUGCAAGGGCUCAUCGUUGGAAAUCGUACUUGCUGAUGCGGGAAUUAUGAUAUAUGAUCCUACAUGAAAGGACAAUUUUAGGACAUCUCACAUGGGGGGAUUUCUUGUGGUAUGCUUACAUUGGGGUAUCACCACUCUAAUUUUGGUGGCUACUUAGAUUGAAGGCUUGGCUGCCGAGUCAAGGGAGGGUUCCACAUAGCCCGUGGAAUUCCAAAUUUGUAGGGUAUACCGACUAGCUCAGAAGAAUAAUAAAGGGUAAGUCUAAGUUUUAAAGAAUUGUUUUGAAAUACACUAAAGUAUGCCCAUGUAGUUUAACUUGCAUUGUGUUCAUGGUUAUUAUGAAUUCUCUCAUCUAUUUUGUAUAAAAAGCAUGCUAUUUUCAGGUUGUUUCACAUACCAGUACAAUUGUAUUGACACCCUAUAUUUUACGAUCUGAGGCACAGUCUCGGGGUCCCACUAAGCAGUUGGUAGAAUCCUGUUAGAGUCUGCAAUUGAUGAGUCUCCCCUUAUUUUGGAAGGCCUGUUGUAGAAUAUUCUUAGUUUAUUUUGAUUUAUGGCUGAAAGGGGGUCUUGUCCUAGUUUUUAGACGUAUAUUGGUCUUGGUAUUGUUAGAGAUUUCACAGACUGGUGUCGUGUGUUUUCAAACAUUAUCAAUUAAAUUUUGAAUUGUUCAUUUAAAGUAAGAGAGUAACCAUGUUUUCGUUUUUCCAUAUUUCCGUAUUUUCUUAUUGUAUAUAAAUUGUGUAUAUGAUUUCCCGAAAUGAGUCGCUUCCCUCUUUCCUUCACCACCAGUUGGAGCACAGUCUUCGCGGUCUCAAGGUUAUCAACAGGACAAGCCCAAUAACAUGGCUAUGAGCUUUUUCCUUACUCAGACCCCAAGUGGGCAGGGUGACAAGACUUUGAUGAAGGGCUCUCAGGCCUUCAAGGUUUGGGAUGCCCGUCACGGCCAGGACCUCAGUUCAGGUCAUGACAAACUUGGUAUCAGAGCAUGAUUCAUGGUCCCAGGGUGUCUCCAAAAUUGCAUCGGGUAGAAUCCUGUUUAUGGGUAUGUAGUGCACCACACUUAUAAGUAGGAAGCUACUAGGCAUUUAGGAAUGUUUCCCUUUUUUCAUGUUCUAGUUCACGCUAUGGAGUUAGAAUAUUCUUCUUUCAUACUCUAGUUCAUGUGAUGGCAUCGUCCAUACGAAAGUUAUCCCAAUUCUUUUCUUACCCUGAUGUUCUUAGAUAUGUCUCCUUGUUGAGGUGAUUCAAGUGUAGAAGCUUAAAGUCUAAAUGAUGUGGUUCUUAUUAAUUGAGUCAUAAACGAUUAUGAAAUUGCACAAGGACUUAAGGGGAGUCCAUAAGUGCUUUAAGGUGCAUUGAUUUAAGAUUGUACCCCUGUUUACAUCAAUCAUGCAUUUGAGCCUGAGGUAUAAAGCGUAUUUAGUCCCCUUCAUGAUUCUUGUUGCAAAUGUCAUGCUUAAGGCUAGUGAUAUAUGUCAGAAUGUUGGAAUAAUAUUUCCACCCAAGUAGUACUAUUUGCUAAGGUGUCAUACCCUAUUGGUAGUAAGAUGAUUAGUGAUAUAACAUCACCAGGUUAGAAUUUAGAAUGAGGGUGACUUUUGCGUAAGGAAGAUAGUUUAGUUAUAUAACCGUUGAUUGGGGGAUGGGUUGCCAUUUGAUAGUGAUAGAAUAAUGUGGUAGCAAUAUUUGUAGAUUGUAUGGUAGUUUGUGGAGAAAGUGUUUGACUAUGAUAUUAUCUAUUCAAAAUGGGGAUGGAGCCUAGAGUGGAUAGUUAUGAUGGUUAUAGAAAUCCCUUAUAGGCAUAGACUCAUUAUUGCAUAUGGAAUUUCGAAGGUAGUUGUGAUGUAUGCAUGGGUAAGUAACGAUGGAGUGAGAAAGUAGAAUAUGUUGAUGAGAUCGUAAUGGGUUAUCUUAUAAGGUUAAGAUCGACCGACUGUCCCUAUUAUGUGACUUUACCCCUUCCUUCUUUGAUUGUCUUUUCUUUGGUAAUUGUAAGCUAGUACUGCAUGUGAGAAGGUGUGCGGUGGAUUCUAAGAUGUGGUAGUAAUGUUGUGGAGAGAAUGAACUUGUGGGCGGUAGUUAAGUUAAAUGGCAUAGUUGGGUUGAUUCCCCAAUUUGAUGGAAUAGUUAGUAUGUGACUUGCUUUAUCGGUGCUAUAUUAUUGGUGUUGUUAGACAAUAGCCUUUGAACUUUAGAUGUGGAGUGUAGUGGUAAAAAUAGUAGCUUAAGAUUAAUAAUGCAUGUUUUGUGGGAGUAAGUAGUAGGCUUGAUUCGAUGUGUGCAAUAGCCUAGGUGAGCAAUUUGUGAAAAAAAAAGGGUCGAUAAUUUUGAUAUAUUUAUAUACAUGGGACUAGUGUUAUAAUGAUUAAUUGUGGUUGAAUCAUUAAACUCAUAGGAGUGUGGGUAUAUAAGAUUAAGUUGGCCCCCCCCUCAUUAGAUAAAGUUUUAUGUGUAUAAGUGUUUGGUGUACCUAGUCUUUUUUCUCAAAAUUUGUAGUAUGGAGACAUCUAGGGAAGACUAAGGAGUUGUUGUAUGGUUUUCUUUAUAGAUAAAUUGAGAAAAUACAGGUAGGCAAUAUGUGCCUUUGGUAUAGUUUGUAAAAUUUGUUAAGUUGUAAUGGUAUAUGGUUAGAGGUCUAAUGUUUGAAUGUUGAGUAGUGGAGGUCAGAUCAUUAUGUGAUAAGGAGUGUAGAUGCGGAUGUUCAUGAGAGUUUAAGUUGUAGGGUGAUGGUUAUAGAGGCUAGCUAAAGUCGAGAGUAGCAUUCCCGAUAAGCAAUGCCUUCAAAGUAUAGUUUAUCAGGGGAAGUUUAGAUUAUAUGUGUAUGGUGAUACCCCGUUGUGUUGAGAGUUGUGCUUGUAGAUUUAAUGACAAGAUAUGUCCUCAAGUCUAGGAUUGCGACUUUGAUCUAAAGGGGAGAUGGUGAAUAAAGGUAGUUCUUAAAUUUUCUCAGUGUGGCAAGUUACGGGGAGGAGUCAUGAUAAACCUAUUCCUAUUCACGAAUAUUCCUCCUGCUUCAAUUUAAGAGGUCAAUGUACCAAUGUCUUAUUUAUUCAAGUUCUGCCUAUGCCUAAGGUAUAAGAUCUCUAUGUAGCUCAUGUAAUGUUCUGACCUCGAAACUAGAAGAAAUGAUGUCUCAGUAAAUCUAGACUUUCAUGUAUUCAAUCUCUAUGUUAUGAUAUUCAUGAUCCAUAAAUCCAUGUCCCGGAUCAUGCUUUGUUCUAAGGAACUAUGUUUUCAUAUGUCGCUGACUUAUUUUAUGUUGGGAUUAGCCAAAAUAAUAAAGUUGUGCGAACUCAUGACAAUUUCAGCACUAAAAAUGAGAAGUGAUAGCUUCGAGUAGAAUUCCUUGUCUUAAGUGUUGACUUCAUGAAUUCCAAACUUAUGUUAUACAACCCAUGAUGUAAGCACUUAUGUUUCUCACUAUGGUCUAUACUAAGGAAUCAUGCUAUAUUGUGUUUAUGCCAGAGUAACUCUCUACUUAUGAUCAAAACACUUGAUAUAUGAAGCACUUCGUGAUUGUAUCAUAUCUCCACCUAAUGUUCUCAACAAAUAUGGUUUAUAAUUGAGUAGUGUUUCUCCCAUUCGUGAUGCUUAUGCUUGGGCCCCUUAAUGACCCAACGAAUGAUAGUAUGAUAAGUAGUUAUGGAAGAGUACCAGUGACUUAGGAAGGGGGAGUAGAUGUUCAUGAAGGUGAAAAUUUUGAUGUGAUUUCCUUAUUUAAGGUUUUAAGUGAUAGAAGAAAGAAGGGGAUGAACUUUUAUUAUGAAUAGUAGUAGGGAUGAAGGUAUGUAGCGAAAAUACUUGUAAGAAUGAUUGAAACUAUGGGUCUUAAUGGAGAGACCCAUUAAGUAGGUGUAGUAAUGAUAGGCUCGAAAGUUGUGAUUGAUGAAAACACAAACCGAUGUGCCAUGUGGUUAGUAUUCCUUGAAUUAAGACUUGAGGUUGUUGGAUUAUAGUGAUGAGGUGAGGUGAUUUCUUAGUGUGAUGUUGAGUACGUGGUCCCAUAGUUUAAGUUAGCACCUUUUAACUUUGAAUUAGGCUUCAACAUGGAAGUAUUGUGUGUGGGAACUCAAACUCUUCUGGUUAGAAGUGUUAUGGGAGAAUUGUGAGUUGGAAAUGAUGAAGAAUGUUAAUUGUUGGUUUGGGGCAUAGAAAAGUAGUGUCUCUAAGUUUAAGUCUUUUCGUUGUAUCUUGUAAGAUGGAGAAUGCUUCUAUUCUUAUGUCUCAUGAGAACCUCAUCUCAUGUCUUGUACCAAUUUUAAUCAGGCCGAGGAUUCUUAGGAAAAUUCAUGCCUUACAAUGUUUUGAUCUUGUGCCAAAAAACACAUGCCAGAAUCAUGUCGAUGUCAAGUUUCCUUAUCUCAUGUUUCGUGUUUACACAUUUCCCUAGGGGUUAUCAUGAAGCUUGUUUGAUGCCUUUGCAUCUUUUGUUGAGGAAAAUGUUCAAUGCGAUAUUACGUUCUUUAUUCUACAGUUUUAGAACUUCCAAAAGUCCCUACCGAUCAUUUAGGGACGAAUGAUACCAAAGGGGAGAUAAUGCAACACCCACAUUUUCAAACUAGAAAUCGAACUAUUGUUCCUACGUGUAUAAGCUCUAACAGAAAUUAUUUCUAAGUGAGAAUAAGUGUCAUGAUCUAUAUCUUCGUGUUUGAAGUACUUUCGAGGUGAAAAAUCUUCAUAGAAAUCACUUAGAGCGAAGUUGAGCUAAGAACCUUUGAUUCGGCUAAAUCUUCAUAUUCGAUUUUACAAGGAUCUACUUUGAACGUGUAUAACUUUUAAUACAAGUAGAAUUUUUUAGCUCAAGACCCACCAAAUUGUAGAUAAUUGAUUCAUCUUUUCAACUAUACCAAUUUUACCUUAAUCUGAUACCCGAGUGAAAAGUUAUAGCCAUUUUUGUGAGAGAGGCAGUGAGGUCACGCGAUUAGCAUGCGACGCACGCUUCAUUUCACCCCUUAUUUUCCAGUUUCUGUUUUCCUUCUUUUUGAGGGCAAUACUGGAAUUUACCUCACCCAAAACCAUCCAAAACACAAGAUUUAAGCCCCCAAAGAGCUUUUGUUACAUCAUUAUUCUCUUUUCCUCUUCAAGAAAACCCUAGAUCCCCAAAGAUCAAGAAUCAAGAUCCUAAAUCAAGAAUUCCAAGAAACUAAUAAAGAUUUGGGUUUUUAUCCUUCAAACUAAGUAAUCUAAGGUAUGUGGGUGUAACACCUCGCACUUUCAGCCUAAAAUUUAAACCAUCGUUACUACGUGUAUAGACCCGAACAAAAUGAUUCUUUGUUAAUAUAUGUGUGGUGAUGAAUCCUACAGUGUGGUAAUAUAUUUGAACAUGAAUUGAGUUUACAAAAAUCCUCUAACACAAAUAUGAGUUGAAAACUCUUCUAUCGAUUAAGUUUUGGUGAACGUCUCAGCUUGGGGUCAACUUCCAUCAGCCAUAACUUCUUGUAUAUAAUGAGUUAGAGGGCCUACUAUAUAUCAAAUGAAAGGUCUUUGAGUCUUAUUUCCAAUUUCACCGAAAUUUCCUUAAUCUAAUAUCUUGGUAAAAAGUUAUGCCCAUAUUACAAAGAGGUGUCAGCCUGCCAAAUUGUGACGAACAGAUUAUCAGACCAUCAAUGUAACACCCCGCACCUUCGGGCUAGAAUUUAAACCGCCAUUCCUAUGAGUAUAGACUCGAACCAAAUGAUAAUUUUUUAAUAUAUGAGUGGUGAUCAAUCCUAUCAUGUGGUAAUACAUUUGAACAUGAAUUGAGGUCACAAAAAUCCUGUAACUCAAAAACGAGUUGAAAACUCUUCUAUCUAUUAAGUUUUUGUGAACGUUUCAACUUAGGUAAAUUUCAAUCAGCCAUAACUUCUUUUAUAUAACGAUUUAUAGGGCUUACUAUAUAUCAAAUGAAUGUUCUUUGAGUCUUCUUUCUAAUGUAACCGAUUUUGCCUUAAUAUGAUAUCAUAGUAAAAAGUUAUACCGAUUUUACAGAGAUGUGUCAGUCUGCAAAAUUGCAAUGGCCAGACUGACGGACCAUCAAGCCAGUGAUGGCCCGUCAAAUUAGGCCAUCAACUUGAAACAAAAAACUCAAAAUCUGUUUUUUUGUGACGGUUUGAGUGACGACCAGUCACGGGAGUGAUGGUCCGUCAUCCAGGCCGUCGAUAAAGGCCAAACAACGUUAAAGUGUAAUUUUAAAGGGAUAUUUUGGUACUUUCUCAUUCCAAACUCCUUCCCCACAUAUUUAAAUAAUACCAUUAGCGUUAUAAUCCAUAUUUUAUCAGUUUUACAACAUCUCAAUCCUCUCUACUGUGAAGAAUAAGAGAUAUUAGGGUUUUCUCUAAGAACAAAAAAUCAGGAAGCUAAUCCUUUCAAUCAAAGAUUCCUAAGAAACGAAUUAAGAUUUGGAUUCCAUCCUUCAACCUAAGUAAUCUAAGGUAUGUGGGGUUUUCCUAAACAACAUUGGAAUGGUGAAAUGAUUUUAAUAAUAUUUUGAAUGUUGAGAAAUCAUAUAGUUACAAAAGGGUUCUUAAAUUUCACUAAGAAGUAUCCAUUAUGAACUUUUAGUUCUCGAGGCCUUCCCUUCAACUUGAAUUUGCUACUCGUGUAUAUCUAUAUAUGGCUUUCUAGUUUUCAAAUAUGAAUUGAGAGUGUGAAUAAUGUAUUUCCCUCUAUCAUUGCAUUAUUUCUUGAUUUCACAUGUUAUGAAUUACUCAACUGCAUGUCUUACAACAUGAACUAAGGGUUUUACUAUCAUUUAUGAACUUAUGUCGAUUGUGAAUUGAAGAGAGGGAUAUUUUAUUGUUUGUAAAAGCUGAAUGUGAAAAUCAAAAGAAUUGCAUGAUUAUUCUGACCACCAUUUAUUGAUAUGCUGAAAAGAGAGGAUUUUGCAUAGUUUGACAUAUGUUUGGAAAUAUGAGUUCUCUUGUACUGUUUGACUAUUUUGGUGGUCUAUACAUUGUUUUGAAUGAAAGAGUUGUAACAUGAUAAUAAAUGGCUUAGACAUACGACUUGAAAGUCUUUCUAUGACGAUACCAAAUAGAUGAAUACCAUAGCAGAUUCAGAACGGACUAGAAUACAAAUUUUACUCAGAUUUUGAAUUCAAAAAAAUGCAUGAUUAGAAAAGGUAAAAAAUGGGCAUAAAGAGAGUUAGAUGGUUACCCGAAUAAAGUACGAGUUGAAAGACUCAACACUGGAAGCCGUGAUUUACCGACAAGGAAUUAUGAUACCCUACUUUGUGAUCUUGUGUUCCUUGAUUCAUGUCAUCCUAAAUUGGGAAUAUGUUUAGGAGCCCUGCUUUGUGAUUUUGUGCACUACUGUGACAUGUUUAUUUGAUUGGAGAUUUUGGGACCCUGCUGUGUAAUCUUGUGUCUCCCCCUUAUAGAUACUUUAAUCCUUACAGCAAACUUGGAUUGGGGGCUUGGCCACCGAGUCAAGGGAUUAUUCCAUAUAGUCCGUAGGAUUGUAAAAGUGUAGCAUUUACUACCUAGCUCAGAAGUAAAACUAAGAGAGAGUUUUGGUUUCAAAGAAUUGUUUCAAAUUCUUUUAAGCUUGCCCAUGUGUUUUCUUAUAUCUUAUGUAACUUGUUUUUAUAAAUUUCUAUCACUUAUUCUAUAUAUAAAUACAUUAUUUUGGAUUGCUCUACGUACCAGUACAUCUGUAUUGACCCCCUAUAUUUUAGGAUCUAAGACACAGUCUCGGGGUCCCACUAAGUAGUAGAUUGGGUUGUCCGAAGUCUGCAGUUGGUGAGCCUGCCUUAUUUUAGAAGGUCUUAUUGAUUUGACAUUGAUAUUUCAUUUUGUCUUAUGGCCUGACUUGGGCCAGACAGUAGUGUUUUUGAGUUUUUAGAGAUUUCGCAUACUAGUGUCAGGUGUUUUUUUCUGGAAUGUUUCAUGAACUCAUUUUCGUAUUAUUCAGUUGAAGUAAAAGAAUGACCAUGUUUCCAUCUUGUCAUAUUUUUCAACAUUUUCCUUACUAUAUAUGAAUUGUGUAAUUGAUUGCCAGUUAGAGAAGGGAUCUCAAACCUUAAUGGUUCGGAAUGCUCGUCACGACCUGGGACUCAAUUCGGGUCGUGAUAGUGGGACUACUCUAGACAUCAUGGGCAUAACUUUUAUUGAUUUAAUCUAUAUACAAGAUCCCCAAUCAUGUUUUAUAAAGGAGUGUGUUGUUAUUAUAUUGAAAAGUAUGUAUUAAGGAGUCCUUAUGAAGCAAGCAUAUGUUCGUCUCGAUCUUAAUUAGUUUUCACGAAAUUAAAAAAUUUCAAUAUAUAUAUAUAUAUAUAUAUAUCAAACUAGGGCUUAAAACAUUUGUUUCAAAACUAUAUAAACACAUGGCACAAUAUCAUGUUCUAUAUACCAUUUAUACAUAUAUAUAUACAUGCACACACACAUAAAUAUAUGAUUUAAUUGUAUUGUAAAGUGUGAAUGAGAGGAUGAAAGGAAACUAAAUGAUAAAUGCUUUACUGAUGAUCAUGUACAAAUUGGUUUACUACAGGUAAAUGUCCACUCGGUCAAAUUAACACUUUUUAUGAGUUUUAAGUAAUUACAAAUAUGAGGUGAUCACCUAUUGAUUUUACAAUUUAGAGGAGAGUGUUUUGAUGAAAAUUUGAAUGAAAGGUCUAUUGUAUAACUCUCUCUCAUCUUAUGUUUAAAAGAUAGGGGUGGUCAUUAAUAUGAUAAUAGGUGAAAAGGACUGCAAAUAUGAUGUGAUGUGAUUUGAUUGACUUGCAAGUCAGUGUAUGAUGAUACUAUAACGCCUCAAUUUUUCUGAACUGAAAUACUAUAUGGUGCUCAGACCCCGAAGGACAAUAAUCUAACCCAUGACUGAUAUUUGUACCUGUACACUGCAUAAUAUUCUGUAUAAAUACGACAACAUGUACUGAGAGGCCAUAAGGUUCAAACUAGAUAAACAUCUGAUAAAACUAUGUCUGAAAGCGGUAUAACAAUACCAAAACAAAUCUAAAAUAAUGGUCUGAUAUCCUAUAGUCAAAAAGCCUCUAAAAUGUCUGAAUAAGGAGUUUAUGGGACAUGUCCCUAACUAACUCCAUCUACUGAAAUAAACUGGAAACUAAAAUAGUAAUGUAAUCAUCAUGUCCUCGAAAAAUGAGGACUCACUUCUAACUCUGACCGCUGAGACUAGAAUCUACUGCUGAUUUGGAGCUCGUUCCUCUAAACCUAUGGUAUAAGACACCAUAGCGCAAAUGCGUUAGUACUUUGAAUGUACUGGAAUGCAAUUGAGGUAGGCUAAAUGCAUGGGGUUCAUAUGCAUGAACAAAUAUAACUGACUGACUAACAUGAAUGUAAGAAUACAUGCAUGACUACAUAACUGUAACUGAGAUCGUAUUGGGACUGAAUACUAUGUUACUGAACAUAGAUAACUGUAUCUAACAGUUCUAAUUAUGAAGAAUUAUUCUGGUUUACUAUAUCUAACAGUCCUGAAGCUAAAAACUGAUUACAUAUGUUUUGAUAACUGAUAACAUGAGUGACUGUAUUUGACAGUCCUGAAUCUAAUGGAACUAGCUGAGUUCUACACUGCAUCUGAUUUACUGAAUCUUAGAUCAGUCCUAUAUAGUGGGUGAUCUCUAAAUCUGAUAAUACUAAUACUAAUUGACCAUAGUUGAGAUCAUUCUUAUCUAGUGGAUGAUCUCAGGGUUUAUUUAUAAUGAUAAGGAGUGACUGUAUCUGACAGUCUUAAAUCUAUACUACUAAGCUAAAUUGACUGUAUCUGACAGUCCUGAUUCUAUAACUAAAACUGUGGGAUGUGAUCAUCUAACCGACAUGACCAAUGCUAAGCUAACUGGGGUCCAACCUUUAACCCCAGCUGAAAGGGUAUCAGUACCAUGCCACUAGUAAAGACAACUGCUGUGGAGUCAGUCCUAAUCUAGUGGGUGACCUCUGGGAUCAGUCCUCUGGGAUCAGUCCUAUACAUUUAAAUACGCUAAUGGGUGAUCCCUGAGUAUGUCAGUCAUAUUUAAUGAGUGAAAUCUCAUACCUACACUAGCUACGUAGUUCUGGAACUUAGGGAUUGCUUCUAGGGAUCUCAGUCCUAUCUAGCGGGUAAGUCCCCAUCCUUAGGCUCGCUUGGUGCUGAAUCCUACUCUCAUCUGAAAGACACUAAACUGAACUGAUUGGCUGAACUAAAUUUACUAAGUUCCGUUGACUGACAGAAUGUACUGAGUUCUAAGGAAUGACUGAGAAUACUGAAGUUACUGAGAUUGUUUGGGAAUACUGAUGUUAUUCAGAAUGCUGAACUACUGAAAUUACUGAGAUUUCCUGAGUCACAUAACUGACUGAGUUCUAUGGAUCAUAGCUUGACUGAGGAGAUUGUGAAAACAUGACAUGGCUCUAGGCACACAGCUAAAUGUUCGGGUACAAGUACCCUAAGGACUUGAUAAGAAAAAAUUGACAUAGCAUGUCUUACUUGAACACAUGACCAACAACACAAUUCAUAAUUCAUAUAUUGAAGAACUUCAUCAAACAUGUGAUAUGUAUAAAUUUGUACAUACUGGGGAUUUCAUGAUAUCAUACUAGUUGGGCAUUGUUCGUUCGUUUAGGCAUUUAAUCAAACACAUGGUACGCAUAACAAAUGUAGACAUCAUUAUACAAUAAUUAAUCAUCAUGAUUCAUCUCUAAUUUCAUUAUCCAAGGGUUUUAAUCCUAGGUUUACACGAAUCUACAUCAUUACUAGUCGAUUACAUAUGCAAUUUAUCACCAAACAUGGAUUAGAAUGCAAUUAGUCAUUAUCAAUAUGAACAAGAGCAAUCCAAUCAUGAAAUUCAUAAAGAAAAUCCAUAACUUGAAUUUAGAAAAGAGAUUCUUAGAUUUCAUAGACGAAAGGAGUCCAUGAAUGAACACUACGCACACCUUAGCUUGUGAUUUCUAUGAAGAUUGACGGAGAGAUUCUUGAAAUUUGACGGUGAAUUCCCUUGUAAUUAAACCUUCUAUUAAAACCCUAUGGCUUGUUCUUGAGAGUUUUUGAGAGUAAUUGAGUAUAAGCUACCAAAUUAUGGCCAAAUCUCGUGUUAUAAGGCUUAUAUAGGGUGGAAAAUUGACCCUUUUAACCCUAGGAAGCGUCUUUAAUUUCUGAGAAAAUUUUUCGAUUUUCAUCCUUGGCGCGACGCGCCACUAUCGUGCCAAGUCACUGGAAAGUGACAAAUGGAAAGUUGUACGGUGGCGCGACGUGGAGCUAUCGCGUUGCCACCUUGUUUAUGACUUGGAAGUUUGACACAACACGCCACUAUCACGGAGCAACACUGGAAAUUGACAAUUUCCAUUUGACCUAUCUCCGCGAUGCGCUGAAGGCUCAGGUGAUACAUUAUCUCACUAAAAAGGCUCUAACUCUUCACCCGGGUGUUGGAUUUGGGUGAAUUUGGUAUCGAUGGAAAGUUUGUUUGAUUCCACGCAUGAUAAAAAGUGAAAAUCUUGAAAAUACCUCGUGUAAAAAAGUAGAUUCAUCUUUCAAAGAAAGCUUGUAACAUUCUUGGGGAAACUUUUCAAGCUAGGAAAAGUACGGGGUAUUACAGAUACCCUAUGAUUUCAUGCCCUUAACAAGAUAGUGUUGCAUGUUUUGAAAGUAUGAACAUGUUUUCUUUAUAGAACAAAAAGUUGGGUUUAAGAGAGCUAGUAGGUUACACGAAGAAGGCAUUUGAGUGCAAGGCCUCAUCAUAGGAAACCGUAAUUUCCGAUGCAGGACUUAUGAUUGAUGAUACUACAUGAAAGGAUAUUUUUAGGACAUCUCAUAUGGGGGGAUUGCCUGCAGUGUGAUCACAUGGGGGUAUCACCACCCCAAUCGUUACGGUUACUUGGAUUAGAGGCUUGGAAGUUGAGUCAAGGAAGUGUUCCACAUAGCCCAUAGAAUUCCAGAUUUGUAGGGUGUACCGACUAGUUCAGAAGAAUAACAAAGGGUGAAUUAAUGUUGUCAAGAAUUGUUUUCAAGUACACUAAAGUAUGCCCAUGUAUUUUUACUUGUAUUGUGUUCAUGGUUAUUACGAAAUGCUCUCAUCUAUUUUGUAUAAAAAGCAUGCUAUUUUUGGUUUGUUUCAUACUAGUACAAUUGUAUUGACUCCUAUAUUUCAGGAUCUGAGACAUAGUUCUGGGAUCCCACUAAGCAGUAGGUCCAAUAUUGUUAGAGUUUACAGUUGGUGUGCCUCCCCUUAUUUCGGAAGGCCUGUUUAAUAAUAUUUUUAGUUAAUUUUGAUUUAUGGUCUGACUGGGGGUCUUGUCCUUGCUUUCAGAUAGAUAUUGGUCUUGGCAUUGUUAGAGAUUUUGCAGACUAGUGUUGUGUGUUUUCAAACGCUAUGAAUUAAAUUUCAUAUUGUUCAUUUGAAGUAAGAGAAUGACCAUGUUUUUGUUUUUCCAUAUUUUCACAUUUCCUUACUGUAUAUGAUUUGUGUAUAUGAUUUCCAAUUAGAGAAGGGCUCUCGGUCCUUCAUGGUUUGGGAUGCCUAUCAUGGCCUGGGCCUCGGUUCGGGUCGUGGCAAUGUACCUACUAGAAUUGGAAAUAAAGAAGGAAAAAUGUACCCCCUUCUCUUCUCUUGUUUAUUCUUUUGGUCAACGGGAAACAUUUUAUUAUUCUACUCCAAUAGCUAUUUACAAGCCCCACGACCAAAACCAAAAUAGGAAAACAAAAAUCUCAAAAAGGAUCCAGUUGUUCUAUAGUUCCUGUCACUGGAAAGAAAAGAAGAACUGAGAAGUAACAAGUUAAAACAACAACAAAAUGGAUCUGUAAAUUGCUGCUAGAAAACAAACUAUGGAGAAAGAAGAAGAGCUGAAAUUUGUUGAGUACUCUAUUUAUUUCUCUUGAUAGAUAACUACAUAGGUGUCAUGAGCUGAGCUGAGACACUGGCCGCGAUAAGCAUGUCGAACCAUAAAGGCCCGAGUUCCCCUUCUAACUGGUAAUCAUAUGUAUAAUUCAUCUACUAUAAAUGAAUGCAGAAAACAUAACAAAACAGAAACACGGUCAUUCUCUUACUUCAACUAAUCAAUACGAAUAUGAGUUCAUAAACAUUUAGAAACAUCUAACACCAGCUGCAAAUAUCUAACAAUACGAAAACAAUAACUGUUUGUGACCAGGACAAGGCCCCCAUUUUGACCAUGAACUAAAAGAAAAUAAAGAUAUAGCAUGAACCAAGGUCCUACGGAACGAGGGAGGCUCACCAACUUCAAAGUCUAAUAAACUGAUCUACUGCUUAGCGGGACCCCGGGACUGUGCCUCAGAUCCUGAAAUAUAGGGGUCAAUACAAAUGUACUAGUAUGUGAAGCAACCCAAAAUAGCAUGUUUUUAUUUAAUAUAAGUGAGAGCAUUUCACAAAAACAAUAAACAUAAUACAGGUAAAAAUACAUGGGAACCUUUUAAUAAAUUCCGAAACAAUCCUGACAACUUUGAAUCACUCUUUAUUUUUCCUCUGAGCUAGUCUGUACACCCUAUAAUAUGUAAUUCCAUGGGCUAUAUGGAAUCGCCCUUGAUUCGAUGUCCAAGCCCCCAAUCCAAGUUUUCCACAAGAAUUAGAGUAUUCAUGAUAUGGUACACCCCUUACACGUGUACCGUGGCAUCACCCUUGCAUAAUGUCCAAAAUUAUCUCCUUUUGGAUAAUACCCGUAUCGGCAAACCAUGGUUUCCAGCAAUGAGCCCUUGUAUUCAAAUGCCUUCUUUGGGUAACCAGCUAGAUCUCUUAAGCCCAAUUUUUAGUUCCUUCAAAACCAUGCUUCACAUUUUCAAAUCAUUCAAUACUUAUUCUGUUAAGGGCACGUUAUAAUCGGGUACCAUCAUACCCAGACUUGUAAGUCAUUUAUGUUACAUCAUAACAUAUCAAUAGCCCUUUUUAUUAAAGAAGUCAUAUAGAUGGACACCCCAAAAGAUUCAAAUGUUUCUUGAGGUCAUUAAUAAUUCAAAACAUAUGAAAAUGUAUAUAAAACACUUUUCUGAAACACAUAAUCAUAUGAUGGCCUGUCCUUCUUUGAAACACAUGCAUUUCUUUCUCAUACAUAAUCAUAUGAUGGCCUGUCCUUCUUUGAAACACAUGCAUUUCUUUCUCAUAACAAAAAUGAACACUUGUAAAUAAGGAGUGCUACCCUUUCAUAAUGUCAUAAACCAUGUCAACCAUGAGUAUAUGGAGGAACUUAAUUUCAAAACCUUAAUUCAUGCAUUCGAAAUAACUCACAAUUCAAAUAGACAAUAUAUUUCAUAUCAAGAGAGGGAAUUCAUUGUUCAUGCUCUCAAUUAAACUUUUCAAAAUUGAGAUCAUAUAUAAAUAAGGCACUAUAAUUUGAUUACACGAAAAAGAGUCCAAAUACAAUCUAUACACUUUCAUCAAAAUGAUUUCAUGACAUGCUUUUCGAAACAAUAUUCAACACACUUCUUGCAACAUGAUUAUAAAUCCUUACACUUUAUAAAAAUAAAAAAACCUUAGGCCCAUAGAGUGUAGGGUAGUCCCAUAUACCUUAAGUCCCUUAAUUUGAAGAAUGAAGCCCUAAUCUUGAAACUUUUCUGGAGAAUCUGUAAGUUAGAAGGCUUGAAUUCUUGUUUUGGGGAAAGGCUAGGGUUUAGUUUAGAGAAAAAUUAAGGAAUUUUGGGAACAUAAUGCCCUAAUGAUGACUUAAUCUUGCAAUAUUAUGAUUUGGGUUGAUGUGGGAAAAGACCCAGUUGCCUGUCACUCAUUUAAACCAAAAAUUCAUAACUGAAAUGCAGAUUGAAGGCUCAUCGCGACGCGGUCUAAUCGUAGUGACCUGUUGGUUCUGAGAAAAAUGAUCGUAAAUUUUCACUUAGGUAUCAGAUUAAGGCAAAAUUGAUAUUGUUGGAAAUAGAAUUCACUUAUCUACAGUUUGGUGGAUUUUGAGAUGAAAAAUUUCACAUACAUCAAAAUUUAUACACUUUUAAAGUUGACCCUCAUAGAAUCGAAUACCAAACUUUAGAUGAAUCUAAGAUUCUUAGCUCAACUUGGCUUUAAGUGAUUCCUAUGAAUAUUCUUCAUCUCAUAAGCACUUCACACUCUAGGAUAAAGAUCAUGAAACAUGUAUGCAAUUAUUUAUCAAGAACUUGAAGAAAACACUUCACUGCAAUGUGGUUAUAUGGUCAUCGCUAAACCCACCAUGACGCGCCACUAUCGUGGUGAGGAUCUGGAAUAGAAAUCCAAGCGUGCCCUAAAACUUGUCCAAAAAAUUCAAAAUUCCCCUGAGACAUACUUCUUAUAUCUCUGAACAUGAAUCAACUCAAAAAAUUAUGUCUCAGGGUCGAUAAGGUCAGUUUAGAAGCCCUCAAAGUUUAGAGGUCUUGAAGAUGACUAAGCACCCCAACACUUAGUGAAAAUUUUGAGCCUUAAGUCCCUUAAACAUACAACUAAAAGAUGAAUUAAUAUAAGAAUAGUAUAGAGUGUUACAGUUAGGUUCAUAAAUGUAUGAAAGACUGUUUAACCUUAGCUCGAAAGUGUGGGGUGUUAUAAUAGGCUACACAUUUAUAUAGUUUGUGUGUGAGGAAUAUAAACCACAAAAUAAGAAAAAUAUCUCAAACAGUACUAAGUACAUAUGUUGCCAACUAAUUACCACUCAUUAUAAAUAGAACACUUGUCUACUACAAAAUAUCUACUAACUAGGAGUUUCUAGAUAAAUCAUAAUUUCCUAACACUUCACCUUAAGAUUUUUCAUUGAUAUUCCCUGCAAUGACCUUUGAAACUCAAACUUAAUAGUGGGAAGAGCCUUAGUUAUAAUAUCGGCUUGUUGUUAUUCACUUUUGCAAUGCAUUAGCUUAACUUCCCCCUUCUUCUCGGCAUCUCGCAACACAAAGAAUCUGAUGUUGAUAUGCUUCGUCCUUCUAUGCUGCACUAGAUUUUCAGCCAUAGAAAUAGCUGAUUUAUUGUCAAUAUAGAUAAUGGUUGUUUUUUUUUGGCAAAAGAUCCAAUUCAAAUAAGAUUUUUCUCAACCAAAUUUCUUAUUGCAACCACAUACUCGGCUUUAGCUGAAGAUUGAGCUAUGAUAUCCUGCUUUUUUGUGGUCCAUUAAAAAAUGCCUGAACCAAAUAAAAUAGUGUAACCAUAUGUGAUUUCAUAAUUUUAACAACCCCAACUUAGGAUAAAGAGUCCCAUAAGUAAGACUUACUCCUUAGUGAUGUAUUUUAAAGUCGUAUGGUCCUGGUCCUAGAACGGAUAAUAUCACUAGUGGGUUGGUCCAUUAUAGGGGUCUCUCGGGCCUUGAUGGUUUGGGAUGCCCAUCACGACCAGGGCCCCAGCUUGGGUCAUGAUAGAAUAGUAUCGGAGCUGCUCCUGUAUCAGCCUUGUCUGCCAGAGUUCAAAUUCCGAGUUUAGGAAAAUCAUAAUAAGGCAGGGCAAACCUCAGUCCUGAGUCUAGGAAAAUCCCAUUUAGUAUGGAAAAUCCCAUUCAGUAUGGGAAACCUCAACGAGUACUCUGAGUCCAUAAGGGGGUGUAUUUAACAACCCCAAUGUAGGAUAUGGAUUCCUACAUCGGCAAAAUAUAAAAGGGUUGCUGGUUAUAUAAGUAAGCAAGACAUACUCCCUAGUGAUGCAUUUUAAAGCCGUACGGGCCUAGACACAGAUAGAAUAAUAUCACUAGUGGGUUGGGCCAUUACAAGGGUCUAUUGAGGCUUGAUGGUUUGGGAUGUCCAUUGCGGCCAAAGCCCUGGCUCGAGUGGUCACAGUAAUCAUCCAAGCAUCCACCCUAGUCACUAUUUGAAUUGACAAUAAGAGACCUAUUCUCCACACUUUAAUACAAAAUUCCCUAAUCUGUUCUCCCUUUAAUGUACCUCAGCACCCUUUUAGCAGCUCCAAAAUUCUUGGUGCUGGGACAUUGCAUAUAUCGGGAUAAUAAACUAGCAGAAAAUAUCACAUCUAGCCUGAUAGCAGUCAGAUUCAACAAGCUUCCAAUAAGGCUUCUAUAUAGUUGUGAAUCUUCCCUCUCUUCUCUAUCAUCCUUCAUUAACUUUUCAUUCACAACAAGUGGAGUUACAACAGGUUUGCACUAAUCAAGCUUGAACCUUUUUAAGAGAUUCAGGGCAUACCUCUUUUGGGACAAGAAAAUUCUUCCAGAAGAUUCAGAAAUUUCCAUUCCCACGAAGAACUUCAUCUCCCCUAGAUCAGACAUUUCAAAAACUUUUAACAUCGAAUUAUAACUUUUUGAACCACAAGAGAAUCUUCACCUGUGAUCAUCAAAUCAUCAACAUAAAUGGAUAUCAUAAUUAAACUCCCAUCAACUUUACUUUUAACUUUCCUUUUGAAGUAUAAAGUAGGCUCAUUUAGGAUUCGGUUGAAACCUUGAGAUUAAGAGGUAGCAAAUGAGUAUCCAGGCUACUGUACUUAGCUUUCAGGGCACUUUUAAGGCCAUAAAGAGCUUUUUUAAGCUUAUACACCUUGUCUUUUUAAGGCCAUAAAAACCUUUAGUUGUUCAACAUAAAUAUCUUAUUUAAGAAAUCCAUUUAGAUAUGUAGAUUUGACAUCUAAAUGGUAGAUUUUUCACUUGUAUUGUGUUGCAAGAGAAACCAGAAAUUUUACUAUUUCAUGCCUCGUGAUAGGAGAAAACAUAUCUCCAAAGUCUACUCCAACUGCUGGAAAUAGCCUUUAACUAUGAGCCUAGAUUUAUGUUUGAAGAUGAAGCCAUCUAGAUUGAGCUUUAUUCUAUAGACCCAUUUGACACCAAUCAUGUUCUUUUGUUUAGGCCUAUCAUCCAGCACCCAAGUAUCAUUUUUAUUAAUCAUGGCAAGAUCAUCCUCCAUUGCAGAAAUCCAAGCUUCAUAACCUGCUUCUUCUUUAAAGGAAAAUGGUUCCACAAGAGCAUAAUUGCAUUGCUCAUAAACUUCAGCUAGUGAUCAGAUUUUGAGCUGCAAUUGGAGUACUCCCAUCUUGGUUCCUUACAAUAGUAUCUCGAUCCCAAUCAUAGGGGCUAGACUCAUCUACCAUAAUAUUUCUACUGAUAAGCCCCUUCUUUGUAUGAAUAUUAUACACUUUGUACCCUUUUACAACUAUGCUAUAGCCCACCAAAAUACAAAGUUCUGCCUUGUUAUCCUAUUUGCCUCUUUUAGCAUCAGGAACAUGUGCAUAGCAGAUUGAACCAAAGACUUUUAAGUGUCUCGGAGAUGGAUUUAUACCUUUCCAUGCUUCAAAUUGUGUCAUUUCUUGGAUUUUUCUAGUUGGUAAUGUGUUCAAAAAAUAGACUACGGUGUUAACUGCCUCAUCCCAAAAACAUUUGGGUAUCUUCUUUUCUGCUAGCAUACAUCUCACAUCUCCAUCACCGUUCUGUUCUUUCUCUUAGAAACCCUAUUUUGUUCUAGAUUGUAGCUCACAGUAAAUUGUUGUUCAAUGCCCACAUCUUUACAAUACUUGUUGAACUAAUGUGAAGUAUAUUCAGUUCCAUUAUCAGACCAAAUAUACUUCAACCAGCAGCCACUCUGCCUUUUCUACCAUAGCCUUGAAUUCUUUGAAAUUAAAAAACUCUUGAAUUUUGCUUCUUAAAAAAUAGACCCAUAUAAUUCGAUUUAAAUCAUCUAUAAAGUGAAAAUAUUUAUUCCCUACUUAAAGAAGAUAUCCUCGUUGGUCCACAUAUAUAUGUAUGAACUAACUCUAGCUUUUUCUUUGCCCUCCAAAGACUUCCUUUAGAAAAGGAUUGUCUAUUUAAUUUAUCAAAUUGACAUGACUCACAAACAUCUCGUUACAUGUCAUUUUGGGUACAUCAAGCACCAUACCCUUGGAUUGCAUACACACCAAUGAACUAAGUUUUUACUGACCGAAUCUUUUAUGCCAAAGCCGAGUAUCACACAUUUCAACAUUGAAAGAACAACUUUCAACAGAAUAGCAUGAAAUUGGAAAGGGAUUACCAAUCAUGCUAAUUUUAUCUACUUCACUACCUUUAGGAUCAUAAAUGACAUAUUUUUAUCCUUAAAAGUAAGUGAAUAAUUAUUGUGAAACAACUGCGCAACACUCAACAAGUUUUGAGUCAGGCUUGGCACAUAAAGAACAUCAUUUAUGAUUUUCAUACCUUUGUACGUAGGGAAUUUCACUGAUCCUCUUCCUUGAGCUUGCACUAGUGUACCAUCUCCAAGCUUUACUUUAUUCCUAUUAGGCCUGUCCAAGCUAAAAAUAAACUUUCAUCAAUCUCCAUGUGCCUUGUGAACACACUAUCAACAUACCAAUUAUAUCGAUCAAUAUAUGAUGUGUGCAAAGCCAUGAAUACCUCCUCCUCUGAUUUUUCAACUUAAUGAUUUUUCACAAAAUUUACUCGUUGGGAAGACUGACCACUUUGAGCUUGCUUUGCCUGCAAUACUUCUCAAUGUGUACAUACUUUUUACUAUAUCUACAUUGAAUUGGAAACCCCUUGGACUUCUGCCAAUAAUUCUUCUCUCAGUGGUUUGUCUUCAUACAAAUAUCACUAGGUGGAAAUUUUCCUCUCCUCUAUGAUUCGCCUUGGUAUCCACCAGAUUUCACCUCUCCAGAGUGGUCUAAAGAGGAUUUUUGGUCUUUCUUUUGUUGAUUGAAUUUAUGGCUUACUUGAAAGGCAUCUUUUACUGUCCCUUCACUUCUCAUAGUUACCCAUUGCUCUUGGAUUUUCAAUUUAGAGAUCAACUCAACUAUAAAAAGAGUAGUCAAGACACAAGACUCUUCAAUAGUUGAGAUUUUUGAUUCAAGCUUGUGCGGAAGGCCGACCAUGAUCUUCUCUACAACUUUUUGAUCUAGAAAGUUUUCUGGUGCCAUGUUUAUUCAACAAAAAUAUCUAAUAAAAAGGAGCUAAAAAUAAGAUGAGCCAAUCAACUAAAAACAAAUUCAUAUCCCACGAAAAAUGGGCUCUGAUACCAUGUCACUAGAAAGACAAGAAGAACUGAUAAGCAACAAGCUGAAAUAGGAACAAAAUUGAGCUGUAAAUUGCUACUAGAAAACAAACUCCAGAGAAAGAAGAAGAGUUGAAACUUGUUGAGUACUCUAUUUAUUUCUCUUAAUAGUUCACUACAUAGUCUACACAUAUAUAUAGUGUGUGGAUGAGGAAUAAAAACCACAAAAUAAGCAAAAUAUCUCACACAAUACUAAGUAAAUAUGUGGCCAACUAACCACCACUCAUUUUAAAUAAAAGACUUGGCUACUACAAAAUAUCUACUAACUUGGAGUUUCGAGAUAAAUCAUAUUUCAUAACAGUUCCUCUAACUCAUACUUUCGAUCCCAUCCGUUAUAUAUUAUUGUAUUAUUCAACUUCUGUCUAGGUACUAGUCUCUUUAAACAAUUAAUCAAUUACUCUCUUACUUGUGUGCAGGUUCUCCGUGUAAAAAAGUCAUAAGUUCGAUGAUUGCAAUCUCAUUUAAUCCCAUCAAUCAACCUCUGAGGUUGGUGAACCCGAUGCUUCAUUCCUAGGCAGCCAAGACAAAAUCCCUUCAUUUGAUUCCUUUUAUUAACCUAACCAUCCAUUUCCACAGUACCUUUCCUUCUAUGUUUUAUAUAUUCAAAGACAACCAGUGCAUCAUGCUCGUUAAGCAAGUAGUAGCGAAUGGAUACUCAGAGAAGAGAUGAGUGACAUAAUCAUCAGUAUUCUCAUAGAUCGUACAUCAUUUGUUUAGAAAUAUGCCAUGCCUGUGCAAUCAAUCCUUUGUUUGUGGUCUUUGAUGACUGCCAACCAUGCAAUAACGCUAUACCUUCGUAUAUUCAUUAUAUUCAAAAUCCGUCACCUCCAAAGUUCUUUUUCUAGGAUUCCCCAUAGCCAUUUUUAGCCACGACUGAUUGAGUAUUUGCUUGAUUCAUUUAGCCAACUCUCUUGUACAUAGCCCUUUUCCACUUUAACUCUAGUAGAGAAGAUCUUCUUCCAGUACCACUUUCACAAGGAGGCUCGUAUUCCACCAUUAGAUGCCCUUCAGAAAGAUUGAUCAACCCAUUUCACUCAUAGGCUGUUGGAUUUUCGUUCUAUGUUUCAAACAUUCCAUGGCCGCCUCAUUCCAAGUAACCCCUUUAUAAUUCCCAAUCUUCCUACUUUCGUUGGUCUGCAUACUAAAAUCAAAUCAACCAAUGGGACUUUAUUGUUGAGUUAUGAGCUUCGCCAUAAGUAGCUUCUACAAGUAGCAGUUAUGGUCUUCAUCACUUUCUGAGGUAGUUUGAGCAUUGAGGCAUGUUUUAAGCAUAUAUAUUUGAUUUUGCUGGGGUAGUGGUCAGACCAAAAGCAUUGAAAAAGGUUUUCAGACACUUUAACAUGAACAUAGUGUUUGGUGGAAGUCUCCAGCAAAAUGAGUUCAACCUACAAGGCCAAUUUGAAUAUCUGAAGCUUGUUGUGAUUGAAAAAUCUAUUUCCCGAAUUAUUUUGGCUUUUGAAAAAUCUGUUUCCCAUAUCCCUCAUGUUGAUGAUGCUAGAUUGCUGAGUUUUUCCCAUGCUUGUUCAACCAGUCAUCUUUGGCUGAUUUGGGGAGUGGCCAUAUUUAUCCGUGUUGGAAUUUGAUAAGAAUGGUGAUCAUCUUGCUUCUUUUGAUGCUCAAGCUGGUGGUCUCACAAUUGUUGGCCAUGAUGCGACCUUUCUUUCUAGAGAUGUCUAUAGGAAAUACAUGUGGUUCAUAGAGUUUGUCACCAUGAGUUAGUAUUGAAGAGACGUACGAAUUUCCCUCCUACUCUGGGACCUAGUACUAUAGUGACGUAUGUAACAGGAAGCUAAAUAAAACGUAAAGUAAAUAAACAAUGAAUGCAACAAAUUUUACGUGGAAACUCCUUGAUCAAGGGAGAAAAACCACGAUCUUCCUCCAGGAUUUCCAAUAGCUCCAUUCAAGAAACCUUAAAUACAAACCCAUGGCUUUAAGGAUUAGACUCCUAAUCCUUAUUCACCUCAAAAUAACUCUAUUACAAUGAUAUCAACGCAAUAACUCUAUUGCACACUGAUUUAGCUACCUCUAACUAAAUUAAGAAGCUUACUCUAGCUUCUAAAUCACCUAACUCUAGAUGAUUAUUUGGCAAUAAAAGCUUGCUAACAAUGCACCUACAUUUAAGUAAACAUGAAAGUAGGCUACGUUUCUAUAAUUACAAAAGAUAGAAGUAAGCUUUUUGUUUAUUCAACAGUAGAGGAAGUACAGAGUUUGUUAGUUUUAGUAGAAGAAAGAAGGAAGAGAGCUGAGAGGAGAAGAAGAUGAAAGAGAGAAGUAACUACUUGAAUUGAUUAGAUAAGCACAAUGUACACGGUCAUAUAUAUACUAGCUUGUGAUAUGCCUAACUAACUCAACUAGCCAUCAACGACCUCUUAUAACUAACUGCUAAAAUAGUUACAAGUAAAAACUAGAAACAAGUCUACUUUAUUUUAUAUUUGAGGUCACCACCUCUUCAAUGUCUUCAACACUCCCCCUCAAUCUAGAAAGGUGUGAAUAUGUCAUAGAUUCCUAGCUUGGUAUUAAGAUAAACUUGUUGAUCUCUUGUCAGUCCUUUUCUCAGCAUAUCUGUAGGUUGGUCAUGAGUUGCAAUGUAGUGAGUCUUGGUCAUUCCUUGGACUGUUUUUUCCAAUAUAAAAAAGUAGUCAAUGUUAAUAUUAUUUUUCCUCUCAUGAUAUAUUGUAUUAGCUGUUAUUUGUAGUGCAAACUUCUAUUAUUGAAUACAUCCACAGGUACCAUUAUUUCAUUUCUAAUUUCGUUCAUCAGACCUAGAAUCCAUACCAGUUCAGUUGUUACUGCUGCAAGACUACUAAAUUCUGCCUCAGCUGAGCUCUUGGAGAUAGUGUUUUAUUUCUUUGAUCUCCAGGAUUGUACUGAUUCUCCAAUCUUCACAAAAUAACCAGUCAUAAAUAUUCUAGUUUGAGGACAUGAGGCCUAGUCUGCAUCAUAGUAGGUACUCACUUUAUUAUCAGAGCCACUAGACAAAAACAUACAUUGACGUAGUUGUCCUUUCACAUACUUUACUACUCUAAGUGCUGCCUCCAUGUGUGAUAUUUUAGGGUCUUGAAGAAAUUAACUGAGUGUUUGAACACGGAAGGCUAUGUCUGGCCUUUUCAUAGUUAGGUAUAACAACUUGCCAAUCAAUUUUUGAUAAGAAACAUUAUUUGUUGGUGGAUUAUCAGUAGUCUGUCCAUGCUUAGCUUGAUCAUCAAACUAUCUAGAUGUUAGCUUGAUGUUGUAUUCCAUAAGAGUAGUUGUAGGCUUGGCUGUUGUUAAGACUAGAUCAUAUAGUAACUCUAAAGCAUAUUUUCUCUGAUGUAUCAAUAUUACUUUGUCAGACCUUGCAAAUUCUAUUCAUAGAAAGUAUCUUAGCUCACCUAGACCCUUCAUCUUGAUGCCUAGUGAUCAGCAUAUUAUCAAUAUAAACAAGCAUAAGAAUGAUGCCUCCUAUUAUCUUUCUAAUAUACAAGGAUGAAGCAUAUUGACUCUAAAUGAAUUAAGAACUUACCAAGAUCUCUGAUAGUUUGGUAUUCCAUUGCCUUAGUGCUUGUAUAUAGGGAUUUGAGUAGUCUACAUACUGUAUUCUCCCCCUGACUAGAAAAUCCUUGAGGUAGGUACGUUUACACUUCAUCAUAUAAUCACAAUUUAGGAAAUCAUUAUAGACAUCCAUUUGUUGGACACACUAGUGUUUUCUAGUUGUUGUAGAAAGUACAGUUCUCACUGUCUUUAUCUUCAUAAUAGGAGAGAAUGCUUCUUGGUAAUCAAUGCCUUCUCUUUGUCCAUACCCCUUUACUACUAGUCUUGCUUUAGACCUAUCAACUUCACAUGAGGCCUUAUACUUUACUUUAUAUAUCCACGUACAACUAAUAACCUUCUUUCCUUUAGGCAGGGUAACAACCACCCAAGUGUUGUUAAAAUUCCAGGCAUCUAUUUCAUUCUUCAUUGCUUCAACCUAUCUAGGAUCUUUGUAGGCUCUAAAGUAGCUUCUAGGUUCAACAACACAUAAAGUACUCACAACAUAGUUCUUAUAGGACUGGGAAGGGCCAUCAUAAGACACAUGAUUUGCAAGAGCAUGAUAUACCUUCUUUGUGUUUUUGGAAACAAAGUCAUUCAUCCAUGCUGGUGACGUUCUUUCUCUAGUUGACUUCCUAUGAUCCUGAGAUACAACUUGUGUAGUGGUGGGAAUUGUCUGUAGUUGUUGUUCUUGCUGAGUAACUCAUUGACUUCUACAUGACCUCGUUUAAUAUACCAUAGUUAUGGAUUGUUUGGGAGUAGGUUUACUUGGUGGUAGAUGCUUUUGCUAAUUGUAUGAGGUAGUAGUACUUUGGGACGAGAUAUGUAUUAGAAUCUAUAUAAUAUCAAUAGUUACUGGAUAUUGAUCUUCCAAAAGAAACACAUAUUGAGGUGGCUGAGGCUGCUUCUUGAGCUCCUUAAAAGGAAAUAUAUCUUCCCUAAUUGACAUAUCUCUACAUAUAGAAAAUAUGUUAGUAGAUAAAUCAUAUAGAACACAUCCCUUUUUAGUUCUAGAUUACCUCAUCAUAAUGCAUGUUCUUGUUCUAGACAUGAGCUUAUCAUGCCCAUUCAGUACUUUUUCAUAGCACAGUUACCCCAUUACUAUGAGAUGAUCACAACUUGGCUAUUUACCCUAUAGUUUCUCCUAAGAACUCACAAGAUGAAUGACUUGUCUAGGCAACCUAUUGAUGAUAUAUGCUGCAGUUAGAAGACAAUAAUCCCAAAAACUUAUUGGAAUUUCAGCCUGAAAUUUGAUAGCCCUUGUCACUUCUAGGAUGUGUCUGUGUUUUCUUUCAACAACAUCAUUUUGCUUAGGGGAAUAUGGACAUGUAGUUUGAUAAGCUAUGACAUGUUCCUGGAACAACUUCUUACAUAUUGAGUUGACAAACUCAGUACCAUUAUUAUUCCUUAUAACUUUGAUAGCCUUGUCAAAUUGAGUUUUGAUAUACACAAGAAAGUAUUGAAGCUGAACACACAUAUUAGACUUAUGUUUUAAUAGAAAUAACCAAGUAUAACUUGAAAAAUCAGAAACCACUAUUAGAAAAUAUCUAUUUCCAUUCAUAGUUGGUACUUAGUAAGGUCCCCAAACAUCCAUGUGCACAUGACCAAAACAACAUGUACUUUUACUGUUAGUAGACAGAAAAGGUAACCUAGUUUGUUUAGCAUUAGAAUAGAUAUUACAUUGCUUUAUUCUAUCUUUUAUUACUUGAACUUCUUGAGAUAUAACUCUUUUCAGUACACUAGAUGAUGCAUGUCCCAACCUUUGAUGCCAUGAUAUACCCGAGUUUGAGUUCUUUCAAUAACUGGUUUACUAGAUUCUUUAGUUGCUACUGCAACCUCUUUCCUUGACUAAUUUCCAAGCACAUAUAUUCCUUCAUCAAGCUUACCAAUCCUCCUCAUAUUUCUAGUACCAAGAUCCUGGAAAACACAGAAAUUAGGAAAGAAAUUCACUGAGCAAUUUCACUCCUUAGUCACUUGUGAAACUGAUAGAAGGCUACAUGCAAGCUGUGGAAUGUGAUAGACAUCUAUGAUGUUAUUUCCUUCUAACAGGAAACUAGUUCCCACAUGAGUGACCAUUGUACUGUCACCAUUUGGUAGAUAUACCUUCUUUGGUUUUUUCAAUUCUGUAAGACUCUUUUUAAGUAAAAAGUCUGAGUUUCCCACCAUAUGGUUAGUAUAACGCCUUGAGACUACCCCCUGGACGUCAUACAGUGCUUAGGACCACAAAUGAUCCCAAGCUAACCCUUGUAUUAGCAUAACUCAUGAGCAACGAAAAUAAAUACUGAUGUCUAAAGAAUAAUGCGAAAGAUAAAUAUUUUCUGAAUAUGAUCAAUACAAACUAUAUUAAGAUAAUUAUGACUCUAAUUUUAAAAAACAAUUUGGAAUCAAAUACAUCAACUUCUACUAAUCGUCUAUGAAGCCUCUACUAGUAUUGACUAUAGGUAGCCGGGACAUGACCCUCAGCUAUCCUGAAUCAAUACGACUGAAUGAAGAAAAGAAAAUACUACACAAACUUUGACUAACUCGAGACCUUGAAUCAAAAAGACUCAUCACCUGUUGAAUGGAAGCUACAACUGUCUGAUUCUGAUAUGCACACUACAAGUUGUAUCUAAAUUAUUAAACACUGUAGCAAAAAGACGUAUAUAUGGAUCCGCACUUUUGAAAUUUACUGAGAAUGUGGGGUUGAAAUCAUAAGUAAAAAUAGUAACUAAAUAUUCAUAUAACUGGUAAAGAAUGCACUCUAAGUGUAAAUGACUCACGUUGGCUAGAGUACUGCAAAGACUGCUAAAAAUAAGCAUACUAUAGUAAAGCAUAAAAACAAGUUGUACUUUUACUCUUUCUUUUCGUGGAAUCAGUAAGACUGAAGUUAAGCCUAUUUUUUUUAAAUCAUGCAGGGUAAGUGUAAAAAGGGCUUACCUUUAUCAUCUGUAAACUGAAAGCUAAAAUCUUAUAGCAAAUGUCUUAUGUAAAAAAAUAUCUGAAUAAAAUUGUGAGCCGUUACACUUGAUUUCUAAAAGUUGUUCUAUUAUUCUGUCUUAGGACUGAUAAUGCUCAAAUUACUCUCUUGAAUGGGUGUAAGCGAUCGUUGUCAAUAUAAAACCCAACUACGUUGGGGUUGAAUCCCACAGGAAAUAGGGUGUAAAUUUUGAUUUAUUUACGAAAGACUUUACUGGUAGUUUACUGUUUCCGAAAUAUGAGGGUUUAAGUUCACAGUGUGUUCAAUAUCACUUUCAAUACUUCAGUGUUUGUAAUCAAGUUAAAUAGGAAACCAUAGCUAUGUUCACCAAGGGUUUCGAGAAUUGACAGACACUAGGUAAUGCUAGAGAUUCUCGGAAUGAGUAGAACAGCGGAAUAUCCCUGACGAUUAUACUAUCUGACUUAUCUCUUGACCUCACUAGACAAUUUAUUAUCUAAUUUUCUCCAUCUUAGAUAACUAAUCUAUUUCCAAUAGGAUGUUAUCUCAGGUAGAUUAAUCUAGUUACAGCAUUAAUCAUUAAAUAGAAGGAUGGUAGCUUCCGAAUCCCUGUUGAUAAUUCACAUCCCCUAGUCUAUUUCCCCAUUACAAGAAAAUAAAACCUAAGACAUAAUAUAAUGUUUGCAACCACUAUAUUUUAGUUCAAACAACAGAAUUUCAUGAUGUUCUACUACUCUUUGAAUUCGUUAAUCACCUAGCAUCAUAUCAAACCCUAAUACAUGGAUCCCAUAACUCCGGCUAAUGAAAUUAGCCGCUCAUGACUUGAUGAACAAAAUAACAAUUUGAAUUCAUAAUUAGAAUGAUAAACUUACGAAUGGAUAGAAAACAACAAGUAGUUCCUCCGAUUUAAUCACAAGGUAGAAACUCCAAAAAUAGUUGAUACGAAAACACAUGAAUAUUUUAUGAAAGAGAGCAAAAAUACGUGUCUCUCUUCUUAGGGUUGACGUCAGAUAGAUAAUGUUUCCACCCACUUUAAAAACCCUAAGAGAUGCUAUUUAUGCUAAAGCCUAAUUAAGGAAAUAAAAUAACUAAAAUUAAUAAAAUUCUCAGAAUAGGUGAUGCCCAAGCUGACGUCACGUCAAGAGUCUGACGCCCUAUCCCAGAUGGCAUCAGAAAUGCUUUAGUUACCUUCAAAAUUUAUCUUAGGAUGAUGAUGUAGCUGAUGCCGCAUUACCGAUCUGAUGGUGUAUCACUAACGUCGUCAGAUUUCUUCUUCAAACUCAAUUCUCCGGUUUAGGCUGACACCCUUUGUGAUGCCUUAUCACCAACGUCGUCAGAACUUCUUUUUUUUCUUUUUUUCUCAGAUUUUCAACUCUUUUACUCCAUUGUCAUUUGUUUUUCUUCCUCCACCCUUUUACUGCAAUAUCAUGAGCAAACACAUCAAAACAACAAGACUUGCUUUAGAAUUCACAAUUAUUUUGAGCUCAAAACCAUUAAAUAUGUUAGCUUUUGCUCACACAUCAAGGACUUAGGGAGUUUCUUAUAAAAGCUUUCCUGUUAUUAUUUUCUGUUAAGGAGGUUCUCUUAAUUGACAUGAACCAUGCGAGCUAUCACGGAGUCCAACAUCUAGUUCCCCUAAGGGAAAAAUCUCACAUUAGGGAGAGGUGUCAUACUCUUGCUAAGAAGUAUAACUUGCGCUGAGUGAUCAAAGUCUGUAUCUUCUUCCAUAUAAAUGAGAAUAAUCUAAAUUUGUACCUAUAUUGGCUCGUAUUUCUGAGGUAUGUGAACUAAGAUACAUACCCAACUCGAUGCUAAAUACUACUCCUUUUUAUUUAUAUGCUCAUUUUGAAAGAAAUUCAUAUUAAAACUAGCAUAAGGGUUUAUAAUGAAAAUCAGUUAUGCAUCUUCCUAUUCAAAACUAUAAUCAAAACAAACUAUGUGGAUUCCGUAUCUUAGCUGAGGAUCAAAAGAUCAAAUCUUUCUUAAAAUUUGAAUACAUACUUAUCAAAGAAUGCUUAAACAUCGUCUUUCUUGAAAUAUCAACAUUUAAACUUGGGGCUUCAAUCCAUUCUUGAAACUUAUGUCAUUGACAACAACUUCAUGCUUAAUAACAAUAAUAUUGAAAUACUUUAACAAUUCUAAUUAAGACAAUGAAAUUAAAUUCUCAAUAUAUGCAAUCAAAUCACACACAUGAAUUUGUGAAAGUAGUUAUUCAAUUCAACACUUAAAUCACUUGUAACAUCAUAAACUUCACCUAUGAUAGUUGGGUAUGAAUCCUAAACUGCAAACCAUAUAAUAUCAUGUAAAUUAAUCUUUAAAAACUAGUUUUGGAAACAAGGAUGAAAGAAGUAUCAUUAUUCAUAACCCCACAUGAACUUUGAAUUUGGAACUUCUUGAUUCUUGAGUGAUGUCACUUGGAUUUUUUUCUUGGGAGUGGAAGAGGGCGUUUGAUUUGUUUACUGAUUUCUUAGGAUUAAGAUAGUGGAUUUUACGUGUUUUGUAUCUCAUAAAAAUGUUUUGAAGUAAUUAGGGACGGUUUAGGGUUGUGAAAUGACUUCAACACCCUUAUCUAGGUCAAAACAGGGUGUUUUUGUCACAUGGCAAUGACUUAGGUGGCACCCAAUAAAUCUCCCAAGUCAAGGUGGGAGCUGCGUUCAACUGCCUAAGUUUGGUUGGGCGGCAUCCAACGAAUCACACACCCUUAUUGCCUCUCACGAAAAUGGGCAUAACUCUUCACUCGGGUAUCGAAUUAAGGCAAAAUUGGUAUCAUUGGAAAGCUAAUUCGAUUAUCUACAAUUUGAUGGAUCUUAAUCUACCAAAUUUCAUAUUUAUAUAAAUUUAUACUCAUUAAAAGAUGAUAUUUGUGACAUCAAACACCAAAAAUUGGUUGAAUCAAAGGUUCUUAGCUCACUUGACUCUAAGUGACACUUAUGAACAUCUUUCCCACCUCAUAAUAUUUAUUCACACUAGUUAAUAAUUAUGAAACAUGAAUUCAAGUAUGAAUCACAGGACUAGAGUUUACACUCAUAGGAACAAAGGUCUGAUUCCUAGCUUAGAUGUAUAUGGGGUAUUACAAUAUCUCCCCCUUGAAAUUAUUCAUCCUCGAAUGGUGGGUAGGAACUUAUCGAAACAUUAAAAGUAUGGAAUAAUAUAGACAUGACAUGUAUGCUAAUAAAGGAUAUAGGUGAGCUGAAACUUUAAAAAUCCUAUCAUGAAGCUGAAUUUUGAGGUGACUUGACCUUACUAACUAUCAAGUACUGAUUCAUUCUUGGAGUUUAGAACUCACUUGAAAUUUCCAUGAAACAAUUAUUAUUAUUGUACUAUGAAGUGAUAACUAAUACAUGAACUAAAUAUCAUGACUGAGCUAAUUUCUUGAAUACAUGCACUGACAUGAGAAUGGUUAUAAGGCUGAGAUAGAAAUGAGAGGGUUAACUUAUUAGUACCCAUUGUUUCAAGAUGGAUAUUGUUUCAUGAUGAAGAAUUGAGGGGUAUAGAGCAUGGAAACUCGGGGAAUUACUCUACCUCUUGAGACAUAUUGUCCCCUGAAUAACACAAACUUGGAUGAAAUAUUAUGGAAAGACUAAGCUGAUGCACAGGACACAUAUAGCUGAUUCAUGACUUAAUAUCUUAAUCUGAAACUGAAAAUGAUGCAUGAACCAAGCUUAAUUUGUAAUUUGCAUGAAUGUGGAUACUCUACCUCAUGGAAUGGCCUUACUCAUGAAACUUUGGGUAGUAAGACCAAAUGGAAUGUUGGAAAUCUAUAGGAGCUUAUCUUCUUAAUUGCUAAAUUGGAUCACAGGCUUUACGAAUUGGAUCAUACUUAAUGCUUAUAACCAAAUGGAGUAUUUCUUCAACACUCUUCUAAAAAAUUCUAAUGAUAUUAGGGAGAAAAGAACUUUGGGCAUGAUCUGAACAAGACAUCUGAAUAAGAAAUUACAAUAUUGCUACAACUCUAUAGCACGGAACAUAGACCUAUAGAUCAUAAGCUAGGAUAGAAUUACUAGGCCUUUGACAAUGCAACUUAUUACCUUCAAACUUAGCAGCACUUCUCAAAUACUCCCUCAACUAUACUAUUCCCCUUAAAUAACAAACUCAUUGAUUCAAUUUAAAGUUUUCACAUAGGCAUUGAUAAAUGUAUCUACUAAAGUCUAAACUGAACUAAAUUCUCUCACCAUGAUCAAGCCUAACUCAAAUCACUAGGUACAACAUGCUACACAAUAAUACUAGUCUAAAUCACAUGAUUCGAUCAUCUACAUCUCUUCUAGAGCUUAUGCCCUAACAUAGCAUGGCUUACCACUUUAAUGACUAACUCUGAACUCUCACUAUGAAUUCACUAGCUCAUAUUGCAUUCCUCCACUUACAGCCAAACGCGACAUUCAAGCCUAUCACUAUAACCAUCUAUGAACUUCAAGGCAAACACACAUAAGGCGUACUUAUCAUGUUCUCUAAACCUCUAUCAACAACAACUUUCUUGCACUAUGCUUAAGAAUACAUAAAAUUUAUUAUUAUUUUAUUUAAAUAAAAAAAUAAUUGUAGGGAUUUAUUAAUUUAAGAAAAAUCGACCACAUGUGGUAGGUUUUUAGAUAAACUAAUAAAUUAAUUUUAUAAAAAACCGACAGAAGUGUGGUCGGUUUUUUGCAGAAAAAAAUUAGAAAAAUCGACCACUUGUGGUUGAUUUUUUGCAAAAAAAAAAUAUAUAGAAAAACCAACAAAUAAAGUCUUCAAAACUUAAGAAUUUUCAACAAAUAAAGUCACCAACGAAACUAAUUCACUACUAAAGUCUUCAAAACUUAAGAAUUUUCAACAAAUAAAGUCACCAACAACAUCACCUUCUAACCACUAAUUCACUAUUAAAGUCACCGGUACUUAAGCAUUUUCAACAAAUAAAGUAACCAACAACAACACCUUCUAAACAAAAGUUUACUUUUAAAGUCACCAGCACUUAAGCAUUUUCAACAAAUAAAGUAACCAACAAUACCACCUUCUAAAUACUGCAUGCAACCACAACAAUAAUAUAGAGCAGUCCCCAACAAAUAGCCACUAUUAAAAUCACCGGCACUUAAGCAUUUUCAACAAAUAAAGUCACCAACAUCACCUCCUAAACACUAAUUCACAAUUAAUGUCACCAAAACUUAAGCAUUUUCAACAAAUAAAGUCACCAACAACAUCACCAAAUAAACACUAAAUCACUAUUAAAGUCACCGGCACUUAUUCAUUUUCAACAAAUAAGUAACCAACAACAUCACCUUCUAAACAAAAGUUCACUUUUAAAGUCACCAAAACUUAAGAACUUUCAACUAAUAAAGCCACCAACCACAUCACCUCCUAAACACUAAUUCACUAUUAAAGUCACCGGCACUUAAGCAUUUUCAACAAAUAAAGUGACCAACAACAUCACCUUCUAAACACUAGUUCUCUAUUAAAGUUACCAAAACUUAAGCUUUUUCAACUAACAAAGGCACCAACGAAAAAAGUUCACUAUUAAAGUCACCGGUACUUAAGCAUUUUCAAUACAUAAAAUAACCAACAACAUCUCCUUCUAAACAAAAGCUCACUUUUAAAGUCAUAGGUACUUAAGUAGUUUCUACAAAUAAAGUAACCAACAACAUCACCUUCUAAACAAAAGUUCUCUAUUAAAUUCACCGGCACUUAAGCAUUUUUGAACAAAUAAAGUCACCAACAACAUCACCUCCAAAACAUUAGUUCACUAUUAAAGUCACCAAAACUUAAGCUUUUUCAACUAAUAAAGGCACCGACGAAACUAAUUCACUAUUAAAUUCACAAAAACAUAAGUAUUUUCAACAAAUAAAGUCACCAACAAUAUCAACUUCUAAGCACUAAUUCACUAUUAAAGUCACAGGCACUUAAGCAUUUUCAACAAAUAAAGUAACCUACAGCAUCACCUUCUAAACAAAAGUUCACUUUUAAAGUCACCGACACUUAACAAUAUUCAACAAAUAAAGUAACGAAAAACGUCACCUUCUAAACAAAAGUUCACUAUUAAAGUCACCGGCACUUAAGCAUUUUCAACAAAUAAGGUCACCAACAACAUCACCUCCUAAACACUAGUUCACUAUUAAAGUCACCAAAACAUAAGCUUUUUCAACUAACAAAGGUACCAACGAAUCUAAUGCACUAUUAAAGUCACCAAAACUUCAACUUUUUUAACAAAUAAAGUAACCAACAUCACCACCUUCUAAACACUAGUUCACUAUUAAAGUCACCAAAACUAAAGCUUUUUCAACUAACAAAGGCACCAACGAAAAAGGUUCACUAUUAAAGUCACCGGUACUUUAGUAUUUUCAAUACAUAAAGUAACCAACAACAUCACCUUCUAAACAAAAGCUCACUUUUAAAGUCAUCGGUACUUAAGUAGUUUCUACAAAUAAAGUAACCAACAACAUCACCUACUAAACAAAAGUUCUUUAUUAAAUUCACUGGCACUUAAGCAUUUUUGAACAAAUAAAGUCACCAAUAAAAUGACCUCUAUACGUUAGUUCACUAUAAAAGUCACCAAAACUUAAGCUUUUUCAACUAAUAAAGGCACCAACGAAACUAAUUCACUAUUAAAUUCACAAAAACUUAAGCAUUUUCAACAAAUAAAGUCACCAACAAUAUCAACUUCUAAACACUAAUUCACUACUAAAGUCACCGGCACUUAAGCAUUUUCAGCAAAUAAAGUAACCUACAAUAUCACCUUCUAAAUAAAAGUUUACUUUUAAAGUCACCGGCACUUAACCAUUUUCAACAAAUAAAGUAACCCAAAAUGUCACCUUCUAAACAAAAGUUCACUAUUAAAGUCACCGGCACUUAAGCAUUUUCAACAAAUAAAGUAACCAACAACAUCACCUUCUAAAGAAAACUACACUUUUGAAGUCACCAAAACUUAAGCAUUUUCAACAAAUAAAAUCACCAAAACUUAAGCAUUUUCGACAAAUAAAGUCACCAACAACAUCACCUUCUAAACACUAGUUCACUAUUAAAGUCACCAAAACUUAAGCUUUUUCAACUAACAAAGGCACCAACGAGAAAAGUUCACCAUUAAAGUCACCGGUACUUAAGCAUUUUGAACAAAUAAAGUAACCAACAACAUCACCUUCUAAACAAAAGUUCACUUUUAAAGUCACCGGCACUUAAGCAUUUUCAACAAAUAAAGUCACCAACAACAUCACCUCCUAAACACUAGUUCACAAUUAAAGUCCCAAAACUUAAGAUUUUUCAACUAAGAAAGGCACCAACAAAACUAAUUCACUAUUAAAGUCACCAAAACUUAAGCAUUUUCAACAAAUAAAGUCACCAACAACAUCAUCCUCUAAAUACUAAUUCACUAUUAAAGUCACCAGAACUUAAGCAUUCUCAACAAAUAAAGUUACCAAAAACAUAAGAGAUUAAACAAGAAUGUAAUUGUUCUUAAAGGAAUUAAAAGCAUGGGAAGUCAGUUUUUAAAAUAUUUUUAAAUUUUUUUUUUAAAAGCGACCACUAGUGGUCGGUUUUUUUAUUUUUUUUAUUUGAAAAAUAAAUAAUAAUUAAUACAAAAAUUAUUUUAAUAAUUAUUUUGAUUUUUUAAGAUAAAAAAGCUACCACUUGUGGUCGCUUCUUAAAAAAUUUAAAAUCCGACCGCUAGUGGACGAUUUUUUCCGACCAUAAUUUGUGGUCGGUUUUUGCCUUUUUUUAGUAGUGUUCCUAGUUGCAACAAAAAGUAUAGUUCAUACUGUUUUCAUUUCACAACAGGUAAAAAUGUUUCUUUUUAAUCAAUUCCUUCUCUUUGUCCAUAUCCCUUUGCUAUAAGUCUAGCUUUAAACGUUUCUACAUCACCUAAAGCCUUAUACUUCACUUUAUAUAUCCAUUGGCAACCGAUAGAUUUCUUCCCAUUAGGUAAAGUAACAAUAUCCCAAGUGUGAUUGGAAUUCAAGGAAUCUAUCUUAUUGUUUCUACCCAUCUAGGAUCUCUACAGGCAUCAGAGAAACUUGUAGGUUCAGUGACAUAAGAAGUUCUCAGCAUAUAGUCUUUGUGGGAUAAAGAGAGUUUAUCAUAUGAAACAUGAUUAGCAAGAGCAUGAGGUACUUUCUUUGUACUCUUGGAAACAAAAUCAUUCAUCCAAAUUGGUCGCUUUCUACCUCUAGUUGACUUUCUUAGAUCCUGAGGUGCAGAAGACUGAGGUACAUGAGUAGGAACCACCUGCCCUUACUGCACUUGCUGGGGUGCAGGAGUAGGAACCACCUGCACUUGUUGCUCUUUCUGACUAACUAAAUUAGGUACCCCUUGACCUCUGGUUGAUCUUCUUUGAUACACUUGAGUUACAGGUUGUGACUGUGUAGGAAUAGAGAGCCCUCUAGUUGAUAUUCUUUUAUAUACCUGAGUUAUAUACUGUGCAGAUGUAGGAAUAGCCUGCAUUUGCUGGUCCCCUUGAGGUUACAAGGUUACUGGAAUCUAUAGACAUGUCUCAUUACCACUUAGCACUAGUUAUUGAUCUUCUUAAGGAAAUAUAUGAUUAGGUGACUGAGUUUGAUGCUUGAGGAGUUUAAAUAGAAAUACAUCUUCUCUGAAUGACACAUCUCUACUCACAAAGAAUAUAUUAGUUGACAUAUUAUAUAUCAAGUAUCCCUUCUGAGUGCUAGAGUAUCCCAUUAUGACACUUAUCCUUGCUCUAGUCAUGAGUUUAUCAUGCUCAUUUAACACUUUGACAUAGCACAAACACCUCAUUAUCCUUAGGUGAUAACAUUUUUAAUUUUUUACCAUACAACUUCUCAUAAAGAGUUAAGAACUAAAUGACUGAACUAGGAAGUCUAUUGAUGAUAUCUACUACAGUUAGAACACAAUAACCCAAAACCUUAUUGGAAUGCCAUCCUAAAACUUGAUAUCUUUUGUCACCUCUAAGAUGUGUCCAUGUUAUCUCUUAGUAACAUUAUUUUGAUGAGGAGAAUAUGGACAUGUUGUUUGAUGGAUUAUACAAUUAUCUUGAAACAAUUUUUGAUAUAAUGACCUGACAAAUUUAGUACCAUUAUCAGUCUUGAUCACUCUGACUGUCUUCUCAAACUGAGUCUUGACAUAUAUAAGGAACUGUUGAAUUUGAACAAAGAUAUCUUACUUAAUCUUUAGUAUAAACACCUUGAUAAAUCUUGAAAAAUCAUCAACAGUUGUUAGAAAAUACUUGUUUCUAUUCAUCGUUGGUACUUUGUAAGGUCCCCACUAUCCAUGUGUACAAGAUCAAAACAAUAUGUAAUUUGAAUAUUAGUUGACAGAAAUGGUAAACUAGUCUUUUUAGCACUAGGAAAAAUGCUACAUUGCUUUAUUCUAUCUUCUAUUACUUGUACUCCUUGAUGUACAAUUCAUUUCAAGACAAUCAGUUGAAGUAUGUCCCAACCUUUGCUCCUACAAAUCCACUUCAUCUUGAGUCUUUUCCACAGUUACUUCAGUAGUAGCUUUAGUUGCUACUGCAACUUCAUUCUUUGACUGAUCUACCAUUAGAUAUAAGCCUCCAUCAAGAUUUCCAAUCCCCUCCACCUUUCCAGUAUAAAGAUCUUGGAAAACACUGAAAUUAGGGAAGAAAUUCACUAAACAAUGCCAUUCCUUAGUCACUUGUGACACUGAUAGGAGACUACAUGAAAACUGUGGAAUAUGAUAGACAUUUGUAAGGUUAUUUCCUUCGAAUAAGCAACUAGUUCCCAUAUGAGUAACCAUUGUAGCAUAACCAUUUGGUAGAUACACUUUAUUUGGAUUCGUAACUUUGUAAUAGUUUUGUUAAGUAACAGUUUUGAGUCACAAACUAUAUGAUCAGUAACAUCAGUAUCUAUAAUCCAUUUUUGUGAACCAAAAGAAGCUAAACAAGCAGAAAUACCUACACUUGUUACAUAUACAGACUCAGUUUGAUAGAGUUAUUCUUCUUUAUAGGUUCUAUGAUUUACUCAUAUUGUUCCUUGGUAAUGGCUACAUUUCCAACUAACAUAGUUAAGCCAUCUAAUUAUUUGAAGUUACUGAUCGUCCUGUAUAUUUAGUAUAAUAACCACGUUGAUCUACUGGAUAAUCAUGAGAACCCAAGGACACAUUAUAUGUUGUGUUAUACCCUUCAUGCCUGAGUUUAUUCUUACCUUUAUAAUCUUGAGGAUAGCCAACCAACUUCCAGCAGUUAUCUUGGAUGUGCCUAUUGUGUUUACAGAAGUUACAUUGCACAGUAACAUUUCUCUUGUACUUGUGAACUUGGCUUCCACCUACUCUAUUUUUUGUAUUUCUGUCUAGAUCAAGAUUCUUACCAGUAGCCACAGGAUUCAUUCCAAAAAUCCUUGCCUGACUCGCAAUAGAUUGUGGAUUUCAUCACUUAUUAUCAUUGCAUAGGCUUGGUUAACAUUUGGGAAAGGUGUCAUAAGAAAGAUUUGACUCCUUUCUUGUAUGUAGGAUUCAUUCAAAUCCACAAGAAACUAAAACAAUUUCAGUUUUUGAAGAUGUAUCACAUACUCCUUUGAUUUAUCACAUUCACAUCCAGGUGUAGGCACAAGAGCGUCAAAUUCAAUGUAGCAAUCUUUUUAUGCAGAUUAAAUCUUCUGGCUAUAUCAACCUUGUUAAGCGUUUCAUAAAGCUCAUUACAGACAACACUAGCCACAAAUGCAUACAUAAUUCUACAAAGCAAUUCUUUAGAAAUAGAGUUCAUGAUCCAAGACAGCACAAUUGCAUUCACUCUCUCCUAGUGACUACUCAAUUCAGUAGAAAACUUAUCGUUAGAGUAUGUUCCAUCAACAAUACCCAACUUAUCUCUCCUUAGUAAAGAUAUGCGCAUAGAUAUAAAACAGAAUGAGAAAUUCUCAACGCCUGUUAAUUAAAAGGAGAUGAUUUGUGUAUUGAGAGUAAUUCUGAAUGCCUCACCAGAUUCAGCAGUAGCAUUCUAAUUCACCAUUGUUGCAGAUUUACAAUUAUUGAUUCAAGACUUUUUGAUUGUGAAAAGACCAAUACACUCAAUACACCAGAAUCGAUUUGGCUCUGCUAGUUUUUCUAGUGAGUAAAGCUCUAAUACCAUCUUAAAAUUUGUCUUGGGCCUAACUUACACCGCAAAAUCUAGCUCAUAGGGAAGAGUAUUAUCUAGCCUUAUAAAGAGACCACCCAUCUCAUUAACCACUAAUGUGGAAUUUUCUCUCUUUAUCACCCCACCUCACGUCUAGGCCUAGUUAACUAGGUGUGGACAAUCUCUCUGAAUCUCAAUUCGGGGGCUCAACAUUGGGUGAGAAGGGCCCUUCUCUGAUACCAUAUAAUUAACCAAGCAGUGCUACACUUCUUGGUAGAAACAAUUGAAGAUGAAAUACAGAUUAAGAGUAAGAAGAAGAAGAAGUGAGGAGGAGAGAAAGAUCAUUAGAGAUAGAGAAGUAGAGUAGUAUUUUCAUUAUUCUUUAAUGUACAUAGACUUCUACAUCUAUAGACUUUUGUAUGGGCUAACUAACUAGCUAACUAGCCGCUAACAAUUUUGUAACUAACUACUGGACAAACAAUUAUAACAAAAAAAGUGAACAAGUCUAUUUUGUUUCUUUUUUGUUCUGCUCCACUCUACUUUAUUCUGCUCUACUCUUCAUAUAUUCAACAAAUGGUCACUCGUGUGGGAACUAACUAUUUAUCAGUAGGAAAUAACCUUACAAACUCCUAUCAUAUUCCACAGCUUUCAUGUAGUCUCCUAUAAGUGUCACAAGUGACUAAGAAAUGGCAUUGUUUAGUGAAUUUCUUCUCUGAUUUGUGUGUUUUCAAGGAUCUUUAUACUAGAAAGGUGAAGAGGAUUGGAAAUCUUAAUGGAGGCUUAUAUCUACUGAUAGAUCAGUCAAAGAAUGAAGUUCCAGUACCAACUAAAGCAACUACUGAAGUAACGGUGGAAAAAACACAAGUUGGAGUGGAUUUGUGGCACCAAAGGUUGGGACAUGCUUCAACUAGUAUGUUGAAAAGAAUUUUAGAUCAAGGAGUACAAGUAAUAGAAGCUUAGCAGGAGGCUUUGAAAUGGCUGGCAUCUUCCCUUCAUACAAAUUUCUUCAUUCUCUCAGUCCAGCAAAGCAAACAAUUCUAGAUGCCCACCGUAAGGUAGAUUCAAUUGUUGAGGAUGUCAUUAACGAGAACAAGAAGAAUCUUGCAACUCACAAAAGUGAUGAUACAUUAGAAGGUGAAGACCUAGUUGAUUUCUUACUAAGACUUAUGAAGGAUAGAAGUUUUCAGUUUCUCAUCACCAACAACAAUAUCAAAGCUAUUAUUGUAGUAAGUAUUGAAUAUUGUGCUUGUUCUUACUUAUUUAACCAUAUAGUAUUUCCAUAUCCAUUUCCAUAUAUACAUAAAAACAUUAAUUACGAAGAAUUAGUUGUAGAAAUCUUAAUUUUGAUGGGUAAUUAAGAAAUUUGCAAGGACUUUGGUGAAAAAGUCGAUCAAUAAAGAAAGUUAGAUCAGGAAAUAGCAUGUGCGUCAGUCAUAAUAACUUGGCCAUAAAUUGCAGGACAUGUUUGCUGCUGGAACAGAAAAUUGAUCAACAACAACUGUAUGAGCUAUGGUUGAAAUGAUGAAAAAUCAAUGUAUACUCGCCAAAGCACAAAAAGAAGUGCGAGAAGCCUUCAGAGACGAAGUAACAUUCGAUAAAAUUGACGUGGACGUGCUGAAAAACUUAAAGUUAGUUGUCAAAGAAACUAUGAGAUUUCAUGCACCAGUUCCACUUUUGGUCCCAAGAGAAUUUAGGGAAGAGAUUUCAUGGUUAAUGUUUGGGCACUGGGAAGAGAUCCAAAAUAUUGGGACAACGCAGAAAGCUUUUAAGCCAGAGAGAUUCAAGCAGUGCUCCGUGGACUUGGUUGGUAAUAAUUUUGAAUAUCUCCCCUUUGGCAGUGGGAGGAGGAUGUGUCCCGGGAUGUCAUUUGGUUUAGCCAAUGUUUAUUUACCAUUGGCUCAAUUGAUUUACCACUUCGAUUGGAAACUCCCAACUAGAAUGGUACCAAGAGACUUGGACGUGACUGAGUCAAGUGGAGCCACUGCCACUAGAAAAAAUGGCCUUCAUAUGAUUGCAACUCCUUGUUAACCUUAAUGAAAUCAAGUGUUUAAAGUUCUUUUUAUUAUAGUGAAGUGUGUGAGAUAAAAGAACAGAGGCAGAUCUAGAAUUUUAAGCUUGUGGGUUUCUUGGGCAAAAUAAAAAUCCAAAAAAAAGUGAGUAAUGGAGUUAGAACCCACAACCAAGAGAGCAACAAUGUUUCAACAUGCACUUGCUUUGCCACUAGACCAAUAACACAAUUUAUUGUGUGUCCCUAGCUUAUAAUUUUUAUAUAUUUACUAGAUUUUUCAAUCUAAAUUCCAACAAACAAUACAAUGAUAGAGACAUGAAAAUAACACAAUUAAAUCUAAUCUUUACACACAAAAAUUUUCUCGAAGUCGUCCGACACUAUCUACCACCUGUAAACAAAAAAAAAUAAUACGAUAAUAGAGAUAUCAAAAUAAUACAACUAAACCUAACCUUUACAUAAAAAAAUUCCUCAAAGCCGACCAACAUUUAUCUAUCACCUGUAAAUUGCAACAAAAUAAUAUGAUAAAUGUGAUAUCAAAACAAUACAAUUAAACUUAAAUUUUAAACUCAAAAAUUUCUCAAAGCCGAUCGAGAUUCAUCUAUGAAUUGUAAACUACCACAAAAUAACAAACUAAAAAGAGAUAUUAUGAUAAUACAAUUAAGCCCAACCUUUACGUAAAAAAAAUUUCAAAGUCGACUCAUAUUCAUCUAACAUCUGUAAAUUAAAAUAAAAUAAUAGGAUAAUAAAGAUAUCAAAAUAAUACAAUUAAAUCUAACUUUUACAUAAGAAAUUUUCAAAACCAAUAGACAAUCAUCUAACAACUGUAAACUAUAAAAAAAAAAUAUAUAAUAGUGAUCACAAAGCUUCGAUUUUGAUCAAACUAAUUCUUUUCUGAGCGAAAAUUUUGUCCCUAAAGUAUGAUUUUGGAUGAAAAUAAAGAAGAUAUAUAUAUAUAUAUAUAUAUAUAUAUAUGUUGAAUAAUAUUAUGCUUACGAAAUCAGAGAAGAAGUUGAGGAUUAGAAAGCAAGCAUCCACCAAUCUAGACGCCCAAUCGAAUUAAAUUAGAUGUGCAUCAAUCACAUUCUCCUAAUAGACAAACCGGCUUGUUCUCUAGUUUAACGUACAUCUCAAUAUUUAUACAAGUAUUUUUCUUAAUAGAGUCUUAUUUUAGGAAUAUUUUUCAAAUUGAACAGUAGCAAGGAAAAUAUUAAUUAAUUAAUUCUCCUAUCAUAUAUUUUAGGAGUCCCAUAUAUUUUAGGAAGUCUAGUAGAAAGGAAAAUAUUAAUUAAUUCUCCUACCAUAUAUUCUAGGAGUCCCAUAUAUUUUAGGAGGUCUAAUUAAUAUAAUAAAAAAAUAAUUAAAUAAUAAAUUAUAAAAAUAGUGAAAAGACAGUUUUGUCUAAAGAAGAGUCUUUUAAUGAAGGGUAAAAAGUUCAAAUCAUUUUUCUAAGGGUGUUCACACUUUUAAUAUAUUACUAAUUUAGUGUACGUGUUUUGCACAUGUACCUUACGUCAAUUAAUAAAAUAUAUACACAAAAAGAAAAAAAACACAACUGAAAGGUAGCAAUACGUAAAUAUGUAAUUAAAAAUAUUUUAACUCUAUUAAUAAUAUUGACAAUAAAUAAUUAAUGAAAUUACGAACAUUGAAAGAUAUAUAAGUGAAUUAAACAAUAUCCAUAAUCUAUAUCUAUAAUAUAUUAAAAGUAUGAAGACCCUUAGAAAUGUGAUUUCAACUUUUUCCCUUCAUUAAAAGAAUCCUUUUUUGACAAAACUGUCUUUUCACUACUUUUUAAAUUUAUUAUUUAAUUAUUAUUUUUAUUAUAUUAUCUAGACUUCCUAAAAUAUAUGGUACUCAUAAAAUAUAUGGUAGGAGAUUAAUUAAUAUUUUCAUUUCUACUAGACUUCCUAAAAUAUAUGGUAGUAGAAUUAAUUAAUAUUUUUCUUUCUACUGUUCAAUUAGAAAAAUACUCCAAAAAUAGUACUCUAUUAUGGAAAUACUUCUAUAAAUAUUGAGAGGUACGUUAAACUAGAGAACAAAUCGAUUUUCCUAUUGGGAUAAUAUGAUUGAUGCUCAUCUAACUUGAUUCGAUUGCAUGUCUAGAUUGGUCGAUGCUUGAUUUUCUAACCCUCAACAUGUGUGUGUGUGUGUGUGUAUAUAUAUAUAUGUAUAUAUAUAUAUAUAUCUUCUUUGUUUUCAUUCAAUAUCAUUUUUUAGGGUCAAAAUUUUCGAUCAUACAAGAAUUAGUUGGAUCAAAAUCGAAGCUUUAUGAUCACUAUUCUAAUUUUUUUUUUUUAUAGUUUACAGGUCGUAGAUGAAUGUCAGUCGACUUUCAAAAUUUUUUAGGUAAAUGUUAGGUUUAAUUGUAUUAUCGUAAUAUCUCUAUUAGUUUAUUAUUUUGUGGUAGUUUACAGUUCGUAGAUGAAUCUCAAUCGUCUGUGAGAAAUUUUUGUAUGUAAAAUUUAAGUUUAAUUGUAUUGUUUUGGUAUCGCUUUUAUCGUAUUAUGUUUUUUCAUUUUAGAAGUGAUAGAUAAAUGUUGGUCGGCUUUGAAGAAUUUUUUUAUGUAAAUGUUAGGUUUAGUUGUAUUACUUUGAUAUAUCUGUUAUCGUAUUAUUUUGUUAUUGUUUACAUGUGGUAGAUGAGUGUCGGAUGACUUUGAGAAAAUUUGUGUGUAACAAUUAAAUUUAAUUGUAUUAUUUUGAUGUCUCUAUCAUUGUAUUGUUUGGUUACAAUUCACAAAUAGUAGAUGAAUGUCGAUCUACUUUUAAAAAAAAUUUUGGCAAAGAUUAGGUUUAAUAAAUAAAUUUUCUAGCUUUACGUACUCAAAAGAUAUUAAAUUUAAUUAUUAUAUUCAUCUUUAUUAUUUAAGCAAAUAUCCUAUUUAUUGUAAUGUUUGAACUCAUUGAAGUGAGGUACACGCGCAAGGCGCGUACACCUAAACUAGUAAUCAAUAAAUAAGUGAAUCGUCUGUUUGACCACCUAAGCGAUCCCGCCGGUCCACACUCCCCCGCUCCUCAGCCUGUCUUGGAUCCUCCAUUCGAUUUUUUUGGUCCAAAACACACCCAAACCAUGGACUGUCACAAAUGGAGCCAGGGGCCUGACCGCGACGGACAUCCUAAACCGUGAAAGCCCGAGCGCCCCUGUUCAAUCUGGUAACCAUACACAAUUUUCAUACAAUAUAAAGAAAUGCGAAAGAUUAAUAAAUGAAAAUAGGGUCACUUUUUAAAUUCAACAAGACAAUUUGAAAUGAAGUUCGUAACAUUCAAAGUACAUGACUCUAGUCUGUGAAAUCUCUACUAACUUAAAAUAACAUCUAUCUAAACUCUGGGAAAAGGAACCCAGUCGGACCAUGAAUCAAAAUAAUAUAACCAUGACAAGUUUCGUAACCAGGCCUUCCUAAGUAAGGGAGGUUCACCAGUUGCAACUUCUAUCAAGUCAAUCUAUUGCUUAACGGAACCUCGGGACUGAGCCUUAGAUCCUAAAAUAUAGGGAUCAAUACAAUAUUACUAGUACACAAAGCAAUAAAAAAUAAUGUAUCUAUAUUUAACAUAAGUGAGAGCAAUUCAUAAAACAUUUUAGAUAAGCUAUAUGAAAACACAUGGGCAUACUUUAAAAAACUUUGAACAAUUCAUUGAAAUCAUAACUCAUUCUUUGUCUUACUUGUGAGCUAGGUGGUAUACCUUACAUUCUGUAAUUCCAUGGGAUAUAUGGAAUCCGCCCUUGACUCGGUGGCGAAGCCCCCAAUCCAAGUUUACCGCCAGGAUUGGGGUAUUAAUAAAGAGGACACGCAAGAUCACACAGCAGGGUGGCAAAAUCCCCAAUCAAAUAAACAUGUCUUGGUAGUGCAUAAGAUCACAAAGCAGGGCUCCUUACCAUAGUCCCAAUUUGGAACGACAUGAAUCAAGGUACACAAGAUCACAAAGCAUGGUACCAUAACUCCGUGUCGGCAAAUCACGGUUUCUAGCAUUUAGUAUUUCAACUCGUGCUUUCUUCGGGUAACCACCUAACUCUCUUUAAUCCUAUUUGUAGGUGGUUCUAAACAUGCAUCUUUAUGAAAUUAAAUACUGAAAAUCUGAGUAAAAUCGGUAUUGUAUUUUAGUCUUAGUCUUCUAUGACAUUUAUUUGUUUGGUAUCGUCAUACCAAGACUUGCGAGUCGUAUCUCUAAUCCAUACAUAAUCAUGUUAAGUCUUCUAUUUCAAAACCUAGUGUUCAGACUAUCAAACUAUUCAAACCAUAUAUGAGGAUGUGUAUAGUGAAACUCAUAAAAACUUAGGCAGAGUUCCUCUAUUUCAAUUCACAAACACAUGGCGGUCAAGUUUCAUGUAACAAACCAUGCAAUCUCUUUCAAUUAUCACUUUAAACAUUUAUAAACAAUAAAACACCCUCUCUUCAAUUCAUAAUAAAUAUCAAGUUCAAAAUAAUAGUAAAAUAGUUAUCUCACACUUCAAAACAUGCAAUUGAACAACCCACCACAUGUGAAAUCAAAAGGUAUUAUAACAAGAGAGGGGUUUCAUCAUUCAUGAACUCGAUUUAAUAUUUGCAAAAUGCAAAACACAUACUUACACAUAUAAGAGUAAAAAUCAAUUUUAAGGGGAGGCCUCAAGACCAAAACAAUAUGUCUAUCAUUGAAAAGGGUUUCAUGAUUUAAAUAUUCAAUACAAUUGUUCAAACCCUUGUUAUAAACAUCAUAACAUACUUUUAAAAGAUUGAUAAAAUCAUACUUAUGCCCAUAGAGUUUUUAGGACAACCCUACAUACCUUAACCAAUGAAGAAUUACGAAAAAGUUGAUCCCUUGAGCUUGAAUGUUUAGCCAUAAGUUGUUUUCUAUUAUGGUUUUCUUGGAAUAUGAAUUGGGAUCUUAAGAGAUUUAAAAUGGUACUAAUAACCCUAAUUUUUUUUAAGGAUUAUUAGGGACGGUUUUGGAUUAUAAAAAGACUUGACUACCCUUAAAAUGACUUUAAAACGACAUUUUUACGCCCUUGGGCCAUAAGGCAUGUGACGUAUUGCCUAUGGCCUAAGUUAGGCAGUGCCACGCAUUGUCCAUCGCCUUAAAUGGGCUGGGCAUUGCAUUGCCCAUAGCCCAAAAUGGGCUGGGCGACGCAUUGCCCAUGGCACAACACUUCCAGUAGCUUUAGGUGAUUUGCUAGGCAACGCACUCCACUUUGCAAAUUCAUAAUUUUCUCUUGGUCAUCGGAUUUAGAAGAAAUUAGUAUUGUUCAAAAGAUACUUCGAAGACCUUUCAUUUGAUAUAUAGUAGGACCUAUAAUUCGUUAUAUACAAGAAGUUAUGAUCGAUUGAAGUUGACCCAAGUUGAAACAUCUACAAAAACUUAAUCGAUAGAAAUGUUUUCAACUCGUCUUAGAGUUAGGGGAUUUUUUUGACAUCAAAUCAUAUUCAAAGGUUUUCCUACACAAUAGGAUUGAUCACCACACAUAUAUUAAAAAGUAAUCAUUUAGUUUGGAUCUAUACACAUAGGAACGACGGUCUAAAUUCUAGCCCAAAAGUACGGGGCGUUACAUUAUCUCCCCCUUGGGAUCAUUCAUCCCCGAAUGAUGGGUAGGGACUUCUUGAAGCUCUAAAAGUGCAGAAUAAAGAACGUAAUAUUGAUUUGAAUAUUUUUCGUCAACAAAAAUCUUCAAAGGCAUCACACGAUCUUCAUGAUUUCCCAUAGGAAAACGGUAAGCAUGAAACCUCAGAAAAUGUUACUUGACAUCGACAUGAUCUUGGCAUGUAAUUUAUGGCACAUGAUCAAAACUUUGUAAGACAUGAAUUUUUCCUAAGAGUCCAUAGCCAUAAGAAUAUUAGCAUUCUCCAUCUAACAAGAUACAAUGAAAACACUUAAACUUAGAGACACUACUCAUCUGUACCCCAACAUUAAUCAACAUACUUCAUCGUUUCCAACUUACAAUUCUCCCAUUACACAUCUAACCACAAGAAUUUAUGUCUCUCCAUAUAAUACUUGUAUGUUCAAGCCUAAUUCGAAGGAAAGAGGUGCUAAUUAAAACUACGGGACCGUACACUCUACAUCAUAUUAAGAAAUCACCUCACCUCAUCUCUAUAAUCCAACAACUUCGAGCCUUAAUUCAAAGAAUACUAACCACAUGGCACAUAGGUUUGUGUUUUCAUCAAUCAGAACAUCAAGCCUAAUCAUUACUACACCCACUACAUGGAUCUCCCCACUAAGACCAGAAAUUUCAAUCACUCUCAAAAAUAUUUUUGCCACCGUUCUACUUCUUAGCUACUUCACACAAUAAAAGUUCAUCUCUUUCUUUUCCCUGUCACCUAUAACCUUAGCUCGAGAAUCACAUAACACUCUACCACGCUUCCACAACCACCAUUAUACUAACAUACGGAGGGUCAUUGAGUUUCCCGAGCAUAAACAUCAUGAAUGAAAGUAACACUAUUAGACCAUAACUUAUACUUAUUGCACUACUCAAGGUGGGACAUGAAAUUAAAAUACGAUAGAAUAGACCAGAAAUGCUUCAUACAUCAAGUGUCUGAAUCAUAAGUAGAGAGUCAUCUGGCGUAAACUCAACAUAGCACGAUUCCUGAGGGUAGACCAUAGAGAGAAACAUGAGUGCUUGCAGCACGAGUCAUAUAAUAUAAGUUUAGAAAUUUUAAAGUUAACGACCGAGACAAAAACUUAUACUCGAAGCUAUGAAUUUUUAUUUUUAGAGCUGAAAUAGUUAUAAGUUAGCAAAAAAUCUAUCACUUUGGCUAAUCCCGACAUAAAACGAAUCAUUAUCAUAUGAAAACAUAGUUCCUUAGAACCAAGUAUGAUUUGGGAUACGAAUUUAUGGACCAUGGACAUCAUAUCAUAGAUCUUGAAUAGAUGAAAGGCUGGAUCUACUAAGACAAUAUUGAUCCUAGUUUGGAGGUCGGAUCAUAACACAAGUUACAUAGAGUGCUCAAACCUUAGACACAAUAGGGAAUUGAAUGCAUGAGAUUUGGUAGAAUGACCUCUUAAAUUGAAGUAGGAGGAACAUGCAUCAUAACUCCUCCCCACAACUUGCCACAUUGAGAAAAUUCAGGAACUACCUUAAUCCGUCAUCUCCCCCUUUAGAUCAAAGUUACAAUCCUAAACUUGUGGCCAUACCUUUGUCGCACCCUAUUUUCCUUGUGAAAAGUGGGAUUCGACGUGACAAACUCUUUUUGGGAUUGUUUAAGGGGAGAAUAUGAAGAGUCGCCACCUAACAAAUUAAGGUACGUUAGGGCACUGAUCUAGGCUUACUAUGAACCUAUUUUGUUGUUAGUGAGAGUUCACCAAAAAUUCGGGUAAGGGUUCAAAUUACCUCAAAAGGAAGGUGUUAUUCACCUUUCGAGGUCCACAACGGUGGUUUCCGUCCAAUUUCAUACUUUACAAGGAGAUUCUAUGUGAUCAAAUAAAGCCUCUAAUUUUAUUAUUAACUUAAAUGUUAACUAAGUGGGGAAAAUAAUAAAGAAAACUUUCAACUGGUGUACAUAUCAUACAAAGAAUAAAAAAAAUACAAGAGAUAAGAGACUAACCUUUUGGGACAUGCAAAUAAUAAAUGAAAAUUCCAUAAUUCUCGUAAUCUUCAUCUUACUCGAAUCACGGACUCUAGCGAGAUCCUUUGCUCUUUAGUGUGAGGACAAAAUUGGAAGGUGAUAAACUACAAACUGAACUUACAUUGAAGUAAGGAUAGACGACAAAUGAUUCAAAACUUUUUAGUAAUAUGUGUGUCACCUCAAUUUUGGUGACGACUUAAAGUAAAGGAUUAAUAAAAGUAAUUAAGUAAUUCAAUAACACAUAUAUAAAGUAAAAAAGAUAAGAGAGAAGGUGAGUAGGGUCAUAGCAUCACAAGGCUGAAAUAGGCCCAAUGCGAUGUUACUCCCUCUCUUCCAAUAUCUAUGUCAACUCUCUUAAAUGUCUUAGGACAAGAUGAAAGAAAUUCUUAAAAACACUUAUUAAGGAGUACUAAAUAAUUUUAUUUUUUUUGAAUUUAAAAGUCAUGUGAAGCAAAUAAUAUGUGGAUAUAAUGUUUAAGUUGUAUCAAAGCAUGUUGCUAUAGUGUAGUAGUAGGAGAUGUCAAGUCUUUGAGGCUUUUAAAGAGAGUGUCAUGUAAACUUUGAAAAGAAGGGAGUAGCGGGGUGCUUUAUAUUUUAAUAAAGUUAUAUGUGCUUCAUAUAAGAAGUCAGCUAUAACCUGUCUUUUUCAUCAUAUCACAAACGUACCUCACCCCACUUGGAGGUGACUAUCCUUUUGAACUUGGUUAUGUUGACUCCCAUGAUUGAACUCCAAGUGACUCCAUUCCGUUCUAGUGUACAUAAAACAUUCAAAAUGGUGAGAGUAUGUCUGUUCUUAAUGUUUAACUAAUUGAAAGAAAAACUCUAACUAUAAAGUGAUAAAGAUUCUUGAUUAAAGUGUUCCAAUAAGACAGAAAAGAGUUUUCUGGUUCCUUUCUUUUUACUCGAUAAGGAGUUUUGGAAAUAAGUUUGUCAAUCAUCUCGCUCGUCUCGCAAUUGAUUAAAUUAUUUUGGUUUCAAAGAAGUCUAGGUCUGCGGUGAUAUGGCCUAGCAAGUUCAAAUCCCAUAACCUUGUCAAUUAGAGAUGUGAAAAUCGUAACCCAAUCAGUCUAACCUAAAAUCCAAACUCUGCGAUAAGAAACAUGACGCCUAACUAUAACUGGGAACAAUCAAAAUACUAUAGCCCCCUUAACUUAAUUGACACAGUGACAUUAAUUAAAAUAUUAACUUUGGACCUUAACAUUUCAACUAAGCAUAAAUUUAGAAAAAACAAAUUAACAAGUAACAGUUGUAAAAUGAAAAAAAAUAAAGUAACUAGCAGAAAUACAAGAGACGAACAUGCAUAUAACAAAAUAACAAUUUAAAUGAGAAAUUAUUGAGCCUUUUUUAUGGCAAUUUCCAUGCAUUUAUAUCAAGAACCUUUCAACCCGACUUGGAAAAUAUGGAUAACGGUGAUGUUCAUGGCAGCUUUCCGUUGGCUUAGACUAGUGGCUCACAUGGUUAUAAAAAUGGAGUUUUUAGGAGCUACUUUUAAUGGUGAAAUUGAUGGCUCCAGAAAAUGAAUGAUUGGUGUCUUUGAUUAUAUGUUUUGUGCCUAACUAUGGAUUUACAUUGUCGUGUAUGUAUAUGUGUUAUCCUUCUCGCUUUUUUUUCCCCAUUGACUCUCCAUUUGAUCUCUUUAUAUAAAGCUUCAUUCAAAAUAGUAAUUGAUAAGAAAUCUGCCCAAAUAUUUCCAAGUCAUGGAGAAUCAAAACGGACCAAGCCAAACAUGGUAAAGAAUAAGAAGAAACGUUGGUGUAGUGGAAAAUGGGAAAGGAAAAAAAAGGUCUUCAUUUGAUUAUUGAGAGAAUAUUAUUCCUAACUUAAGAAAUAGGGAAAUAAUUAAAGAAAGAAAUUGAGAAUUUUUUACAAGAAAAAUCAAAUUUUGAAGGAUUAAUAAAGGGGGAGACGGAGAACGUUGGGAGGAAGUGUUAAAGGAAAAAAAUAUUUCAUCAUUUGCCUAAGUAAAUGAUAUGGAAUAUUCACGGAUAUGGACUUAGGAGAGUGCGUGUUGGACCCGAGCCUUGGCACGUGCAAUUGAAGUGUAAAAGAGGCCCAAAAUGCACCCAAAUCAGCCCAUAAAUUACACUAUAUGGGUGCCCACUCUUUGAAGGGCCUUUUGGUCAUUUUAACUUAUAUUUUGUUAUAUGUGUAAAAGGAACAUUGUAGGGUUUUUAGUUUAGUUUUUGGAUGAUAUUUUUGAGUCUUGUAAGACUUGUAACAAGCUCUCUCUCUAGUGAGAAGAAUGGACACCGAAACUAGGAUACUACAAUAGGGUGGAUUCUCUUUUGUUGUUGCUUGCUUGGAAGCGUUGAUGCUAGAGAGGUGGAAUCUGAUCUUGUGUCACGUAAAAGAUAGGUUUAUUGUUUUGUGUAGUAUUAAGGGUCCAAGAGUGUCCAUUCUUGGGUUUUUAAGAUUAUACCUUCAUGUGGUCUAUCUAUCUAUCCAUUUACCUUCUUGUAAUCUUGUUUAGUGUUUGUGUUAUAAUCUUGUGUUCUUGUUGUUAUUGUUAAAUCCGUAUCUUGUGUUUUCUUGUUCAUCAUAUGUAAUCCGAGUCUAAAUGUUUCAGAAAUAUCUUUCCAAGUAUGAAAUACUUUGAAUCAUGUGGGAAUCUAUUCGAGAAUGAAGUAAGAUCAUAGACGUCCCCUAACUCAAGGACGAGUUGAAAUCUUUCCUAUCGUUUAAGUUUUAGUGACAGUCAAAAUUUAGGUCAACUUCAAUCGACAAUAACUCCCAUGGUUGAACUCCAAGUGAUGCCAUUCCGUUGUAGUGUACAUAAAAUAUUCAAAAUGGUGAGAGUAUGUUUGUUCUUAAUGUUUAACUAAUCGAAACAAAAACUAUAACUAUAAAGUGAUAAAGAUGUUUGAUUAAAGUGUGCAAAUAAGACAUAAAAGAGUUUUCUGGUUCCUUUCUUUUCACUCGAUAAGGAGUUUUGGAAAUAAGUUUGUCAAUCAUCUCGCUCAUCUCGCAAAUGAUUAAAUUAUUUCGGUUUCAAAGAUGUCUAGGUCUGCGGUGAUAUGGCCUAGCAAGUUAAAAUCCCAUAACCUUGUCAAUUAGAGAUGCAAAAAUCGUAACCCAACCUGUCUAACCUAAAAUCUAAACUCUGCAAUAAGAAACAUGACGCCUAACUAUAACUGGGAACGAUCAAAAUACUAUUGCCGCCUUAUCUUAAUUGACACAAUGACAUUAAUUAAAAUAUUAACUUCGGACCUUAACAUUUCAACUAAGCAUAAAUUUAGAAAAAACAAAUUAACAAGUAACAGUUGUAAAAUGAAACAAAAUAAAGUAACUAGCAGAAACACAAGAGACGAACAUGCAUAUAACAACAUAACAAUUUAAAUGAGAAAUUAUUGAACCCUUUUUAUGGAAACUUCCAUGCAUUUAUAUCAAGAAACUUUGAACCCGACUUGCCAAAUAUGGAUAACGGUGAUGUUCAUGACAGUUUUCCGAUGGCUUAGACUAUUGGCUCACAUGGUUAUAAAAAUGGAGUUUUUAGGAGCUACUUUUAAUGGUGAAAUUGAUGGCUCCAGAAAAUGAAUGAUUGGUGUCUUUGAUUAUAUGUUUUCUGCCUAACUAUGAAUUUACAUUGUCGUGUAUGUAUAUGAGUUAUCCUUCUCGCUGUUUUUUCCCCAUUGACUCUCCAUUUGAUCUCUUUAUAUAAAGCUUCAUUCAAAAUAGUAAUUGAUAAGAAAUCUGCCCAAAUAUUUUCAAGUCAUGGAGAAUCAAAACGGACCAAGCCAAACAUGGUAAAGAAUAAGAAGAAACGUUGGAGUAGUGGAAAAUGGGAAAGGAAAAAAAAAAGAUCUUCAUUUGAUUAUUGAGAGAAUAUUAUGCGUAACUUAAGAAAUAGGGAAAUAAUUAUAGAAAGAAAUUGAGAAUUUUUUAAAAGAAAAAAUCAAAUUUUGAAGGAUUAAUAAAGAGGGAGACGGAGAACGUUGGGAGGAAGUGUUAAAGGAAAAAAUAAAAAAAUUUCAUCAUUUGCCAAAGUAAAAGAAAAAAUCUUAUAAUUUAGAAUGUGGAACACUAAAUUUAUUUACCAAAAAACGUUGGGCAAGAUAAGUAUUUUGUGUGAAAAAAUAUUUUAUGGGAUAUGUAGCAUGGUAAAUUUUGAAAAUUGACAUCAUAUAGUAUUAGUAUUUUACUAGAGAAAAAAUCUUGAAAUAAUUGUGGCCAUUUUAUUCACAAUCAAUUUAAAAUAUUAGUAAGUAAUAAACUAAUUCAAAAUAUAUAAUAAAAAAAAUACUAGACAAUGUAUUUGUAAAUUGUGAGUGUGGAUAUUUACGAAUAUGAUUUAAUAUAUUGAUAAAAUUAUGUAAAAUAUCAUAUUUGAAUUAACAAAUUGUAAAAAUGAUACUAAAAAGUAAUAAAAUAAUUUUUGUAUUUUUUUAAAUCAUGAAUGUAGCUUGUCGAAAAUUAUUUGAUACCAAAAUAAUGUGUAAAAAUAAUAAUAUUUAAAAUUAAAUAAUUUUAACAAAAUAGCAGCCUACAAGGAGUAUCGAGAGUCCAAAAUUGGGUGUCAACAACCUUCACAUCAAAAUCCACAACUCUCAACACAAGAGAUAUACCACCAUAUACAUAACCGCUAAACUCUCUCCGAUAAACUAUAUUCUGAACGCAUAUGAGCUUGCUCCAUUGAUACGGACUCCAUGAUGUGAUUAUCACUGGUAAAUUGCAAUUAUUAUAUUCGUCUACUUUUUUCCUCGAUACCUUUUGGGGUACAAUUUUUUAAAAGUAAGAACCUCCUAACUUUAUUAUGAUGAACAUUCAAGGCCUGCUAUAAUAUGGUUCGGCUGAUGUAUUAAGCUGAUUUUUAGGUGAGAAUGGUACUGGUGAUGUUUGGUGGAAUAUGUGGAGAAAAAGGACUCUUCAAUUUAUACGACCUCAUCUUGUUGAACUAAUGAAAUCUAGGGGCAUAUUUCGAAUUUUAUUUUCAAGAACUUUCCCUUUUGAAAUAUAAGUUUUGCAUAAGUGUAAGAGAAUGUAUGGAGACUAAUUCCACAUCCUGAUUACUUUUAUAGGCACACUUUUACAAAAUAUAACUGCAUAUAUAUUUCCGGCAUGGAAAACUUUCAGAGGAUAGAUAUCUAGACAUAAAUAUCUACGAUCUACAUUUAACUCACAAACGCUUCUCCUCAAUUCGGUGCAUAUAAAUCGUAUGUACCGAGCUUAUCAGAUGCGUGAUUGAUUCAAGGAUUGGUAAGGUGCUUGACGAUAAAUAUAUCUACAAGAUAAUCAACUUUCAAAAUUUCAAGUCACCUCAGAUUCCUUUUGUCCAAAAUUUUGUGAGUUUUGCAUAAUUAGUUCUCUUGUGAAAGACGAGAUUUAAUGCAAUAUAAAAAGCAACUUAAUCAUCACUCAAUUUCCAUCUGACUGACCUGUCUCUAAAUUCUUGAGCAAUUAUUUGAUCCAUAUAAGUUUAGAAUUUGCACAAUCCAAUAUUAUGUGCUUUCACUUACACUUCUAAGGCACCAAAGUACUACCUCGAUAAAAAAAAAGUAUCCAAAGUUAGAGCAUCUAUUAAAAUGUGAGCAUGCCCCAUUUUCAUUUGUAUAUAUAAAAAUCUGCUCAUAUCAUGUAUUCUCAUACAAUAAUUCUUAUUCUGAAACAGAUUUUAUAUAUUGAAAGACACCAAACACUGAAUUCUAAUGAGUAUCACAUGGAGAGUGACUAUAAACCGGCUUAAAACACUUACCUGAAAAGCAAUAUCAUGUCAACUUAUCGCAAGAUAAUUAAACUUGCAAACCAAUUCUGUCUUGCAGGAUCACCACGAGCUUCCCUGACUUGGUGGAAGCUUAAUCGAUGAAUUUUUUCGUUAAAAGUAUUUGUUUUUCUCUUGUAAUUAUGAUUAAAAAACAUGUCCAGUGAGAAAUAUAAUCAUUUUGGAAUAAAAAGUUCAUUUUAUUAUCAUAAAUAUGUUAGUAUAUUUCAAAUAUUCCUAACGAUAGAUAUCAAUGCACCAAGUAUAAUAUGAAAAGAAUAGUUUGGGGGGAUAAUCGUGGUCAAAAAAAUCUGAAAAGCAGCUACAACCAGAUAGCUGCAAUUUAAAACAAACUGAUCAAAAUUCACGAAAUUUGUAAUCAAUAUAGAGAAAAUAAAUACCAUGCUAAAUCAAUAGAAAUUCUAAUUUUAAGAAUCAUAAGUUGUUGCUGCAACCGUUAUGCGCUUUUACUUCAAUAAAAGAGGCAAAAGAAUUUCGCUAUUAAGGUGGCUACAAACUAUUUCUUGGCCAAUCAAUUUCAACUAUUUAACCAUCGCCUACAUCUACCAUAGCAAAAGAAAAAUAAUAGAAAUUCUAAUUUUAAUAAUCAUUAGUCGUUGCUGCAACCGUUAUGCGCCUUUACUUCAUUAAAAGAGGCGAAAAAAAAAAAGAGGCAAAAGAAUUUGGCUAUCAAGGUGGCUACAAAUCUAUUCCUUGGCCAAUCAAUUUCAACUAUUUAGCCAUCGCCUACAUCUACCAUCACAAAAUCAACAAUAACUAUGACGACAAUAAUAAUACCAGCAAGCUCCUUCUCAUGACUUCACAUAUAUUCAUGGCCACUACUGGGAUCAGACUCCAACAAGAAUUUGGUAAAAAAUGAAUAUUAAUAAAAAAAGAAAAAAAUAACAAACAUUAUAUUAGUUGGUCUUCUUUAAGGCAAAAAACCUACACUUCUUUAAAAUCGAUAACUUUAUAUACAAAAAUCUUCAAUCUUCAUCUCAUAUAGUUCUAAAAAUUAAAAGAGAAGAUUAUACUAGCUGUGAAUUAAAUACACAUAAAUUUAGGACAAAUCAAAAUAAUGAAAACGAAUUAGAAUGUUUGCACUAAAAGAAUCAAUAAAAUUCAAUAAAACAUGCAUAGCACGACAAAAUAUUUAAUUUAAAAAUUAUACAGCUAAUGUUUCCUCUAUCGGUAGUUUUGGAAGAAAUAUGUAAAUAUAAAUAAAGAGAGACAAUCCUAAUCCUAAAGUGAAAGUCUAUUAACAUAUAUAACAAUUCGGUUUUGGGAAAAGACCUAACCAAAAUAGGAUACCAAUUUGAAAAAACAAAAGUCAUAAUUUUUUUUUUUUAGGAAAAAAGGUGAAAAAAUGAUUUUGUCUAUUAUAAAACAUUUUAAUGAAAGGAAAAAAGAUCAAUUCACUUUUUUAGGGGUCUUCGCAGUUUUGAUAUAUUAUAGAUUAUAGGUUAUAGAUUAUAGAUUACAGAUAUAGAUUAUAGAUAUAGAUUAUAGAUAUAAUAUAUUAUAGAUUCUAGAUAUAGAUUGUAGAUAUAAAUUACAGAUAGGAAAAAGGCUGAAAUAUGUCAUUGAACUACCAGAAAUGGCUCAUUUAUGCCAUCAGUUAAAAGUUUGACUCAUUCAUGCAAUCGCCGUUACAAAAUUAGCUCAUCCAUGCCAUUAAUUUUUAACGGGGAUUUUCAAAAACAACUUGCAACAUGACCUUUGGCUAUUUCUAGUUGAUUCUAAAUCAUUAUAAAUGUUAUGCUUAACAGAAACCUCAAAAAUUCUAUCCUAAAGUAACUGGUUAAUUUUAAUUUCAGUGACUCCAAUAUAUACUCCGAAGUUACAAGAAAAUAAAUCAAUGAACGAUUAGGGCAAGCAAGACAAACAAAGUGGCAUACCAAUAGAACUUCUCCAUUCCCCCAUCACGAAUUAGAGGAGUAUACAUUAUUGAAAAAAUCAUUUCCAAAUAACGACUUAAAGGAAGUCUGUUAUCCCAAUUAUCGCGUCUUUCAUAUGGAAUAACUUCUCCCAUCACGAAUUAGUGGAGCAUAUAUUGUUGAAAAAUUAUUUUCAAAUACAGUCUUAAAAGAAGUCUGAUAUUGCAAUUAUCCCGCCAUGUAUAUGAUAUAACUUCUCCCAUCAUUAUGGUAUAAAUGUUGGAAUAAAUAAUUUUAAUACUAACUAAUUUCAGAUAUUUUAAAAUUCAUAUUGAUUUUUUUUAAUUAAUGGCGUGGACUUAUAAUAAAAGACCACGUGGAAAAACUAUUUUUAAAAAUCCAUCAUUAAAAAGUAAUGGCAUGAGUGAGUUAAUUUUAUAACGGUAAUCGCAUGAAUGUGCCAAACUUUUAAUUGAUUGCAUAAAUGAGCCAUUUCUGAUAGUUCAAUGGCACAUUUGAGUCUUUUUGCUUAUUUUAAUCAACGAUGUGGACCUCUAAUAAAAGUCCACGUGAGAAAGUUGUUUUUGAAAACCACUGUUAAAAAGUAAUAGCAUGGAUAAGCUAAUUUUGUAAUGGCGAUGGCAUGAAUGAGCUCAACUUUUAACUGAUGGCAUAAAUGAGUCAUUUCUGAUAGUACAGUGGUAUAUUUGAGCCUUUUCCCUUAUAGAUAUAGAUUUUGGAUUAUAGAUUAUACAUAUAAAUUAUAGAUAUAGAUAGAUUAUAGAUAGAUUAUAGAUAGAUAUGGAUAUAUAUUUGAAAGAGAGAGAACUUUUCAUUCAUUUAUAUAAAUGCUAAUAUUGCGUAAGUUAUUCAUCAUCAUUUUAUUUAGGGGAAAGGCUCAAAUAUGACAUUGAACUAUCAGAAAUGACUCAUUUAUGCUAUCAGAACAUCGCCGUUACAAAAUCGGCUUAUCCAUGCCAUUAAUUUUUAACGAUGAUUUUCAAACAGCUUUGCCACGUGACCUUUUAUUAAAGGUCCAUGUCAAUAAUUAAAAUAAGGAAAAAGGCUCAAAUUUUCCAUUAAAUUAUCAGAAAUGGCUUAUUUAUGCCAUCAAUUAAAAGUUCAGUCCAUUCAUGCCAUCGUUGUUAUAAAAUCAGCUCACUCAUGCCAUUACUUUUUAAUGGUAGGUUUUCAAAAAUAUUUUUUUCAUGAGGCCUUUUAUUAGAGGUUUGCGACAUUAAUUAAAAUAAAUAAAUAUUAAUUUUAAAAUAUCUUAUACCCAUUAGAAAGAACCGAUCCAUUUAACAUAACCCGACCAACACCCAUUAAAAUAUUUUUUUCCCUACAAAACAACUACUAUUUUUCUUAUCAGAAAAAAUAGUGAUUAGUAUAUAUCUUUUUCCUAUUUCUAGUUGAUUCUAAAUCAUUAUAAAUGUUACGCUUAACAGAAACCUCAAAAAUUCUGUCCUACAGUAACUGAUUAGUUUUAAUUCAAGUGACUACAAUAUAUACUCCAAAGUUGCAAGAAAAUAAAUCAAUGAACGAUUAGGGCAAGCAAGAAAAAGAAAGAGGCGUACCAAUAGAACUUCUCCAUUCUCCUAUCACGAAUUAAGGAAUUAUAAAUUAUUGAAAAAAUCAUUUUCAAAUAACGACUUAGAAGAAGUCUAUUAUCCCAAUUAUCCCGCCAUGCAUAUGGAAUAACUUCUCCCAUCACGAAUUAGUGGAGCAUACAUUGUUGAAAAAUUAGUUUCAAAUAACGGCUUAAAAGAAGUCUGCUAUUCCAAUUAUCCCAAUAUGUAUAUGGGAUAACUUCUCCCAUCAUUAUGGUGUAAAUGCUGGGAUAAAUAAUUUCGAUGUUGGGUUCGAAUUUGAGAGGGCGUCAUGCGGAAGCUAUUUGUUGCAAACUAUUGAGACGAUAAAUCAGACGAAAAGAAAAACAUACUAAAAAUAUGAUGAUUAUAUAGUUUGACCAAUUGGCUCACAUAUAAAAACCUAAUAUAAAAGAAAACAUAAAACUAUUAGAUAGAAAAUCUCCCUCUAAACAAAAAUCUUAAAAGACUACAUUGUGGAUGUUAUUGUGUUAUGGUAUGGAAGGGGGUCUUCUAUUUAUAGAUGUCUAAAACCUUUUAUCCAAGAAAGAGGUUAGCCAAAUAUGGAAAAGAAUUAUAUUUUUUCUUUCAGGAAAAGUAAAAGUAAUUAUGGUAACUUUUAUUUUCCUUCUAAGAAAAAAUAAAUCUUAAAUAUAGUUAGAAAACCAGGGCAAAAACCCAAACAAAUCUCCCCUUUUUGGCUUGAUUUUCUUCACUUGAUCCAUCUUCUCUUCAUAUCACGUACAUGAACUUCAUUCUUGAUAUAAUAUUUAUAACUGCUGCUUGUAAUGGUUAAAAAUAAGGUUUAAAAUAUCAUGGUUAAAAAUUAAUUUAAAAGUAAUAUUUUAAUUUUAUUUUUAAACAUGCAGCAGCAGGAGUAUUUAAAAUAUGGUUGAAACUUGUUCUCCACAUGUAGUUCGACAAAAAUCUUAAUUAUCGUCCAAAUUGUUGCAGCUUGAUUUUGCAACCUCUUUGAACCUGUUUAAUCUCGUUUCACCAUACCAUUGGACCAUUGAACCGUAAGCUCUAAUACCACUUGUUGGGUCUGAAAUCGAGAGGGCGUCAUGCUGAAGCUAUUAGUUGCAAACUAUUGAGACGAUAAAUAAGACGAAAAGAAAAGCAUACUAAAAACAUGAUGAUUAUAUAGUUUGGCCAAUUGACCUACUUAUAAAAUCCUAAUAUAAAAGAAAAUAUAAAACUAUUAGAGAGAAAAUCUCCCCUUAAACAAAAAUCUUAAAAGACUACAUUGCGGAUGCUAUUGUGUUAUGGUAUGAGAAGGGGGUCUUCUAUUUAUAGAUGUUCAAAACCUUUCCUCCAAGAAAGAGGUUAGCCAAAUAUGCAAAAGAAUUAUAUUUUUUCUUUUAGGAAAAUUAAAAGUAAUUAUGGUAACUUUUAUUUUCCUUCUAAGAAAAAAUAAAUCUUAAAUAUAGUAUGAAAAUCAGAGCAAAAACCCAACACCCGAUACUAACUAAUUUUUGAUAUUUUAAAAUUAAUAUUGAUUUAUUUUAAUUAAUGUUGUGGAAUUAUAAUAAAAGACCACGUGACAAAGCUAUUUUAAAAAACUCAUCAUUAAAAAGUAAUGGCAUGAGUGAGUUGAUUUUAUAACGGUGAUGGCAUGAAUGAGUCGAACUUUUAACUGAUGGCAUAAAUGAGUCAUUUCUGAAAGUUCAAUGGCAUAUUUGAGUCUUUUUGUUUAUUUUAAUUAAUGACAUGGACCUCUAAUAAAAGGUCACGUGGAAAAGUUAUUUUUGAAAACCACCAUUAAAAAGUAAUGGUAUGAAAAGUAUUGUUGAUUUUAAGGUUAGUUUAUUCUUCUAAUUGAUUUUAAGGUUAAUUUAUUCUUCUAGUUUAUUCUUCUAAGUUUCUCGGGCUCUUUGAGAAUGUUGAUUCUUGCACAUAGAAUCCUCCAAAAGUAGUCCAUUUUUGAACGAUUCGACAUGAGGGAGGCAAGUCAGGCAAUAUUUUUGAGAGGUCGGGCAACUUAGGCCACAAUUUGCUAAAGGUCUAUUGAAAAUCGCUUCUUUAUCUCCACAAGGUAGAAAUGAGUUACUUUAGUUCUUGUUGUUAUUGCAAUUGGAAUAUUUGCAGGUUGAAAAAUACAAGAAUUUCCUAUAAAAGGAAAAAAGCUUAGCUCAAAAAGUAAAGAAGAAUGAGGGUCGCGGAGAGUAGAUAUAUUUCAGUUUUUGCUAUGGAAAAAGUAUAAUUAAAUAGUCCGUUUUAGUUAAAAACUCAAUGAAACGUCUAUCAAUCUUUGGUUAUUUUCUCCAAACUCUCAACCCCAAGGUGAGAAUUAGUAGUAGUAGUUGUAAUUAUAAUUGUAGCGAAAAUUCUAAGGCUGUGAUGAUGAUUUUCUUCUUUCCUUCUUUGAGUAAUUCAUUAAUGCAGAAGAGAGAUUGAAUCUGUAUCUUGGCGGGGCAACCCGGAUAGCAGGUGAGCUUGCAACUGGUGUUUACAGCCAUUAUGGUGAUCCAGUCUCUCUUGCUGUAUGGUAAGCAUUACAGAUCUGAGCCUCAAUAUUGAUUUUUCAUAAAUAUAGUUGGGGAAUUGGCAGUUUGAAAAACACAUGAGAAUUUCCCCUAAAAGGAAAAAAACUCAGAGAUUAAGAAUGAGGGUUGUGGAGAGUAGAAGAGAAAGAUGAAAGGGUUGUUACUCCUCUUUGCAAUGUCUGUGAUUUCAGUUUCUGCUGUGAAAGUAUAAAUAAAAGCAACAGCCCUUUUUUUAAUUAAACUCAGCCAAACGAUCCCUUAAAGUGUUUGCUUGUUCUCUCCAAAAUUCUCACAUUCAAACUGAGAAUCAAUUUUACUAGUAAUAAUUCUAGCAAAAAUUCUGAUGCUAUGAUGAUUUUUUUCUUUCUUUCUGAGCAAAUUUAGGCAUCAAAGAAGUCGGACCUGUAUCUUGGCGGGGCAACCCGGAUGGUAGAAGUAACCCUGCAAUCGGUGCUUGCAUCCAUAAGGAUACUUGAUAAAAUGUUCACAUGGGUGUUGAUAGAAUCUGACUUCUUAUGUUCAUUUCUCAUUUCAGAGUUGGAAUUAAACUUAUCUAUAUGUGCCAAUGUGGGUUCAACCUUUAUUCAAUUCCUUCUUUCCUUGUUUGGGAAACGCAACGAAAAUACUUUGCUGUAAUGAUGUCUCAUCACAUAGUCAUAGUUAUUCUGAUUUCAUUCUCAUAUAUUUCAAGGUAAAGUUUAAUUUACCAGUAGCUAAUCUUUUGUUUUUUUAGUUAUCACUUUCCUCCUUACAUUGUCUUUUUUUUUAUUUGUGUAUGUAUACUCUAUCUUGAUAUGAAAACAGGGACAUGAUAUAUGUAUGAUGUUAUCAACACUUUUAUGGUCUCAAUGCUUAUGGUGGGUGCAAUACUAGUAGGAAUUUUAUAAGUUCUUGAAAUUUUCCUAUGCACUUAACCACAGAGCUCAGACAUUCUUUGAUAUAUUUUGAGAGAUAAUUUUUCUUUUCAUUUUCAAUUGAUGGUGAGGUAAGGGAUGCUUGGUUUAAGUAGAUUUUAAACUUUGAAGACCUGGUUCAAGAGUAAAAAUAGUAGAAGGGAAAUGGACAAUUGAACAUUUAUUGCCAAAGUAAGAACAGUUAGAUGCCAAUAAUGGUGAUAAUAUCAAUUUGCAUAUUCAUAUAUAAAAAAAACCUAGUGUUUUCUGGUGCAUAAGAGUUUUAAUGGCAGAGAUUAUCUGUCAAAAACCUUGUCAGACUACUUGGAAUUUUGGAAGAAGUCUCUAACCCAGUGUUAUUUAUCUAACACUCGAGGAAAUAAAUUAGCAAAUGCAAAAUAUUCAUAUUGUUGCCCGCAUAUUAAAAGAAUGGACAAGUUUUAAUCUGUUGCGGUUUGUGUAUUAAUUUGAUGUGUUUUGACAUGUGUAGCUUCUUUAGAAUAGGGAUUGCUAUUAUUGCAUUACAUGAUGCAAGUGAUGUCUUUAUGGAGGCUGCCAAACUUUUUAAAUAUUCGUGGAAGGAGCUUAGACCUGGCCUGAUCCGGCCCUCGUAACUAACCCGGACUGAUUUGACCCGGCCCGGUAAGCCCUAGGGCUUUAGGAUUUUGGGUUCCGGGCCAAUUAUUUUUUUAAAAUGGGCCCGGCUAACCCAUCCCGGACCAAGUCCUGUCCAGGCCCACCAAUUAACCGAUCCGGCCCGGUCCGAAUACCUUUUUUUUUUAAAAAAAAUAAAAUAAAAUUUGGGAUUUUGACCCAAAUUAGCUGUUGGGGCCCAAUGGCUAUAUAGCCAUUUUUGGGUCCAAACAGCUAGUUUGGACCCAUUUAUUUAAAAAAAAAAAUUUAACUUCAAAAAAUAUUUUUUAAUCCCAAAAAAUAUUCUAUAGAUACCCUACAACUUCAAAUCAUUUUUCACACAAUUUUUCACUUUCUCAAAUCUAUUUCUCUCUCAAAGCUCAAUUCUCAAUUCUCAAAUAUUCAAUAUAUAUAAUUUCUUAAAGUGUUCACUUUAAUUUUUUAAUUUUUCGUUUACAAAGUACGAGCAAAAGUUUCUAAAGUCGCAACCUUUGGAUACUUUCAAAAUUUGGUAUUGUCAUUCCAUCUCUUACGUUUAAUUUUUAUUUAUUGUAUUAAUUGUUUAAUAUUUAAUUUUAUUAUAUUUGUGUAUUUUGAAUAUUUUUAGUUUAAUUUAAUUUAUAUUAUGGAUAAAUUAAGAAACCUCGCUACUAAAGGUGUUAAAAAAUUUUGUUCCGAAAGCGGUAGAGGUAGUUCAAGUAGUAGAUAUACCCGUGUGCCUUCGCCUCCGGUACCGCUUGGUACAUCUUUUGAGGAAGAAAUAGGUGUAGGUGCUCACGAUAUGGAUUAUGUAGAAGCUCAAGAAAAUUACGGUAUAGAAGAAGAAAAUGAAGUAGAUGCGGUUAAUUUAGACGAAGAUAAUGAAAAUAUUGCUGAGACACCCGCAGUAGGAGAUGCUAACAUUAGAUCUAAAUCGGUUAAUCUCCCUCCCCAUCCUCCCAGUGCCCCAAGACAUCUUAAAAGAACUAGUGUUGCAUGAAAAUUUUUUGAACGUAUAUCAGAUAUUGAGGUGCAAUGCAAUAUUUGUCAACUAAUAUAUAAGCAUAGAAGUGGGCAAGCAAGGGAGUAUGGGUACUUUAAUGAGACAUAUAGAUGAAGAUCACAAAAGAGAGUUAAAUAUUGCACAAGGUGGUGGGGAUGUUGGUGGGCCAACGCAAACUAGAAUGGACCCAGCAACCGGUCACGUAGCGAAGAAGUAUAAUAAAUUGAGGGACCAGGAAGAAAUAGCUAAAAUGGUAGUUGUGGGUUGUUUGCCUUUUAGUUUUCCUUCUUAUGAUGCCUUUAUUCAUUAUAUACAAGCAAUUUAUAAUCCUAUGUUUAAUGGUAUUCCUAGAACUACUUGUCGGUCUGAUAUUUUUAGACUUCCUUCACAAUAUUAUUUUUAUUUAUCAACAUUGUUAAAAAAUAUUCAAUGUAGAUUGUCCCUAACUUCUGAUCUUAGUCGUGUUGUAAAUAAAACUAAUUAUUUAACCGUUACUUGUCAUUGGAUGGAUAGUAAUUUUGUUAUGCAAAAACGUAUUCUUGCUUUUUUUAUGAUGAAGAUCGUAAACUUACUGGACAAUUUAUUGCUGAUUCUAUUGUUAAAAUUACCGGAUAUUAUGGUAUCAAAAAUAAAAUUUUAUGUAUUGCUUUUGAUAAUGCUUCUACCAACAAGAUUGCUAUAAAAAAUUAAAAUCUAUGCUAUCUCCGCCCUUACCUGAAAUUUUUCAUAUUAAGUGUGCAUGUUAUAUAUAUAAUUUAAUUGUAAAAGAUGGUCUUGAGUUUUUUGAGCUUUAUAUUGAAAAAAUUCGUCUUACCGUUGGUUUUAUUCAAGGAAAUAAUCGUAGAUCGAGAAUUAGAGAAUUCAAAGUUAAAUGUCAAGAAAAUGGACUUACACCUAUUUUGAUGCCUGGGGAAAUUUAUACUAGAUGGAAUUCUAUGUAUGAAUUUUUAAAAACUUGUUAUAAAGAUAGAAUUUCUAUUACAGUAGCUUUUAACCAACAUUGCGGUUCAUUUGCUGAUUCUGCUGAUUGCAUGCUACCUAAUUCUGAUUGGGUUGUAAUUAAUGAUCUUGUUAAGUUUUUAGAAAAAUUUUAUGUAGCUAGGGUUGAAUUUUUCGGUGCUUAUUAUCCUACUGUUUGUAAUAUUUUGGCAUAUAUAGCCGAUAUUUCUGGUUUGCUCAAAGAAUAUAAAAAUACAGAAAGUUAUAAAGAAGCUGUUGGCGCCAUGCUUCUGAAAUUUAAAAAAUAUUUUUUCCCGAUUCCCCCUAUUUACUUGGUUGGUGCUUUGCUAAAUCCGUGCAUGAAAUAUAAUAAUAUGUGCCACUUUAGUACUCUUAUUUAUAAUAACUUAGAAAUAAAUACUAACCAUGAUUUUGAACAAAUACAACCUGAUUUGUGGACGGCUACGGCUGGUGAAAAGGAUUACAUAGAAAAAUUAUAUAAUCAUUAUGCUGAUUUGUUUGAUUUAGCCGUACCUCACAAUAUCACUCCAACUAUCGCUCCUCAUCCUCUGGAGGAGCCAUCAUCUUCUAAAAGGCCGGCAGAUAGUGGUUUUUCUGAUUCGUUUUAUGAUUUAAAUUGUUGGAAUAGGGUUGAUGAGAGAACUUACACAUCAACUUAUCGGGAAGAGCUGAAAUAUUAUCUUCGGACGGCACCAGAGGAUCGCAGACGAUGGGUCAACACGUUGGAUUGGUGGGGGGGGAAUGAAACACAAUAUCUUGUGCUUUCAAGAUUAGCUAGAGAUAUCUUGAAUGUUCCAAUGUCAACCGUUGUAUCAGAGAGUGCCUUUAGUUAGGGAUGACAGCAGCUUGGAGACAACCGCACUCAUUGGGAAGUAAUGCAAUGAAUGUUCUAGUUUGCGUCAGAGAUUGGAUUAGAGCAUAAAGAAGAAAUCAAGGAAUGGAACCGGAGCCGAGCGAUGAGCUGAAACUUGAAGAAAUUAUGACUUCACGGGAGAACUCAGCAGAAUCAAGUCCAAUGCAUGGUUUUUCCCCCGUUGACUUCGACUAUCCUAUGCAAGUUCCCAUUAAUAUUAACAUGAAUGAGUUGGAAAAAAUGAUGCAUAAUUUAUAGAUUUUUCAUUCAUGUAAAUUAUAAAUUUUGGAUCAUUUUGCAAUCAAUAAAAUUCGCCAAAUUCAUUCACUCCUUAGUCCUUGCUUUUUAUAUUUUUUCAUUUAACAAUUUAAAAUUUUAAAUUGAAUUUCUAGUUUUCUACUUUAAAUUAAAAACUUACUUCUAAUAGAUUAUUAAUUUCCUACCAAAUAUUAUUGAUUUAUUAUAUUAAGUAGCAUAUGUUUUGUAUAUUUGUGCAUAUAUCUUCUAUAGAAGUGCAUAUUUAACGUAUACAUGUGUAUAUGUUUUAUAAAUUAGUAUAUAAGUAUACCUAUAUAUAUAAUAAUGUAUAUAUAUUGUAGUAUAUUUGAUAAGUAGUAGUAUAUAUAGAUUGAAUGGUGCGUAUGCACGUGUAUAUAUCUUCUAUAGAAGUGUAUAUUUAACGUAAACAUGUGUGUAUAUUUUAUAAAUUAGUGUAUAAGUAUAUCUAUAUAUAUUGUAAUGUAUAUAUAUUGUAGUACAAUUUAUAAGUAGUAGUAUAUAUACAUUGAAUAGUGUGUAUACAUAUGUAUAUAUCUUCUAUAGAAGUGUAUAUUUAACAUAUACAUGCGUAUAUGUUUUAUAUAUUAGUAUAUAACUAUAUCUACAUAUAUUGUAGUAUAUUUUAUAAGUAGUAGUAUAUAUACAUUGUACGGUGCAUACACAUGGGUAUAUAUCUUGUAUAUUUAACAUAUACAUGUGUAUAUAUUUUAUGAAUUAGUAUAUAAGUAUAUCUAUAUAUAUUGUAAUGUAUAUAUAGUGUAGUAUAUUUAUAAGUAUUAGUAUAUAUACAUUGAAUGGUGCGUAUAUAUGAGUAAUCGACUAAUUGUGUAUAUGUGUAUAUAUUUUUUAAAUUCUAAUGUAAUAUAUACUAUACAUAUUGUGUAUAUAUAUUAUUAUAACGUAUUUAAAGAAAGUUUUUUUUUUUUUUUUAUAUUUUUGACCGAUUUUUUAACCGAGUUUGAUCGGAUUUGGUGGGUUUGACCGGGUUGGGUUAAGCGGGCCGGGAUAGGGUGGAUUUUAUUUUUUUUACUGUUUGGCCCGGCCCAGCCUGGUCCGUAUAGCGCCAAAACCGGCCCUUAACCAGCCCUCAACCCGGUUAAAAUAGAACGGCCAGUUCCGGGUUGGCCCGGUCCGGCCCGUUUGACACCCAUAGCUUGGAGCUAGCAUACUAUUUGGUUGUUUUGCUGUCUCCUGGCUUGUACUUAGGCUAUUUUUCUUUCCAUUUUGGGUCAUACGAUCCUUAAGGUUGGCACUUAUCAGAUUUUCUACUCAUGAUAUUGUUCCCCUUUUCUAGUUUCUCCUCGUUAGUUCGAUGUGUUUCACUUCCUAGCUAUUAUCUGUGUGAGGUCUUAAAGUUGUCAGAUCCAUAUGAUACAAUGUUAUACUACUUCUUCAAUGCAAUGCUCUUGACCUUACUUGUGUUCCACAUUUAUAGGUCGGUGCUCAUCUAUUCAAUAAUCAGAAGACAGUUGAACAAUAGAGGUUAAGUUGGGGAAAACAUAAGAUCCAGUAAGCAUUUUAGUGUCAUUUUGAACUUACAGGUACACUAUGUUGUUGAAUUUAUGCUUGAUAUAUAGUGCUAGUCCUACACCCCUUUCCAUUGUUGUCUAUUCCUACAUAAAAAUGAAGAGUAAAACUAUAAGAAAAGUAUGAAACGAGUAAUCAAAGUACUUUUCCACGCUGCAGAUGUUUUCUGAUAGAUCUUAAACUGCUGAAGCCUUAUCUUGUCUUUUUACCUGUUUUAUUUGCUUAUAUUGAAUUGGGCAGUAAAGGUUACUGAAGCUAACUUUUUCCUUAUUGAAUUGUGUGUAGUUUUAUAGACUGGGUUUGGGACAUGAAAUGAUUUUUUCUAAAGGAAUUUGUAGUAGUCUCGUUUUUUUUUUGAAUUUCUCACAAAAGCAAAUUCUAAAAUUGUGGAUGUAUAUAUCUUGAUAUUUGACUCUGAAAAUUGGCGAGUACUUAUGAAUAAACUCUCUCUUUAAAGAUAAUUGUUUUGAUCUGGGAGUGUGGUCCUGUUCAUCUAAUGAUUUAGGACAAACUCCUAUUGCUCGAGUUACCUUUUAAUUUGUAUGACUUGACUAGGUUGCUCAUGAUGAAGACAUAGGACGAAAGAUUAGGAAAGAUAUAUAUUUUGAUUUGGUGGAUUUUGACAAAGUUAAGAGCUUCUACAUUAAAAAAAUAUUUUUUACUAUUUUCAAGGUACAAACUAUCUUUUAAUCUCAAAAUUCUAUCAAUGACAUUUAUUUUCUUGUCUAAAUGAAUUUAGGUUCUAGGAAAAAGCAACAUGAUAAGUUCGGUAAGACUCAAUGAGAUAGUUUAUUAGUGUUUACCGUAGACUGGUAGUAUGUUGUAUGAAGGUAGAUGAAGAUUCUCAGAUGUAUGCUUCUUUAGAUUAAGGUGUCUGCAUUCACACACCUGAGUUCUAACCACUUUUUGACCUUGCACAUAAGACUUUUGAUGUGUCGAGUAAAAUCCAGCUAAUAAUUGAUGUUCAUUCACUCCUGCUAUAGGCAACCCUUCCCUUGUUGUACAAAGCUGUCGCUCAACCAGAAAAUAUUUGUGAUAUUAGGCAUCUCUUUACGUGUACCCUUAACAAAAACAACUUGAUUUUCCCCUCACCAUCAACUUGUGAUAUAUUGGCCUUUUUGAAAGCAAUCCAUAUCUUAAACCCCCCAAAUCCUAACCCCAACACCAAUCUCUAAGAGUUGAUUCUACUUUCAUGCCAUAAUGAAGGUUAUGUUAUUGAUGUUGUUUGACCGUCUCAACCAGCCAAUGGUAUGGUCAAAACCUUGAGUUGGAAGUAAAAAAAAACCAGCUUUUAACCUAAUUCACACCAUCCAUGUGCGUUUUGUAAAUACCUGAAGAUCAUGGUGCCAUUUAGGUAUGAAUUAUUUUUGAUGGAGCUGCUAUCACUGGUGGAAUCAGGGGAGAUACUGAUGACCAGGAUAGAUAAUGAUGUUGAAAGAAUCUUGAGAUUUAAAUUUGUUACUGGAUUAUUUGAACAUUCGUUUACAAAUAGAUCAUUGAUAGAUUUGGUUGGUUGCAAGGUAUUCUUACAUCUUCCUGUUGCCUAUUGGGACUAUUUAGUAAUUUCUGAGUCUAACACUACUUUCUCUACAUUUAUAUGAGUACAACAUCGUCUCAUAUUGGAUAGCAAUCGCAUAACAUAAGUAGGAAAGAACCACUUCUUAGAAGAAACUCCCUCUUAAAAUGGAUUAAUAGCCUCCCAACCCCAUCUUUAUAGAUAGAAAGUCAUUGCUGGUUUUGAAAAUGCCUUCUGGAACCCUGUCUAUCAUACUCUUCCCUAGUGCUCAAGUUUUAAUGAGAUUACAUGUGACCAGUAUUUGUUCUAUUCAAUCGCUGAAGUUUUUCGUUGGACUCUUCUAUAAUUGUUUUUUAUAUGGAAUCUAAACAGAAGGUGGCUAUAUAUUGUCUUACAUUAGCACAAUAGUGAUUCUACAGUUCACUAUCUUGGAUCUAUUUUAAGUCUGGUUAAUUUUUUCGCAUUAUUUAGGCACAUAGAGACCUAUCACGUGAAGUAGUUUGCAAAUCUUUUGUUUUGUUGAAAAAUGGGAAAGAUCCAAAGAAACCAUUUCUUCCUCUAGAUAAUACCGCAAAAAAAAAAUCCUCGUGGAACUCAUACUGAUGAUCUUGGAUACCAAUGUGGAGGAUGGACAACUACAUGGAUAGGACUCAGUGGUAGAAUCACAGUUGGUAAGCAGUUUCUAAUUGUAAGUCUCUCCCUAACAUGAUUAUAGACAAUACAUUUGAAACCUGAACUUAAACCUGAAUGGAUUGUAGAAAUAGCACCUCAGUACUAUCAGUUGAAAGAUGUCGAAGAUGGUAAGUGCUCUUACUGUCUUUUAUUGCAGCAAGUGUUUUUUUUUAAUAUUUUCAGCUUCUGUUGGUCUGCCUGCCUUAUUGGUGCCUCACAAUAUAGUACUAAGAGUAGACCUCAUCUCAUCGUUAAGGGACCUGCAAUCCAACCUGGAUAUUGGGUGUAAUCUAGCGGUACUCAUUAUUGUUUUCAAAAAAAUAUUUGUUGUUUUCAGUUCCCUAGUUUGAGUUAUUUGCUCUUAAAUUCUUGUGUUGGAGGCAUUCAACAGUGCGCUAAAAUCUUUUGGGAGUAACAUCAUAUUGUCAAAUGUCCUGUUAGAUCGAUAGAGUGGUGGCAGGUAUUCUUUAGUUUCUUGUGUAGACUAUGCAACUGAAUCUAAAAGUUCUACUAAAAUUAUAUGUCAAACGUUUUUGUAGUAUCCUAGAGGAUGUGGCAGAAACUAUAGUUGCUCUUAUAACUGAGAAAGGUAAUUCUCUAACAAUUUUUUAUAUAAUUCCUCAUUAUCCUCAUUCUUGGAUAUAAUUAACAGUAUAACAACUUGUCUUUUCUCUUAAGUAAUCAGCAAGCUCCCCACAAGGCAUACUCCGUACACAAGAUAGAUACUGUUGCUAAAUCCAGGUAUUGUCUAUGUUAUCUAAUCAUGGAAAAAACUACAUUACCAAAUCUGCGUUAUAAAAAAUGAAACUCAAAUAUAGUAUUGUGAUUUUGGAAGUGCUGUUGCUUCAGCAUUAUAGUACAUCUAAUUGUUAGACUAGAGAAUAAUCAAUUUUUUUCAUCUUGGAAUAUGUUUCUCUUUUGAACUGUGGAGCUGCGUGCUAACUGGAUCACAUAUGUUAGACCUAUAUAAAUGUGAAGCUGUAGUUUUCUCUUUUGGAAAUUUCAAUUGUUCUUUAAUUUUUAUCAUCUCACAUUUGGAUGUUUGUAUUUCUUUCUAACCAUGAAUGGUUGAUUUGCCUCUUCACUAGCUAACUUAUAUGUGGUUUACGUACUUAUUUUAUAGUGGAAUAGCCUUUUUAUGUUGUCAUUUAAGUGCUAAUUUAUAUUAUUUGUUCUCUUUUUAUAGGUGUCCAAAAUAAAGAAAGAGAUGAAGAAAAUAAUGAAGACAUUGACCUUACUUGCGAAGAAUUUUGGGUUGUGGAUAAAUGCUCUAAUAUCAAUAGUUUUGUGUUGAAUUUUUUGAAACUUAUCGUGACUUGAAAUUGCUAGUAUGUAAAAACUUAACUAAUCAUUUGGAUUAUUAAUGAAUGAUUUAUAUUAUUAAUGAAUGAUUUUGUUUCGUGAAGUAUAUAUAUUGUGUUAGCAUAGAAUAACAAUAGACAGUCAAAAAGCAUUGCAACAGAAUAACAAAAGCAUCGCAAUAGAUGGUAUUAGAACGGUUUAAUAUUUUUGCAAUAGAAUCUAUUGCAAUGGUUAUGAACCGUUGCAAUAGAUGAAAAUAGGCGUUCUAAUAAGUAAUAAAAUAGUUGUAAUAGGUAGUCAAAAAGCGUUGCAACAGAACAACAAAUGCAUCGCAAUAACAUCUAUUGCAAUGGUUACUAACCGUUGUAAUAGCAUCUAUUGCGAUGGUUCGUGACCGUUGCAAUAGAUAAAAAUAGGCGUCUCAAUAAGUCAAGAAAUAGCCAUCGCAAUAGGUCUAUCUAUGGCGACGAUUGUCAAAAACUAUCACCAUACCUCUACCUAUGGCGACUGUUUAGACAACGGUCGCAGAAACUGUUGCAAUAGACCUAUUGCAACGCCCACCUAUGGGACAGUUGCAGAACCGUUAUGAUAGGUCUAUGGCAAAGUGCCCUCAUAGGAGUGAGCCUGAGGAUGAAUUAUAUAGUGAUCACUAGUUUAUGUGGAUUUGAUAUCGAUAGUCCUACUCUGAUGGCAAGGAUAGAAUGGCUCUCCCCAACGUGGGUUGUACGUUGGACUCCAUGUAGUUCACAUGGUUUAUGUCAAUUAUAGGAUCUCCCAGUGUGUGUGUGUUUCCUUGUGUUGAUGGUGAAUGGUGAAGUGAUUUGAAAGUGGAAUUGUGAAACUUACUCUUUUGAAAGAUUUAAAUGAUAUUUACAUUAUGAGAAUUGAUAUUCUUGAUGAACUGAAAGUGAUUGACAAAUUACAUGAUGAAUCACAUGUGUUAUUAUACUUAUUUCAUCCUCUCAUGAUUAUGAUGAUUUUCUUUAGGCUAUGUGAGUCUUUCAUACAUCCUGCAUAUUUCUUAUAAAUAUUUAUGAUGAUGAUGUUUAUACAACUGCAUACACCCCCAUAUACUCGGUUUCUUUCCAUGGUACUGAGCCACAUCUUCAGAAUAUAGGUUUAGGUGCUUAGUUUCAGGUUUAACAGUGAUUCUUCGGGCAUACUAUUCUACAUCCUCUGUUGUGGUGAGUCCUCAUGUUCUGAGGAUGUGAUGUCUGAUGUUGGUUUCACUUAAUUGUUUAAAUUUGAUAACUAAGUUUGAGUCAGUUGAGGAAUGUAUCAAUGGCUCGCUGGUUUUAUUGAUUCUCUUAGAGGCUUAUCAGACUAGUAUAGAUGUUGGGAGUUGACUAAUAAGUCGUAUUUUGUUAUCUUUUUGAAAUUCUUUUAUUCUUGGAUGAUGAUUACUCUGUUGAUAUUUGAGGGUUAUUCAUAGAAACCCUGUUGAUUUAUGUUGAACUGAAUGAAAAUGGCUCAAUGGGUUAGCUUAGGGAUACUCGUAGCCUCAAGCACCGUAUGAUGCUUCAGGACCUGUUUUUCGGGGCGUUACAUACUUGGUAUCAGAGCCUAAGGUUUUAAGGUGUCCUAGGGAGUCUGACAAGCCACGUUAAGUAGAGUCUUUAUCAUCAGUGUGUAGCGCGCCAUAUCUAUGAGCAAGAGACUACAAGACGUUUUAGGAAAAAGUGUGAUUUUUUCUUUUAGAAGUUUAUCGUGCUUAAAGCGUCUCUCUCUGCUAUUGAUUCAUGCUCUCCUCUUUCAGAAAUAUGUCUCCACUAGAAAGCUUAUUUCCAAAGGGUGUAUUUACCAUUUGGUUAUAGUCAAAGACACUAGUGCUAAGACUCCAACUCUCCAGUCUGUUAAUGUCAUCAAUGAGUUUUCUGAUGUCUUUCUGGAUGAUCUCCCAGGGAUACCUCCUGAUAGAGAGAUAGAGUUUGGGAUUGAUCUUCUUCCCGAUACUCAGGCCAUUUCUAUUCCUCCUUACCGUAUGGCCCCUACAGAACUUAAGAAGUUGAAAGAGCAACUCAAAGAUCUACUAGAUAAGGAUUUCAUAAGGUCCAGUGUUUCUCCUUGGGGUGCUCCUGUGUUGUUUGUGAGAAAGAAAGAUGGCUCUUUGCAUAUGUGCAUUGAUUACCGCCAACUGAAUAAAGUCACCGCAAAAAAUAAGUACCCCCUUUCGAGAAUAGAUGAUUUGUUUGACCGAUUGCAAGGUGCAAGUUAUUUCUCAAAGAUAGACCUUUGUUCCGUCUAUCAUCAACUUAAAGUUAGGGAGUGUGACAUCCUAAAAACCACUUUCUGAACUCGUUAUGGCCAUUUUGAGUUUCUUGUUAUGUCUUUCUGGUUAACUAAUGCCACAACAGCUUUCAUGGACCUCAUAAAUCGAGUGUUCAAACCAUAUCUAGAUAUGUUUGUCAUAGUGUUUAUCGAUGAUAUACUGGUCCCGUAGUGAGUAUGAACAUUCUGAUCAUCUCCGAACUAUCUUGCAAACCCUUAGAGAUCACAAGUUGUUUUCCAAGUUCAGUAAGUGUGAUUUUUAGCUAAGGUCAAUUGCUUUUCUGGGUCAUUUCAUUUCUUCCAAGGGUAUUAGAGUUGAUCCCCAAAAGACCAAAGAUGUUAGAAAUUGUCCUAGACCUAUUUCUCCGACUGAUAUCUAAUGUUUCUUGGGUCUAGCUGGAUAUUGCCGCUGUUUUGUUGAGGGUUUAUCCUCUAUAGCCUCUCCUAUGAAUCAGUUGACCCAAAUGAAAGUGAAGUUCUUGUGGUCCAAAUCUUGUGAGAAGAGUUUUCAGGAGUUGAAGACUCAACUCACUUCAGCCCCUAUUUUGACUUUCCCUGAUGGUGUUGAUGGUUUUGUGGUGUACCGUGAUGCUUAGAGAGUUAGGGGGUAAGGUGAUAGCUUAUGCUUUUAGAAAGAUGAAACCCAAUGAGAAAAAUUACCCCACCCAUGACUUUGAGUUGGCCGCUGUUGUGUUUGCUUUAAAAAUCUGGAGACAUUAUUUAUAUGGUGUCCAUGUUGAUGUUUUCACUUAUCAUAAGAGUCUACAGUAUGUGUUUUCCAAGAAAGAAUUGAACCUUAGGCAGAGACGAUGGUUAGAAUUGUUAAAGGACUAUGAUAUGAGUGUGCUGUACCAUCCGGACAAGGCCAAUGUUGUGGAAGAUGCCCUAAGUAGAGUGUCAAUGGGUAGUGUUUCGCAUGUGGUAAAAGGUAAGAAAGAGUGGGCUCGUGAUGUACAUCGUUUGGCUAGAUUGGGGGUUAGAUUGUUUGAUUCUGCUGAAGGUAGUAUAGGGGUUCAGAGUAGUUUCGAAUCCUCCUUGGUUUCGGAAAUGAAGGAAAAGCAAUACUUAAAUGCUAGUUUGGUCAGCCUGAAGGAGUCAGUCAAGGACCAAAAAGUAGAGGUUUUCUCCUAAGGGGGAGAUGGUGUGUUGAGAUUGUAGGGUAGAUUGUGUGUCUCGAAUGUUGACGAUCUAAGACAGAGGAUUAUGGGUAAAGCACACAGGGCACGAUAUUCUAUUCAUCUUGGUGCCACCAAGAUCUACCGAGACUUGCGGGAAAUCUAUUAGUGGAGUGGCAUGAAGAAAGAUAUAGCAGAAUUUGUAGCUAAGUGUGCAAUAUGCCAACAGGUUAAGGUUAAACACCAAAGACCUGGUGGUAUAAGGCAAGAGUUUAGUAUUCCCACCUGGAAGUGGGAAGAGAUAAAUAUGGACUUCGUGAUUGGUUUACCUCCUUCCCGACGCCAUCAUGAUUCUAUUUGGGUUGAGGUUGGUAGGUUGACUAAGUCUUCUCAUUUCUUGCCUGUUCAUACUUCAUAUACUGCUGAGGAUUACGCUAGAUUGUAUAUCCUAGAGCUAGUCAGACUGCAUGGAGUUCCCUUGUCUAUCAUUUCGGAUAGGGGUACUCAGUUCACUUCAAUUUUAGAAAUCUUUUCAGAAGGGUCUAGGUACCAAAGUGAUUUUGAGUUUUGCUUUUCUUCCGCAGAUGGAUGGUCAGGCUGAGCGGACCAUCCAGACCUUAGAGGAUAUGUUAAGAUCUUGUGCACUUGACUUUAAGGGAAGUUGGGAUGAUCACUUACCGUUGAUAGAGUUUGCUUACAAUAACAGUUUCCACUCUAGUAUUGGCAUGGCUCUAUUUUAAGCCUUAUAUGGGAGAGAGUGUAGAUCACUCAUAGGUUGGUUCGAGGUGGUUGAAGCGGCUGUGAGUGGUCCUGAUUCGGUAUUUGAGGCUAUGGAAAAAGUUAAGUUGAUUAGGGAAAGGUUGAAAACUGUGCAGAGUUAUUAGAAGUCAUAUGCGGAUGUUACAAGGAGAGACCUUCAGUUUAAAGUUGGUGACCUACUGUAUUUGAAAAUUUUACCCAUGAGGGGGGUGAAGAGAUUCAGAAAGAAGGGGAAGCUUAGUCCCCGUUAUGUUGGUCCUUACAAAAUUCUUAGCCGUGUUGGUAAGGUAGCUUAUGAGGUCGAGUUGCCUUCCGAGUUGUCCUCUGUUCAUCCAAUAUUCCAUGUCUCCAUGCUUAGAAAGCAUAUUAGCGAUGCUGUGGUAGUGGAUUCCUCUGUGAGUGCUGACAUUCAAAAAAAUCUUUCUUUUGAUGAGAUUCCUAUUGAGAUUCUUGAUUUCAGUGUCCGAAUACUAAGGAACAAAGAAGUUCCCUUGGUCAAGUUGUUGUGGCGAAACCAAUCUAUUGAGGGUGCAACUUCGGAAGCUGAGGUGGAUAUGCGAUCCAAGUACCCUCACCUAUUUUCCACAAAAGGUACCGUUCUUUCCUAAAUCUUGCACUUUUGAUAAAAUUUGCAGCAGUUCAACUGUCAUUUAUUAUGUGUUCAGUUGUAGUUUCUUGAAUUUAUGCAUUCUAUGUUGCAUUCGGAGUGAGAAACGAUGUGGUGAUGAGUCUAACGAAUGGUUUCAGCUGUAUGCUCUAUUCCCUAUCUAAUCUUGGAAUUUCUAGGGUCAUUCGAGGAUGAAUGUUUCCAAGGGGGGAUGAUGUAAUACCCCUGGAAAUUUUUCGUUAAAAUUUUGUGCAUAAACGUGUUAGGUUCUAUCUUCUAGAAUAAAUUAUAAAUUUUUCGUGUGGAAUAUCUUAGAUUAUGACCCACCAUUGCGUAGAGUAUCUAUUCAUCUGUCAUUUAUUAUGUGUUCAGUUGUAGUUUCUUGAAUUUAUGCAUUCUAUGUUGCAUUCGGAGUGAGAAACGAUGUGGUGAUGAGUCUAACGAAUGGUUUCAGCUGUAUGCUCUAUUCCCUAUCUAAUCUUGGCAUGUCUUCAGUCAUUCGAGGACGAAUGUUUCCAAAUAGGGGAUGAUGUAAUACCCCGGGAAAUUUUUCAUUGAAAUUUUAUGCGUAAACGUGUUGGUUUCUAUCUUCUAGAAUGAAUUAUAAAUUUUCCGUGCGGAAUGUAUUAGAUUAUGACCCACCAUUACGUAGAUUAUCGAAUAAGCUUUCCAAAGAUAUGUGGAUCAUCCAAAAUGGACACCCGAGCGACGAGUUAUGAACAUUCCAAUCGAACCGUGAAUAGUAGUGAACAGUAAAACGUGCAGGAAAAAGUACUGAGGCCUGGCGUAUUUUUUCUCUANNNNNNNNNNNNNNNNNNNNNNNNNNNNNNNNNNNNNNNNNNNNNNNNNNNNNNNNNNNNNNNNNNNNNNNNNNNNNNNNNNNNNNNNNNNNNNNNNNNNNNNNNNNNNNNNNNNNNNNNNNNNNNNNNNNNNNNNNNNNNNNNNNNNNNNNNNNNNNNNNNNNNNNNNNNNNNNNNNNNNNNNNNNNNNNNNNNNNNNNNNNNNNNNNNNNNNNNNNNNNNNNNNNNNNNNNNNNNNNNNNNNNNNNNNNNNNNNNNNNNNNNNNNNNNNNNNNNNNNNNNNNNNNNNNNNNNNNNNNNNNNNNNNNNNNNNNNNNNNNNNNNNNNNNNNNNNNNNNNNNNNNNNNNNNNNNNNNNNNNNNNNNNNNNNNNNNNNNNNNNNNNNNNNNNNNNNNNNNNNNNNNNNNNNNNNNNNNNNNNNNNNNNNNNNNNNNNNNNNNNNNNNNNNNNNNNNNNNNNNNNNNNNNNNNNNNNNNNNNNNNNNNNNNNNNNNNNNNNNNNNNNNNNNNNNNNNNNNNNNNNNNNNNNNNNNNNNNNNNNNNNNNNNNNNNNNNNNNNNNNNNNNNNNNNNNNNNNNNNNNNNNNNNNNNNNNNNNNNNNNNNNNNNNNNNNNNNNNNNNNNNNNNNNNNNNNNNNNNNNNNNNNNNNNNNNNNNNNNNNNNNNNNNNNNNNNNNNNNNNNNNNNNNNNNNNNNNNNNNNNNNNNNNNNNNNNNNUUAUAAGCACGUUGAUGUUGAAUAUUUGAGAUAUUUUGAAUGAUUUGACCUUUUGGUCUUAAUGGAGUUGUUUUGAACUCGAGUGUGAAAGAAAUUCACAAUGUGGUUGAUUUUGAUUGAUGGGAAGCAUGAUGGCUCCCGAUGUCUAUUUAUAUAUUACUGAAAUUAUUUUUUUGUGGAUUGUCUUUGAAAGGAUCUGAGCUAAGUCUGGGAGAAAUCUUUAGCACCGAGUGGGAGGUAUAAAGUGACCUUACUUCCCUAGAACUAAGUGCCCCCAUAGGAGUGAUCUUGAGGCUGAUUUAUAUAUUUAUCACUAGUUUGUGUGGAUUUGAUAUUGAUAGUCCUACUCCGAUGGCAAGGAUAGGACGACUCUCCCCAACGUGGGUUGUACGUUGAACUCCAUGUAGCUCACAUGGGUUAUGUCGAUUAUAGGAUCUCCCAGUGUGUGUGUUUUUCCUUGUGUCUAUGGUGAACGGUGAAGUGAUUUGAAAGUGGAAUUGUGAAAGUUACUCUUUCAAAAGAUUUAAAUGAUAUUUACAUUAUGAGAAUUGAUAUUCUUGAUGAACUGAAAGUGUUUGACAAAUUAUAUGAUGACUCACAUGUGUUAUUAUACUUAUUUUAUCCUCUCAUGAUUAUGAUGAUUUUCUUCGGGCUAUGUGAGUCUUUUCAUACAUCUGCAUAUUUCUUAUAAAUAUUUAUGAUGAUGAUGUUUAUACAACUGCAUACACCCCUAUAUACUCAGUUCCUUUCCAUGGUACUGACCCACAUCUUCGGAUGUGGGCUGUGUUUUCUCGGAAUAUACGUUCAGGUGCUCAGUUCCAGGUUCGACAGUGAUUCUUUAGGCAUAUUGUUCUACAUCCUCUGUUUUGGUGAGUCCUCAUGUUCCGAUGACGUAAUGUCUGAUGUUGGUUUCACGGAAUUGUUUACAUUUAAUAACUGAGUAUUGGGGUAUGUCUCAAUUGCUUGCUGGUUUUAUUGAUUCUCUUAGAGGCUUGUCAAACUAGUAUAGAUGUUGGGAGUUGACUAGUAAGUCGUAUUUUGUUAUCUUUCUGAAAUUCUUCUAUUCUUGGAUGAUUAUUACUCUGUUGAUAUUUGAGGGUUAUUUAUGAAAACCCCAUUGAUUUGUGCUGAACUGAAUGAAAAUGGCUCAAAGGGUUAGCUUGGGGCUACUCGUAGCCUUAAGCACUGUGUGACGCUCCGGGACCCAUUUUCCGGGGCGUUACACAAUCAACCCUUGUGGAGUUCGAUGGAUUCUUAUACCUAAGAUUACAUCUGCAACUCCAAGGUCUUUCAUAUCAAACUUGCUUUCGAGCAUUCAUUUUGUUGCAUUUAUAUUAGAAAUGUCUCUACUGAAGAUCAACAUAUCAUCCACAUAUAAACAUACAAUGACUUGGUAAUUUGGAGUGUCUUUAAUAUAAACACAUUUAUCACAUUCAUUUAUUUUGAAUCCGUUUGGCAGCAUUGUUUGGUCAAACUUCGCAUGCCAUUAUUUUGGUGCUUGCUUUAGUCCAUAUAAUGACUUGAUAUGUUUACACACCUUGUUAUCCUUUCCUGGAAGCACAAAACCCUCAGGCUGUUCCAUAUAUAUUUCUUCCUCUAAUUCUCCAUUUAGGAAAGUGGUUUUCACAUCCAUUUGAUGGAUUUGAAGAUCAUAUACCACCGCUAAGACAAUUAAUAUUCAAAUAGAUGUUCUCCUUGUUACUGGCGAGUAUGAUCAAAGUAAUCAAGGCCUUCUUUUUAUUUGAAGCCCUUUACUACAAUUCUUGUCUUGUAUUUGUCAAUAGUGCCAUCCGCUUUCAUCUUUCUUUUGAAAAUCUACUUAAAACCUAAAGGUUUAUUUCCAGGAGGAAGAUCAAACAAUUCCCAUGUAUGGUUUCUUAAGAUUGAAUCAAUUCACUAUUGAUUGCCUCUUUCCAAAAGGAUGAGUCCGAAGAUGCCAUCGCUUCCCUAAAUGUUUUAGGCUCAUUUUCUAAGAGAAAUGUUACAAAAUCUGAUCCAAAUGAAGUAGACAUUCUUUGACGUAUAAUACGUCUUGUAUUUUCUUCAUUAUGUACAUUCUCACUUGGUUCAUCUUGAGGUCGUUUAGAUCCUCCAUUAGACUGUUUAUGUCUAAUUUUAUACGGAUAAAUGUUUUCAAAGAAUUCAGCAUUGUCUGAUUCAAGUAUCGUAUUUUCAUUAAUAUCCGAAUGUUCGGAUUUAUGAACCAAAAAUUGACAUGCUUUACUACUUUUAGCAUAUCCUAUGAACAUGCAUUCCACCGUCUUAGGUCAUAUAUUAACCCUUUUAGGAAUAGGAAUUUGGACCUUUGCUAGAAACCCCCACACUUUGAAAUAUUUCAAGUUGGGUUUUCUUCCUUUCCAUUUUUCAUAAGGAAUUGAUUGUGUCUUACUAUGGAGAACUCCGUUGAGUAUACGAUUGGCUGUAAAGAUAGCCUCUCCCCAUAAUUUUUGUGGUAAAUUGGAAUGUACAAGCAAGACAUUCAUCAUUUCCUUCAAAGUUUGAUUUUUUCUUUCUGUAAUUCCGUUAGUUUGAGGUUAAUACGGGGUCGUAUUUUGAUGAAUGAUUCCAUUCUCUACAAAUAUUUCGGUGAAGGGAGAUUCAUAUUCUCCGCUCCUAUCACUUCUUAUUAUUUUUAUCUUUUUAUCUUAUUGAUUUUCAACUUUAAUUUUAUAUUGCCUAAACGCAUCUAUUGCUUCAUCCUUACUAUUUAUCAAAUAGACAUCACAAUAUCUAGUGCACUCAUCAAUAAAAGUUGUGAAAUACUUUUUCACACCAAGUGAUGGUGUUGACUUCAUAUCACAAAUGUUAGUGUGUACUAAGUCUAAAGGAUUGGAAUUCCUUACAACGGACUUAUAAGGAUGCUUUGCAUACUUUGAUUCUACACACGUUUGACAAUUUGAUUUAUUGCACUCAAAGUUUGGCAAAACUUCCAAGUUAAUCAUUUUUCAUAACGUUUUAUAAUUAACAUGGCCUAAACGUUCAUGCCAUAAAUCAUAAGACUCAAGAAAAUAAGAAGAAUUUGAACUUUUAUUUAUUUCAACAGUCAUUACAUUAAUCUUAUAAAGUCCCUCGGUGAAAUAGCCUUUUCCUACAUACAUUUCACCUUUUCUAAUUAUAAUUUUUUCAGAAAUAGUUAAACAUUUGAAUUCGUUCUUAUCAAGAAGUGAAAUAGAAAUUAAGUUCCUAUGUAAUUUUAGAACAUACAACACAUUGUUAAGUGUCAAGACCUUGGCCGAAGUCAUUUUCAAGCACACUUUUCGUGUUCCUUCCACCUUAGAAGUAGCGGAGUUAGCCAUAUAGAUCAUUUCUUCUACUUGAGAUGGAGCAAAUGAUGAAAACAACUCUUUGUUGGCACAUAUAUCGUGGGUGGCACCAGAAUCUAUCUACCAUUUAUGAGGAUUCCUCACCAAGUUGUAUUCUGAGAACAUAGCACAUAAAUCAUCGCAUUCUUUGUUGGAUUCAAUCAUAUUUUCUUGAUCCUUUAUCUUUCCUUUCUUUGGGGCACGACAAUCCAUGCACUUGUGGCCAAUCUUACCACAAUUGAAGCAUUUUCCCUUUAAUUUCUUCUUGGGUUGAUUGCUUCCUUGUUCAGCUUUCUUUCUUUUCAUAGAAUUGUUUUGAUCAUCUUUUACAAUAUGUGCUCCAUUAAUUGUAGAAUUCCCUUUUGACCUUCUCUCGGCAGCUUUAUUGUCCUCUUCAAUAUGCAGUCAGACAAUAAGAUCUUCGACAUUCAUUUCUUUGCGUUUAUGCUUCAAGUAGUUUUUGAAGUCUCUCCACAAAGGUGGUAGCUUCUCAACUAUCGCUGCUACGUGAAAUGCAUCAUUGACAAUCAAACCUACAAAACAUUUUAUGUGAGUAUUAAGAACUUUUUUAAUUUGUUCAACUAAGAUAUUUUUCAAAGAUAUAACUCCGGCUAGGAGAUCAUGUAUGGUGACUUGCAACUCCUACACUCGAGAGGCAACCAAUUUGUUAUAUAUUAUUUUAAAGUCCAGGAACCAUGCAACAAGGAAUUUCUUAAUUCCCACAUCCUCUAUUUUAUAUUUUCAUUCAAGUACCCCCACAAUUCCUUCAAUGUCGUAGUUCCACUGUAGACAUUGUAUAGGUCGUCUUGGAUACCACUCAGAAUAUAAUUCCUGCAAAGGAAGUUUGAAUGUUUCCAAGCUUCUAGAAUUAUGAAACACUCUUUGUCUGAAGUUCCCUUGGGCACCUCAGGAGCGUCUUCGCUAGUGAACCGUUGCAGACACAAAGUGGUGAGGUAAAAGAACAUCUUUUGUUGCCAUCGUUUAAAUUCAAUGCCCACAAAUUUUUUGGGAUACUCCGCUGGUGCCGUUAUAGGCGGAGCAUUUGUGCGACUUGAUGUGGCAAUAUUAGUUUCCCCCACAGACGUUGUUGCAUCUUGCAUUUGACUAUCUCUUGUCAUUUUUCCUGUCAUAACAAGACAAAAAUACAUAGUAUUUUCAUAAUACUACUUAUAAAGUUAAGAAACUUUAAGCUUUUCUUCUUGUUUCUAGUUGACAAUGAUGUUUUUGUGACUUCCAAUUGUCAACCAAAUGAUCUUUAACUUAUGAUGAAGUUUUUAUGACUUCAAAUCACUAGUUAAGUUCAGGCGGAGUAGAAAGUUAAAACUUUAAUCUCCAGAAACAAGCUAUACAGAUUCUGGAGUUAUUUCCUUAUGAUUGUUAUCUCCUUCUACGGGUACACAGAAUCUGUAUAUGUAGAACAACAACUUCAAAUUUAGUUCUAUGUUGAAAAACAAGAACAAAAUGAAGUGCAGUAAAUACCCUCAACACAAGAUCAAAGUAAUCUUUCUAACAGGUGUAUUUGAAUUUUAGAAAUAAAGAUGAAAACAGAAAUGGCCAUGUCGCCCGAAUUCACGGACUUUCCUUAAGAAAAUAAUUGCCCUCACUGUACCCAAGGUUGCAAAAUUUUCUUGGCAGGAUAAAAUAUUCAAACAAACCAAUUGUAGUGGUACCUUAAACAACUGAAAUAUCUUCGAACGCACAAAACGUUUUUAUUGAGCACACAGAGUAAUUUUGAAGUCAGGAAGAGUUUUGUAUUCUAAAAAUCUCUUCUAAAAAGAGGCAAUGGUUCAUGUCAAAGGUUACACAUUUUCUGUAAAUUCAUGUCUAUUCAUCCAAAGAUUGCAUUCAUGUAUGUUCAUCCAAAGAUUGCAUCUUUUCCUGAACAACCAUCUCUCUCCAUGAAUCAAUGUGUCCUUUUGCUGAAGGAUUGCAUCCUUCUGAAAGCAUGCAUAAAUGGAGAAUACUAUUGCGUUUUGGUUGAUUCGGAUCAUCAAAUAAAAUUUGUUCCAAAAGAUAGAUCUCAUCGAUCGAUCAUUUUCAAAAUCCAAAUCAUUUUCUGAAGCCGAAGCCGAAGCGACGACGACGACGGCGCAAGGCAUCUAUUAUUCCUUGCCUCACUUAUCCAUGUGGGAGUGUGUUUCACAAUAUAAACACUUUAAAGCUUCUUUCUCCCACCAAUGUGGGAGAAUUUUGUAAGCUUUCCUAUUUUUGAGUACACUUUCCAUAUUGGUGUGAUCUCAAUUUUUCUGUUCCACUUGGUUUUCUCCAUUUUCCAUUCAUACCUCUCAUUUACUAUGAACCCAAAAACUUUUACACCAGACUUAUUGCAAAUCUCUUUCUUACAAAUCAAAAGUUUAGUAUUCCUAACUAGAAAAUUUUAAUGAUUAAUAUUUUAGCUAUGGCAGUGGAUAUUGAAGGACUAUAUAGUUAAGUAAGAACAUGGAUAUUCUUCAAUACUUACAAUAAUAAUACCUUUGAUAUUGUCAUUGGUAAUGGGAAAUUCAAGACUUCUAUCCUUCUUAACUCUUAGAAGGACAUCAAUUAGGUCUUCAUCUCCCAAUGCAUCAUCAUCCUUGUGAGCUGUUGCAAGGUUUUGUUGUCUUUCAAAGUUUGCGGGUAUAAGAAUCUGUAAUUUGACACAAUAACUUCAACACUAGUUCAAGUUUAAAACAAGAACACUAUGAAGUACAGCAACACCCUCAACACAAGAUCAAAGUGAUCUUUCUAACAAGUGCGUUUUAUUUUUUCAGAAAUUAAGAUGAAACAGAAAUGUAAAACCACGUCCCCAGACUUCACGGAGUUUCCUUAAGGAAUAAUUCCCCUCACUAUACCCGAGAUUUUUAAAUCUUCCUCCCAGGAUAAAAUGGCUUUCAAUUCAACUAUAGUGGUACCUUAAUUAAUUAGAUUCGUCGAACUCACUCAACGAUUUGAUUGAUAACAAGGAAUGUUUUGAAGACAAGAAGAGUUUGUAUUUUAGAAAAAAUUUUCAUACCAAAACCUUUGGAUGAAUGCAGGUUUAUAUAGUCAUUACACGCCUCUUCCGAAAGGUGGCAGUGUUUCAUCCGAAAAGGUGGCAAUGGUUCAUCCGAAAAGGUGUAUCUUUGGAAGAGUCAUGUUUAUUCAUUCGAAACAUUGUGUCUUUUUUUAAACAGACACAACUAUCUGAACAGUCACUCCUUUUCUAAAAUAAUAUGUCUUUUCAUAAAAAGUUGUGUCCCUCCAUUUUCCGUUCACACCAAUUGAACCCAACAGGUUCUUCAUGCACUCAUUGAUGAUAUCCUCAACAAUUGAAUCUACCUGACGAUGGACAUCUAGAACUUUUUUUCUUAGUUUUACUAAGAGAAUGAAGAAACUUGUAUGAAGGUAAGAUGUCAGCCACAUCAAAGCCUCGUGCUAAUCUUACCACUUCUCCAAUUAGUUUUAUAAACUUGUCUUGCUCCUUUAGUACUUGCCCAAAUGCGGAUAGAGUCAAUGAGAAGAAUGGCUUCUUCAUUUCUAAUUGAGCUAAACGAUCGGACAUUUUUGGCACUUAGUAGUUCCAUCACACAAAUUUUACGCAUUUGUCUCCAGUAUUCACCAGUUAAAAUAGAUAUGGUCAAGUGUCAUGAAAAAUCUAACAAAACAAAUCCUGGAUGACGGUAACUAAGACAACAACAAAAAAUAUAUCAAAACAGACACAACAAUAUAACAUGGAUUGGCCAAGUAUUAACCUACAUAUGAGUAGAUCAGGUUUACAUUCUCCCACUAAAAGGGACUCCUUUUAGCAUUUUAUUGUGGAUGCAAUAUAUUAAUUGAAAAAAAAAAAAGGAUUCUAAAUUUUUUCAUACAUAUAUUUUUUCUAAGUAAAGUAAAAUUAAUUAUGAAAAAAUUGUACUUUUGUCCGUGAAGAAAAAGUAAAUUCCUAAUAUAGUGGAAAUAUAUUAGGGAAAACACCUAUUUAAGACUCACCGUAGGGGAUAAAGGCAAUGUCGCACCUAUUGUAAAAGACAAUAUCCGUGGACAUGAGUUAAGGCCUAGAUGCAAAAGUGAGGUCAUGAGUCUUUAGUACUUAUUUAGCCAACUCAGAAGAAGUAACAACAACUGAAGAAAAUUCACCAAACUGAAGAUGCAUGAGCGGUCCAUAUUUUUUGGCUAAAUCUCUAAAGACGUGGUAUGGAGGUCCACUAGCGAUGUGAUGCAUAUUUCCUAUAAGAGGAAAUUUCCAUGGACCUGGAGGAAGUCUUCAAAAUUCAUUUGCAUAUGCUCUUAUUUAUAGGUUUCUGGUUUGAUUGGCUAAUAAUGGGACACGUUGAAACAAAUAUAAUAGCGUUAUUUUCAGUAACUUGGAAUUCAAUAAGUCAAAUAAUUGCCCAUAUAAAGACUCUAAUAAGGUGGCUGGGAAAUUGAUUUUAUAAUUAGUAGUUGCCAGCUUGGAAUUCAAUCGGUCCUACCAAGCUGUAGCAAUUUUGACUGAUGUGGAGUCGAGGUGUAAGGCGAGUCAUUUUAUUGAUAUUGAAUAAGGGGUAAAUCUCAAAAAAUGAAUUAUAUUUUUUUUUUUUUUUUUUGCUCCGGAAUGUUUCUGAUAAGUUUAUCCUAGGACUCACUCAAAAACUCUUUUAGAAACAGUGAUGUGGACAACAUGUAAGGUUUUUGGUUAAGUUAGAACAGUUAGGGGUAUUUUUGAACCAAAAUAAUAAGGGAAAGGGCAUUUUUAAACCAAAUAUUAAUGGCAAGACAUUUUUGAACCAAACUAUUAAUGGGUGACAUUUUUGUCCAAUUUCAAAUCAAAGUCAAUACGAUAGGGAAUAUAUAAAAUUUCUCUUGGCUUUUUUGUUUUUUGAGACUCCAAACAAACUACCAGCUCAUGUUGUUCGUUGGGUAAACAUUGGGUAAAUCCAAACAGUUUAUAAAUGAUAUAGGAGAUAUAAAUUGUCCUAGACAAGUCCGAAACGAUAAGCUCGAUUGAAAAGGCAUUGACAAGAAAAAUCAAUUCCUCAACUCACUUAUGAGAUACCACCAGUUGCACCAACGUAGUAGGCCCUAUGGGUCGACAUUUCUGUCAACGGAUGGAAAAGAAUCUAUAUAUAAUAUAAAGGAGAGUCAUAGACAAGGUGAUGUGGCACCAGCCUAUGACCUCUAUUCCUAUUUAUCUAUUUUUUCCUUUUUUUGAGCUUUUUCUAAUUUUUUAAAAUUAUUUUUUUUUCAUAAAAAAUCCUAUGUAUAAUUCACAUCUUUUCAUCUUCAUAACACCUACUCUUAAUUAGUACUACUAACAUCUAUAACUCCCAAAGCUUUCAUGUUUAUAACUCUAAUUAUUUAAUAAAUAAUUUUAUGAUCCUUAAAAUUUCACAUAAAUAAUACUUCUAUUUAAAUAAAAUUGUUUUGAGUAUAUUGACUAUGAUAAACUUUCAAGUGAAGGGGAAACUCCAUUAGGGUCAAAAUUAGUAUUGUGAGGUUCGAUCAUUGGUAUUUGUACAUAGCUUUUUUCAUGUAGUAUUUGGUCUUUGUAAUGUAAAUAUCUCAUGGGGUAAAUUUGUGCUAGUACAUAUUUCAAUAGCUUUUUAUUCUGGGGUUUCAUAUAUGCUAUUGAUUGUCCGUCUUAUGAAGUUUCUAUAGCAAUCAAUGUGCUGCUGCUACCUAUUUUUUUUUUUUUUAACCUUAUUUUAGAAUGAUUUGAAUAUGUUAUGCAAUAUAUUAUAUCUUGUUCCUCUAACUCUUAAAUUUUCUUCUAUUUUUCAUACUUAGUUUUUUCUACUAUUUUAGAAUGAUUUGAUUAUGUCAUAUUGUAAUAGAGUUCAUCUUUUCCUUACAAUUCUUAACUAUAGUAUUGCUUACAUUUUCAUUUUUAUUUUUUGAUGACAUUAACAUUUUGUGUCUCCAGGGUAUUAUGUUUUUGAAAGUGAGGAAAGAGAAAUAACUCAUACGUGCAUGUUGCUUAAGAAACUAUAUAUAUUUUCUUAGACAAAUUUUUAAUAAAUCUAUUGAUAGAAAAUAAGAAUGUAAAGUUAAUUUGCAGUAUUUUCUAUUAUAUAGUUUAGUUCAUGAAAGUUAUUUAUUCAUAUUAAAAUGCUAUCUUUUUUUCUUUUUUUUUUUUUGAUUAAACUUCUUAAUAUUUUUAGGUUUUCAUAGAUCAUUAUAAUAAAUGGCAGAAUCAAGAUUUUUAUUAAGGGGGUUAAAAAAGGCACACGUGAACUAGCCGGAGGAAGAUUGGAUGAACUCCUAAGUUUAUACUAGCUUUGCCCCUAAUUACAAUCAUAUGUUGCUUUACCUUUCAAGAUUACUACCUAAAAAAAUGUAAAAGAUAUUAUAUUUGAUAAAUUAUUUAGUAAUGAUAUGUCUUUCACAAACAUACGUGGCUAAUGAAAAGACAACAAGAUUCAUGCAUAAAUUUUUCAUUUAAUUAUAAUCUCAUUAUCAUUGUAUUUAUGAUUAAUAUUUAAUUAUAUCAUUUGUCAUAAAAAAAUCUUUCGUCUCUAUUGAUACACCCCACCAUAUUGCUCUACUAUAUGAGCUUAAAAUCGCACAACUACACUCUUUACUAUUUAACAUUUUGUAACAGUGUGAUUAUGAUCAAGACUAUAAGGAAAAAAGAAAACAUUAAUUAUACGUGGCAGGCAAAAGGUUUGGACAAAUAUAUGAUGGAGGUGGAUGCCUAUUGAAGCUGUCAAAGUAUAACACUAGAGGUUUUUGCUACAACUUGAAAAGUAUUAGCAUCAAUCAAAUUAUUAUAUUUAUUUUUCUCAAUUUAAAAAUUUAAGAUUUGUAUUAAUAUUCUCUCAUUUUUACAAAAAAUAAAAUAAAAUUAUUCCUCCUAAUUUCUUUUUAGUUAAUCUAAAUAAAACAUUGUAAUUGAAGUUUAGUAUUUCAAAAUGUACAAUAAUUUAGUAAUAAUCAAAUUUGACAUUUGAAAAUCUUACGAGUUGUCACAAGUAAAAAGAAGUUUUUUCAUAACGUAUUACACUUAUACAAAAGUUUUUUUUCGCGAGAAAUUUUUACUAGAACGAUAAUAACAAUAUGAUACGAGAAUGACCAUGGAGAUGGACAUAUGUGAGAUGUAUUAAACCCGAGACUUAGAGAGUGCAAGUGAAGUGCAAAGGAGGGCCUAAAUAGUCUCUGAAACAGUCCACAAACUAUACUCAAAGGACACCUAAAGUGAAGCCUUUGACUAAGGGGCCUUUUGGAUAUUUCACACAAUUUUUGUAACCUACUAUAAAUAGAAUAUGUUAGGUCAUUUACUACUUAGAAUUUGAUGAUAUUUGUAAGUUUUAUGACACUUUGAAACUCUCUCUCUUGUGAGAAUGGCCUCCUUGGCCAAAACUAGAGUGAUACUAGUGUGAAAUCACUAGUGUUGCAUUCAUGGCUUGAUACGUUGGUGUUUAGAGGAGGUAAAGUCCCUCUUGUGUCAACGUAAGAUAUAGGUUAAUCAUUGUAUGUAGUGUUAAGGGUCCAAGAGUACCACAUUCUUGGUUUCUUAGAUUAUAUCAACCCUUUGGUUUAUCUAUCUAUCCCUUUGUUCAUUGUAAUCUUGUAACCAUUAUGUGUUGUUAUCUCAAGUCGUGUUGUGUUGUUGUUCCUUAUAUUGUUUUUGUUCAUCCUUGUUAUUCAUAUUGUUGUUGUUAAUAUAGUUUGGGUGGCUGAUUUGAUGUUCAAAACACCUUGUAUUCUUGUCAUCCUCUUCUUGUUAUUGUUGGCAGUUUGUGUAGCUGUUGGGUUCACAGUUGUGCUUGAAUUAUGGACUGUUUUUGGGCUAAUUUGCUACAUUCCUUGUGUGUAGUGUAUCAUUCUGACCAACUAGUAAUGUGGUGCUUGUUAACUUAUUUUGUGGAGGUUUUAUAGUAUUAAUACACUCUUUAGUUGCUGCAUUAUGAGUUCUGAUUGUGUGAAGUUACUUAUCUUCUUUAUCGUUUAAGUUUGAGUUUGUUAUUUCCGUUUAGUGUCUUGUGCGUGUGGACUAUUUGUGUGUUUGUGGACUAUUUUUGUGCUCUUUUAGAUACCGUUUGGUACCAUUUGGUAUCAAAGCUCAAGGCUUGAUUUUGUUCUAACAAAAUCAAUCUUGGGAAGAUCUUACCAAAGUUAGAAACAUUGUGUUGUUGUUGGACCUUGGCCGAAACUUGUAAUCUUGUGGUGGUGACUUGGCCAAAAGUUUUAUGACUAGAUCUAGUAUAUUUUUACAUUCCUAAUGUGUUUGUAGUAUUGGUUUCUUUCUCCCCAACACUAAAAGUGUCUAGAUCUAAAGUUGAGCAUAUAAUAUUGACUAAUAUGGAGGUGACUUGAAUUUGGCCGUCUGUUGAAGAUUGGUGGACAAUUGGUGUUGUUGUUGUUGUGUUCUUGAGAAGUUGUUGUUAUGUUCUUGAAGUUUUUUAUUGUGUUCAUCUUGUUCACACCUAGUCUUAUAGCUUAAACUACAAAGUGCAAACUUGAUUCAAAAAGGUUAAGUUAAAGUUGUAAAGUUUGUUGGUAUGAAGACUUGAACCAUCAAUUCCUAGACUUGACAUCAACUUUUUCAACUACUAUCCUUAAAUCAAGGAGCCUUGUUUGGUGGAACUAUUACAAGUCAAGAUCUUCUUUUUUUUUUUUAGAAUAAAUUUACAAAAGACUUAAGACUUAUACUUUCCCUCCAACACCAAUUGUCUCUCAUUCUAAAUUGUGUGAAGGUUGAAAAUUUCAAAUUUGUGACUAAGUUUUGUGGGCGCGAGACAAAUUGCAUACUGCCACGUCACCACUUUCUACUGUUCACAUCAAUAAUUAAGCUCAAAUUUGGAUUUUUCUAGUUUCUAAUUGUUGAUUCUUGGUUUCGUUAGUUGAUCCCGGAACUAAUUAACAAACUAGUAAACUCCUGCUAGAUUGUCAAUUCGUUGUUGUGUCUACAUUAUUUUGUGCCUUUCUUGUUUAUGAAUCGUAGAAUUUCUUGGUUCAAGUUUGGACAUAAUUUCCUUGAGUCUUCAAAUAAAGAAUCCAUUCCGACCAAAGAGUAGACUCACCCCUCGACUCAUGACGAACUACAAGUCGACUUACAACAUUUGUGAAUCCAAGUGUGAUAUGAUCAAGUAUGUGAGAGUGUGGUGAGGUUUUUCCAAACUAACUUGUUCUAUGUUUUGUAGGAUUGUUCUUUUCUUUCCUUUUUUUAGGUACAAUUACAAGAGAACCCGCAUCUUCAACCUCUCAACUUAUGGACAACAAUUCCACCAAUGUCAUUUUGGCCUACCUUGACAUUAUGUCCCGAUACCUAACUAUGGAAAAUAAAAGGUUGGAUCAUAUGGUAGGUCAAAGGGAGCAAGUGGGAUGCCCGGAUACACAUCAAGAGGAAGGUCAUAGGUCAUGUGAGCUACGAGGUAAAAACGCUAUCCCCUACACUCCUAUAACUUAGUAUGUUGUGUUAUGGCUAGUAGAAACCAAGUAGGUGUAGUUAUGGCUUUUUCUAGGGUAGAGGUGCUUGAUUCAUCCUUUUGUGACACUCUUGGUGAUGUUAGGUCGCGGGAGGACUAAACUCUUAUUGUAAGUAUGCAAGCACUAGUUGAUCCUUUAGAUGAUGAAAUUGAUUCUUCUCGUAAGAACAAUUUGUGUCCAUCUAGUGCUAGCCCUUAUAACCCGAGUAAGACUCUAUUACCAAUUGACGAGAUUAUUCACACACUAGUUGACCUUUGUGCGAGCGAAGGUGUUCUAUGUUGGUAUGUGAGUUGCCAAUAACUAGUGAGGAUAUGAAUGAAGAUCAACUUACUCAUGAAUGUAUUCCACUCCUUGAGCAUAUGUGUGGUGUACUUGAAAAAUAUCAUGUUAGUGAUGGUGUUUAUAGGGUUGAUCUUGGUAGUGCACGUGACUCUUUGAACAUCUUGUGUGGUAAAAGCCUUGCUAGUAGUUUUGUUCAUAGAGAUCAUGUGUAUGGAAAUAUUGUAAAUGAUGGCAUAUGUAUUUUUGAGGUAGGACUUCUAGGUCGUAUCACUCUAUUCUUGAAUAUUAGUCUUCUCUUAAAGGCAAAUGUCAUACGUGAUUGUUAGAGUGACAUUCUAGGGGAAGGAAGGGUUAGCCUUGGCUUAGACCCUUGGCUACUUCUCUCAUUUGAUCCUGACGCCCUCUCGGAAUGUGGGAAUUUCUACAUUUCCCACUUAAUACUUGUUCAAGCUGACAAGAAAUGUUUGAUUGUGGGGGAUAAUAAAGGAAGGCAAGGUUCUUCCUUACCUCUUUUUGUUGAUGAUUACCUUUUCCUUUGUGCCAUUUAUGCUAAGGUUUUCAUGUUCAGCACAAAGGACUUAUGGGUAUACUCCAAGUAUUUCCCACCUCGGCAUGGCUUGUGAUGUGUGUAUUUUACAAAUCCUAACCCUCAUGUCAUGAGGAUAUUUUUCUUCUUUGUCCUUCUUUUAUUUUUCAAGGAGCGGAUUUGAGGUCGAAUCCUUUUUCAAGAAGGGGAGGAUGAUACUAGAAUGACCACGGAGAUGGACUUAUGUGAGAUGUAUUGAACCCGAGACUUGGAGCGUGCAAGUGAAGUGCAAAGGAGGGCCUAAAUAGUCUCCAAAACAGUCCACAAACCACACUCCAAGGGCACCUAAAGUGAAGCCUUUGACUAAGGGGUCUUUUGGACAUUCCGCAUAAUUUUUGUAACCUACUAUAAAUAGAAUUUGUUAGGUCAUUUACUACAUAGACUUUGAAGAUAUUUGUAAGUUUUAUGACACUUUGAAACUCUCUCUCUUGUGAGAAUGGCCUCCUUGGCCGAAACUAGGGUUAUGCUAGUGUGAAAUCGUUAGUGUUGCAUUCAUGGCUUGAUAUGUUGGUGUUUAGAGGAGGUAAAUUUCCUCUUAUUUCAAUGUAAGAGAUAGGUUAAUCAUUGUAUGUAGUGGUACGGAUCCAAGAGUACUACAUUCUUGGGUUCUUAAGAUUAUAUCAAACCUUUGGUUUAACUAUCUAUCCCUUUUGUUCAUUGUAAUCUUGUAACCAUUAUGUGUUGUAAUCUCAAGUCGUGUUGUGUUGUUGUUCCUCAUAUUGUUUUUGUUCAUUCUUGUUAUUCAUAUUGUUGUUGUUAAUAUAGUUUGGGUGGCUGGUUUGAUGUUCAAAACACUUUGUAUUCUUGUCAUCCUCUUCUUGUUAUUGUUGGCAGUUUGUGUAGCUGUUGGGUUUACAGUUUGUGCUUGAAUUAUGGACUAUUUUGGUACAUUCCUUGUAUGUAGUGUAUCAUAGUAUGAAUUUAAUUGAUCACAAAUUUAUAAUGUUUGAAUAGUGAAAGCUUUACAAUAUACUCUAUGGCUGGAAAAAUAUUUUUGUGUAUAUUGAUAUAAUACUACAUGUGUGUUUGGUAUCAUUGUAUAAAAUCCUAAUAUUCUACAAUCGAGUUUCAUACAGUCCUUUAAUUAUAUUUUUAAUAUUUUUUAAAAUAUUAAAUUGUAUAUUUAAUAACGUAUUUCAUAACCUUGCAAAGAGCAACUAAAUUUACUAGUUUAUAAAAUAACUGUCACGACCCAAAUCGGGGCCCUAGCCGUGACGAGCAUCCCAAAUUAUGAAAGCUCGGAUGCCCUUCUAACUUGUAAGGACAUACACUAUCCUCAUAUGAAAAAUAUAAUACGGAAAUACCUAAUGAAACGGAAUCAUGGUCAUUAAAUUUGAAUUCAAAUCUUAAUGAAAACUGCAAUUCAAAAAAUCUGAGUUAUAUCUGACUCAGUCUGUGAAAUUUCUACUACAUGCAUCAACCCAACUGUUUGAAAACUAGGACAAGGCUCUCAGUAAACCAAAACAUAAUAAUUAUAAAUUACUAAGUAAUCUAGGCCUUCUGAAAUAUAGAAGGCUCACCACGGAACUCUGCACUUCUAUCUGGAGAAACCCUACUACUUAUGGGGACUCCUAGAUUGAGCCUCAGAACUUGGAAGGGAGGGAGGUCAACACAGAUGUAUUGGUACGCAGAGAAAUCCAAAAUAAUGUAUUUAUAUAUAACAUAAGUGAGAGCAAUUUAUAAAAAUUUUUACAUAUAAUAUAUGAAAACACAUGGGCACAUUUUAAAAACUUUGAAACAUUUUUUUGAAACCAUGACUCACUCUUUGUCUUAAUUUUGAGCUAGAUGGUACACCCUACAAUCUGAAAUUCUAUGGGAUAUAUGGAAUCCAUCCUUGACUCGAAGGCCAAGCCCCCAAUCCAAGUUUGCUGCAAGGAUUGGAGUAUCUAUAAGGGGGCACGUAAGAUCACACAGCAGGGUGCCAAAAUCCCCAAUCAAAUCAACAUGUCAUGGUAGUGUACAAGAUCACAAAGAAGGGCUCCUAACCAUAGUCCCAAUUUGGGAUGACAUGAAUCAAGGUACACAAGAUCACAAGGCAUGGUAACAAUCCCGUGUUGGCAAAUCACGGUUUUUAGCAUAGAGUCUUUUAACUCGUACCUUCUUCGGGUAACCAUCUAACUUUCUUUAAGCCCAUUUUUAAACCUUUUCUAAACAUGCAUCUUUUUGAAUUUAUAAUAUGAAAAUAUGACUUCAAACAUGUGUUAUAUUCUGUUCUGAAUUACUAUCGCUUUAGCUGAGUUGGUAUCGUCAAACCAAGACUUGCAAGUCCUAUUUCUGAUCCAUAUUGUACAAUGCAUGAUUCUUUAAUUAAAACAUAAUUCAGAUCACCCAAGCAUGCAAAUAGUAUAGAAAAUUUCAUGUUCCGAAAGCACAAGUCAAAACCAUGCUAAGAUUCUCAUUCUUUCAAUAACCAUGUGGUGGUCAUGUAUUUUUGGCAAACAUGCAAUCUUUCAUUAAAAGUGUAUUCAGUAUUUAUCAAUAUGCACAACCCUCUCUUUUGGAUUCAAAAUCAUAUUCAAGUCAUAGCAAUAAUCAAUACAUUUCAAACACAAUUCAUAUCAUAUAAAAUAUGGGAAAAAUCAUAACAAGAGAGGAUUCUUUAGGAUUCAUGCUCUCAAUUGUAUAUUCAUCCUUAAACACAUGCAUACAUAUACGUAGAGUUUCAAAUCAAUUUGGGGGAAGGCCUAAAGACCAAAACAAUAAUGAUCAAGGCUUCUAAAACAUGCUUGUAAUUGUAAAUUCAAAACCCUUUUCUUAAAAAUCAUGAUUUCUAAACCGCUAGCAUGAAUUAAAGAUGGUUUCUUUUCCCAUGAAAUUUUAGGAUAACCCUAUGUACCUUAAUUUAUGACUCUUGAAUGAACUGAGGCUUUAGGGAUGCUAUUCGAACAAUUGAUGGGUGGUUCUUGUAGCACUCACAAUGAGGAUUCUGAAUCUCGAAGAAUUAUUGAAAACCCACAGUGAAAUCUUGAGAUAUUUUGAUCUUUGGGUUGAAAGUUCAUGGUGAUUUUGAGAGAGAAUGACCUUAUUUUGGUGUUUGGGGGAUUUAAUCCCGUGUUAUGCCUGAACAGGGGGUGGAAAUUACCACUUUUUCCCUUAAAAAUGCAAAAACAGGACCUAAAAAUUGGGUGCAUGCGAUAGAGCGUGAGUCACACGCUAAUCGCGCAAUGCUACUGUUUCAGUCACGAAAAUGGCCAUAACUUUUUGCUCAGAUAUCGGAUUUUGGCAUAAAUAGUAUCGUUAGAAAGAUAAUUCGAAGAGAUUUCAUUUAAUAUAUAGUAGGACCUCUAAUUCGUUAUAUACAAAGAGUAAUAGUCGAUUCAAUUUGACCCAAGUUUCGAUGCUCAUUCAAACUCGAAUGAUAGGAAAGUUUUCAACUCGUCCUUGAGUUAGGGUACCUCUAUUAUCUCAAUUCAUGAUCAAAUAGGUUCCCACACUACAUGAUUGAUUAACAUGCCAAAUUUGCAUAGGAUUUAUGGCUUUUGGAUCAUCUACACAUAGAAAUGACGGUUUUCGUUCUAGCCCGAAAUGCGGGGUGUUACAAUAUUGAUAAAGUCUUAGGCUGGCAAGCUGAAAGUCUUGAAAAACAAUUACUAUUAAGAAUAAAAUAAAAAUUUUGAACUUGUAUAAUGACAAAUUAUUUAGACAAAUAAUUUUGAGUAGUUUUCAAAAUCCUCGCUGCCACUCUUGCAAGUAUAUAGUCAAAGUAAGGCAACAAUUAUUAUAUAAGUUAAUAUUCUUCCAAAUUUGAAUUAAGAAAAUAUGACUAUGCUCACAGUCAACUUACAUACAACUAAAAAAAUAUUAGAAAAUUUAUUGUAUGUCCCUAUACCACACUAUAUAUACUUGCUCUUUGUCUUCCAUUUAAGUCAUCAGCUCUCAACUUAAGUGUUACUUACUUGUUUCUUCCAUAUUUAAGUUAAGUGUUACAUUCUUUAUUACUUAAAAUAAGAAGAAAUACUUUCAUAUUUAGCAAUGGCCUCAACGGCAGUUUGCAAUAAUAUAGUUAACCAUAUUGAAGAAGAAGAAGAGAUUGUUCGUCCCAUCGCCAACGUCUCUCCAAGUCUAUGGGGUGAUCAUUUCCUUUCAUUCUCCAUCGACAACCAGGUAAUUAAUUAAUAUUUGCAAUCUUUUCUUCAUAGUACGUUCUUAUUUCUUUGCUUUUAUUAGACAAUGUAGUUUGAUUUCUUUUGUCUUUUGGAUAUAUUGGUAGGUUGAACAAAAGUAUGCUCAACAAAUUGAACUGCUGAAGGAACGAACAAGGAGUAUGCUGUUGGCCACUGGAAUGAAAUUAGUGGAGACAUUGAAUUUGAUUGAUUUUAUUGAACGCCUUGGCAUAGCCUAUCACUUUGAGAAAGAAAUCGAAGAGAUUUUGGAUUGAAUUUACAAUGAAAAUUCAAACUUCGAGGGCGAUGUCUAUAAUGAUGAUCUAUGCACUUAUGCUCUUCAAUUCCGAUUGCUUAGGCAACAUGGUUACAAAAUCUCUCUAAGUAAGUACCUCUUGAAGUUCUACAAGUUCAAUAUUGUCGUAAUCAUAUAUAUAGAUAUAUAAUCCAUUUGAUAUGAUGGCUAAUAUUGUGUAUUCUUCAAUUCAUUGAAAAUCAGAAAUCUUCAGCAAAUUCCUAGAUGGAAAUGACAAACUCAAGGAGUCUCUUGCUAUUGAUGUGCUAGGAUUAUUGAGCUUGUAUGAAGCUUCACAUGUACGGAGUCAUGGUGAAGACAUCUUAGAAGAUGCACUCGCUUUCUCCACAACUCAUCUUGAGUCUGCAGCUCCACAUUUGAACUCUCCUCUUAAGGAGCAAGUGAUGCAUGCCCUUGACCAAUCUUUGCACAAAGGUAUUCCUCCAAUUGAGAUUCAAUUCUUCAUCUCAUCAAUCUAUUACAAGCAGGAAACAAAGAAUGAUAUGUUACUUCGAUUUGCCAAAUUGGAUUACAACAUGCUCCAAAUGCUGCACAAACAAGAACUUGCUGAAGUAUCAAGGUGAGAUUCUAUAAAAAUGGUAUAACCUUUUUGAUUGUUCAUUUAUCAAGUACUGAUGUUAAUUUGUUAUUCUGCAGGUGGUGGAAAGAUUUGAAUUUCGUGAACACACUUCUAUAUGCUAGAGAUAGAGUAGUUGAAUGCUACUUUUGGGCAUUAGGAGUAUAUUAUGAGCCUCAAUAUUCUCAAGCACGUGUCAUGCUCGUUAAGACCAUAGCAAUGAUUUCGAUUGUGGAUGACACCUAUGAUGCUUAUGGUACAGUUGAAGAACUUGCCAUAUACACGGACGUCAUACAAAGGUAUGGACAUCACCAAUUCACUUGUUCAAAUAUACCUUGAAAGAGA
This 95751-nucleotide long non-coding RNA is filed under the name Capsicum annuum. RNAcentral describes it as "long non-coding RNA (CANN_LNC019882)". Lineage: Eukaryota; Viridiplantae; Streptophyta; Magnoliopsida; Solanales; Solanaceae. The record is from RNAcentral.